ACACAACCACUUGGUCCACCAUAGUUGAACAUAUAACCCUUCUUAUAUUCGAGAAAUAAAUUAUUUGCUCCAUAACAAUCUGGCCUAUCAACUAACUUGACCAUGGGAAUGCCAAAGAGGUCGGAAGAAUGACCAUUUGGAUUGUAAUUCUGAAUGUGCUUGAAGUACGCAGAUCUCUUAUCGUCAUAAUCGGGGAAGUGGCCGCUACCCAUUGGAGGACCAUGUGCAUUCUUCAAGUAAUUCACGAAUCCAGUCAAGGCUUGUAUACGUCGUGUUCCGGGGCAAAGCUUAUUUGGAAAAUGUCCCAAGAAUGAUGGUUUCUGUAAAUCGUGACGGUACACCACCCAAUCUCCGGAAUUUGGAUCCUGUAGUCAACAAGGGAUUGAUGACAUCAAUGAACAAUAAAUUUCAUGUACAAAAAGAGUAGAAAACAUGUUAUUUGCAAGAAUCUUGGGUGGCGUACAAUUUCCUAGAUUCCAAUGUUCCAUAUUUUCUUAAUAAAAUACAAAGCAUGGUACUUAAUAACCAUGUGAAUUUAUGCCUAACUAAUUUUAACAUUAAUAAAAUCUAUCUUUGUUAAUUUUAAUCCUCUAUUCUUAACUAGUUGCAAUCCACUACCUAUUUUUCCUAUUCGAGCAGCCAUGCCACGUCAACAAGUCAUACAUGUUAGUUAUAAGUUUACUUUUCUUUCCAUGUGUGCAUCCAUACCACAUCAACAAGUCAUGCAUGUUCCCCGUAAGUUAUAUUUUUCAUAUGUGCUUGUUUUUCCUAUCCAUGCAGUCUUGCCACACCAGCAAGUCAUGCAUGUUCAUCAUAAAUUACUGUUUUUGCAUUUAUUUUUUGUUGUCAUGAAUGGAUUAUAUGUUGGACACUCUGAGGAUACCUAUGCAGUUCAUAUUUCACAUUUUGUUAGAAAAAUGGAAUUUUGUUAACUACAAUCCAACUUUUUCUCUUUUGUAGUUGCUCUUAAUUAUAGCAUCUAUUUACGUGAUUCAUUCGAUGAGGUUGCUGCAGGAACGCGCAUGUAUCAUCUACUUAUUGUAGAAAUAGUAGCACAUUUGUGAAUUUAUAUAGAUAUAGUAAUCUCCAGAAUGGGACAAAUGGUGCACCUUGUUGAGGCUAAGCCUAACGUAGUGGUCUUGUUCGCCAUAAAUUGAUGGAGGAGCCAUGGCUUGUCCAGGCACUAGAUUAGCUCGACUUGCAGGAACAAAUCCUGGGCACUGCAAGUUGUAGCACCCCUUCGAUUUCAAGUCCUUCUGAGCAACAAAAAAAAAGGAAACAUGUAUUAUUGUGGAUGUAAAGAGACUUUUACUUAGUCCAAUAGUCCUCUAACUCCUACGAAAUACCAAAAAACUAUAUGGGGACCACAAUAAUAUAUAACUUGUUAAAAUGACAUUGAUUAUACUUACGGUCCAAUAUGUAAAGAAGCGAAUAUCUCUGUUAUGGUACAAAGAGGGGGAAAUCUGCAAGCAGGAGCAAAUUAUGAAAUAGUUGUUUAUUCAAAAGCAUUUGACUUUACCAUAAUGGGUGAUAUGUUUGUACAUGAAAUCCAACUUGAAUUGAGUUGUAGUUUCCUCCAUCUUGACAAUAUAUCUGUAAGGAUGCUCCGGAUUCUUGAGAAGUUCCUUGAUUUGGUGAAGCCCAUAUACUCAUGUCAGCUCGAAGGCCGUAGAAUUGUCCUGGCUCUGUGUGCCACAUUGCAUACUAGUGAUAGAAAAUUACAGCUCAAAUUAGUAAAUAACCCGAAAAAUCUAUAGAGAACGACAUAAUAAACAAGUGAGGGUGUGCGUUCUUGGCCUUGGUAUGAGGUUCACCUACCAGACAUUUACAAUGGGGAAUUUUUUAUGCUACCUUGGAGUUAGACUAGAUAAGUUUUCAUAGGCCUUGUAAAGUAUAUGAUACUGGAUUUAGCUUCCUCCGCGGGGUGUGGUGUCAAUCCAACGCAGUUAGACCUUUUGUGGUGAUGCAUGCAAUGCUUUAGUUCAUGUACAUUUUCGAUGGUCUUACUUAGGUGUUUGGGCUCACAACAUCUUCUCUCCUCCUUGUGGCAUGGGUGAAACAAGAUUUGAUUCUCUCUCUAAUAGGUGUGAAGUGUAUUGCCGAUAAAGUUGGUAUGUCAGCAUAAGUCUCCAAUAGAGUAUGUCUUAAAUGCCUUUCUGAAUCUGUUGUUCACAGUAUUUUGGUAGCAUGUUUUGUAUGUAAUGAUCAUAGCUUUUGAGGUAUAUAGGGGAUCAAGAUAAGUUCAUUUAGGUGUAUGCCUUUUAUCUGGUCUUUAUGUACCACCUUGUCUCUUGGACCAUUGACCAUAAUUUAGCUUGACCAGCAAUGAUUUAGAUACAUCAUGAAUGAAUUAGAUUUCUACUGUUUUUUCUCUGUGGUUUAAAUAUGUGAUGCUUAUAUUGGAAAUACCUUGACUUUUCCUUUUAUAUUUAUCACAUAUCACUCUGGCAUUACAUUGUGACGUUUUUUGUGAUCAAUACCCAACAAGAAAUUAACAAAAUAUCCCAAAUCUAACACAUGAAAAAGUAAAGAGAGAUAUAUACAGAGAAUGGGGGAGAGUGUGUGUACAUGAGAAACAAUGCCGCUUCCUUCAUUCAUGAUAUCAGCUCUCCAAGGAAAAUGGAAAGGUUUAGGUCUUAAAAGAGUGGUGUUCUGCAGAGGGAAAUAAUAGUUCAUGACUAGUUAGCAUAUAUAAUUGAUGUACAGAGUCUUUGAAAGAUAAAUAUUUGUUUCACAUAUGUGUCCUAAAUUUUAGUUGGGCAUAUAAGUAACAUAAAGUAGUUAUGAAUAUUAACACCAAUAGUAAUUAUCAAGAUUAAGUGGCAAAGUAGAUACACCAAUGGGAUAAUACAUAAAGCAAUUGAUAAAAAGUUGUAUAUAUCAAAAUCUAAAAGUAAAAUAUUUGUUACCUUCUCAUUUGUCUGGAGAUUGACAUCUACGUCUAUCGAUUCAACAAAGGUGAGGUGGAAAGUUAUACACAAAAAGCAUAGUAAGACCGAUAUGACAACAUAAUCACCUCCCAUUUGUAUAGGUAACUGUGUUAUUUUCAAUGAAAUAGUAACUAUGUGAUUCUUGACGUACUUGUAUCUUCUUCAUAGAACACAACUUAUAUAUAAUUGAGCCAGGUUCUUUUUUUAGAAGGCUUUAGAUUGCAUUGUACUGAUGAUGCACUGAAAAUUUAGUGGGUAGUCAUCCGGUGAACUAAUCUUUCUAGAGUUGGGUAUAAAUCAAUUGUUUAAUUAAUGUUCAUUAAAUAUGGACUUGGUUUACAUCCAAUUAAUGAUUGCUUGAUGGCCUAUCUUUUUAUAUGAAUAUAGAUCAAUUUAUGCAUCAAUAGUAAUUAACGAUGGGCUUGAUUUACAUCCAAAGAAUGGAUGUAUGAGGACAUAUACAAUGGUCUUAUCUUAGAAGUGCCACAUAGGAUAAUUGUAGAGGUGGAGGAGAGAGAAACCAUAAGAAAAGACUUCCCUUCUCUUCAUUAAGAGAUGAUCUCUUAGCAAAAAUUCUCUCACCACAUAAUUAGGAAUAUCUUGUUAUUAGAGAUCAGACUAAGAAUAAUAUAUACAUUAUACAUCAUUUUUUGUUGUCUUCUCUAGAUUACACAGGGGGCAUAAGAUAAGACAAUCUUAUCAACCAUUGUGAAGGAAAUAUGCCCUAGAGACAAUAAUAAAGUUGUUAUUUUAUAUUUCCUUAUUCAUGAUAAAGGUUUAUUAUUCAUGCUAGAAUUGUAUUGAUCGGAAACCUAAAUACACGUGUGAAUACAUAAACAAGCACCGUGUCCCUAGUGAGCCUCUACUUGACUAGCUUGUUGAUCAAAGAUGGUUAAGGUUUCCUAACCAUAGACAUGAGUUGUCAUUUGAUAAUGGGAUCACAUCAUUAGGAGAAUGAUGUGAUGGACAAGACCCAUUCGUUAGCUUAGCAUAAUGAUCGUUCAGUUUUAUUGCUAUUGCUUUCUUCAUGUCAAAUACAUAUUCCUUCGACUACGAGAUUAUGCAACUCCCGGAUACCGGAGGAAUGCCUUGUGUGCUAUCAAACGUCACAACGUAACUAGGUGAUUAUAAAGAUGCUCUACAGGAAUCUCCGAAGGUGUUCGUUGAGUUGGCAUAGAUCGAGAUUAGGAUCACUCUGAGUAUCGAAGAGGUAUCUCUGGGCCCUCUCGGUAAUACACAUCAUAAGCUUGCAAGCAAAUGACUAAGGAGUUAGUCACGAGGUGAUGUAUUACGGAACGAGUAAAGAGACUUGCCGGUAACGAGAUUGAACUAGGUACGAAGAUACCGAUGAUCGAAUCUCGGGCAGGUAACAUACCGAUAGACAAAGGGAAUUACGUAUGUUGUCAUCACGGUUCAACCGAUAAAGAUCUUCAUAGAAUAUGUAGGAGCCAAUAUGGGCAUCCAGGUUUCGCUAUUGGUUAUUGACCGGAGAGGUGUCGCGAUCAUGUCUACAUAGUUCUCGAACCCGUAGGGUCCGCACGCUUAACAUUCGAUCACGAUAUAGUAUUAUAUGAGUUAUGUGAUUUGGUGACCGAAUGUNNNNNNNNNNNNNNNNNNNNNNNNNNNNNNNNNNNNNNNNNNNNNNNNNNNNNNNNNNNNNNNNNNNNNNNNNNNNNNNNNNNNNNNNNNNNNNNNNNNNNNNNNNNNNNNNNNNNNNNNNNNNNNNNNNNNNNNNNNNNNNNNNNNNNNNNNNNNNNNNNNNNNNNNNNNNNNNNNNNNNNNNNNNNNNNNNNNNNNNNNNNNNNNNNNNNNNNNNNNNNNNNNNNNNNNNNNNNNNNNNNNNNNNNNNNNNNNNNNNNNNNNNNNNNNNNNNNNNNNNNNNNNNNNNNNNNNNNNNNNNNNNNNNNNNNNNNNNNNNNNNNNNNNNNNNNNNNNNNNNNNNNNNNNNNNNNNNNNNNNNNNNNNNNNNNNNNNNNNNNNNNNNNNNNNNNNNNNNNNNNNNNNNNNNNNNNNNNNNNNNNNNNNNNNNNAUGAGCCAAGAGGGGAAACUGUUGGGGAACGCAGUAUUUCCAAAAUUUACCUACGAUCACGCAAGAUCUAUCUAGGAGAUGCAUAGCAAUGAGACGGGGAGAGUGUGUCCACGUACCCUCGUAGACCGAAAGCGGAAGCGUUUAGUAACGCAGUUGAUGUAGUCGAACGUCUUCGCGAUCCAACCGAUCCAAGUACCGAACGUACGGCACCUCCGCGAUCAACACACGUUCAACUUAGUGACGUCCCUCGAACUCUUGAUCCAGUUGAGGCUGAGGGUGAGUUCCGUCAGCACGACGGCGUGGUGACGAUGAUGAUGAAGUUACCGGCGCAGGGCUUCGCCUAAGCACUACGACGAUAUGAUCGAGGUGUGUAACUGUGGAGGGGGGCACCGCACACGGCUAAAAGAUCAACUUGUGUGUUCUAGGGUGCCCUGUCGGUGUCAAAACCGGCCGAUCUCGGGUAGGGGGUCCCGAACUGUGCGUCUGAGGAUCCAAGGUAACAGGAGGCAGGGGACACGAUGUUUACCCAGGUUCAGGCUCUCUUGAUGGAGGUAAUACCCUACUUCCUGCUUGAUUGACUUUGAUGAGUAUAGGGGUUACAAGAGUUGAUCUACCAUGAGAUCGUAGUGGCUAAACCCUAGAUGUCUAGCCUGUAUGAUUGUGAUUGCCUCUACGGACUAAACCCUCCGGUCUAUAUAGACUUGGAGAAGGACUCGCAGCCGAACUAUGUUCGGUUCGAGUUAGAGGCUGAUGAUGGGGAAUUUUGCUUCCCACCCGCCACCCACUUCAUAGCUACCGUCGAGGACUUAACCGACGAGCUCGAUUAUGGCUCCGAAGACAUCGACGGUAUGGACGACGAUGCCGACAAGGAGCAAGGCCAAGACCCGCCAUUCACUGGACGUUGGACGGCCACCUCUUCGUACGACGUGUACAUGGUUGAUACUGUUGGGGAACGUAGUAAUUUCAAAAAAUUUCCUACGCACACGCAGGAUCAUGGUGAUGCAUAGCACCGAGAGGGGAGAGUGUUGUCUAUGUACCCUCGUAGACCGUAAGCGGAAGCGUUUAUCAACGCGGUUGAUGUAGUCGUACGUCUUCACGAUCCGACCGAUCCAAGUACCGAACGCACGACACCUCCGAGUUCUGCACACGUUCAGCUCGAUGACGUCCUCGCCUUCUUGAUCCAGCAAGACGGGCGAAGUAGUAGAUGAGUUCCAGCAGCACGACGGCGUGGUGACGGUGUUGCUGAAGAACAAUCUCCGCAGGGCUUCGCCAAGCACUACAGAAACUGUGACGGAGGACAAACUAGAGGGGACAGGGUUGCCGGCACACGGCUUGGUGUUUCUUAAUCUCUCUUUGGUGCUAGCCCUGCCCCUCUAUUUAUAUGUUGAGCCCUGGGGUCGAAACUUGGAGCAAAAGCCUCCUCAAAGUCGGUUUUGCCCGAAAGGCAAGAGUCCCACUCGGACUCCAGGACCAAACGCCACAAUCCUUGGUGUCUGGCCCAGACGCCAUGGGCCUCGGUCGUCUGGCCCAUUUGGUCCCGGUUGGUGGGACGAACCGGGACCAAUGGGCCUCGCUCCUGGCCCACCACCAUUGGUCCCGGUUGGUGGCUUGAACCGGGACCACAGGCUGCCUUUUAGUUCCGGUUCAUGCCACGAACCGGGACCAAUGAGGUGCCUAUAUAUACCCCUCGCCCGCGAGCAGAGCACUCCAGUGCUCUGUUUUUCUCUGGCCGGCGAGGGGAGGGCUUUGUGGUGCUCUAGCUCACCUCCUAUGCACAUGAGGUGUUCGAUGAAAUGUCCGAGCCACACUAGUUAAGCUUUCUCCUUUCGAAGCUCGACCUCAAAGCUCCAUUUUCCUCGAGAUUUGUCUAGGUUUAACGGCCCGUCACGUCCCAUUCCCGUCUUCACCGCCGUCAAUCGCCCGCGCCGAUCUCGUCGCCGGCACCACCGUGGUGAGCCUCUUGUUCUUAUCUUCUUUCUAAAAGAAAAAAAUUCUUACUUUAGAUAGAUACUUGUCUAAUUUUCUUACUAUUUUAUUGCUUGUUAUUAUAUAGUGCGAUGGUUUUGGUAUCCGCCCACGUCGGCCCACGUCCUGUCUAUGAUUCAGAUGUGGUAUAUAUUAUCUUUAUAACUAUUGGUUCAUUUAUUGUUUACAAAAAUUAUGCCGACCAACGUGACAUAGAUUUUAUUUAUCUAGGAGGUAUGUGAACCGGAAAUUCCAACCGACCCUAUUGUCGAGAGGUUAAAUUUAGUUGAAGAAGAAAACAAUUUCUUGAAGGAAAAAAUAAAAAAAUUGAGGAGGAGAAGAUGAUAUUGGAGUUGCAUGUUGCGGAUGUCGUCGAUGAUCACAAGAUCAAGAUGGAUGCAAUGCGCUUGAAGAUUAGAAAGAUUAGAAAAUAUGCCAUUCAUACCGAGGCUUGGUAUCAUUAUGCCGUUGGAUCAAUUGUUACCUUGGUUGCGAUUAUGAUCCCAUUUGUUUUCGCAUUGAAAUGUUUUACAUAGUUUCAAUGUAUGGUUUAAUUAAUUAGAUGCUCUGGAGAGCUAUAUGUUGUUAGAUGAGAACUAUGUAUGUACUUUGGUUUUAAUGUGAUGAUGAACUUCUAUUAAUUUGGUCACUUAAUUAUCUAUUCAUGAUGUUCUGUAAUGGUUUUUGACACACUUAAUUAUAUAUAAUGCACGCAGAUGAACCGACAAUGGAUGUACGGUGACAGACACACCUCCGAGUACAUUAAGGGCGUGCAUGAUUUUCUCGAAGUGGCUGAGGCAAAUAAGCAGAAUGGUUUUAUGUGUUGUCCAUGCCCUAAAUGUGGGAAUACAAAGUCUUACUCUGACCGGAAAAUCCUUCACACCCACCUGCUUUACAAGGGUUUCAUGCCACACUAUAAUGUUUGGACGAGGCACGGAGAAAUAGGGGUUAUGAGGGAAGACGGCAAAGAAGAAGAGGACGAUGACAACUAUGUGCCCCCUGAAUACGGUGAUGCUGCAACGGGGGAAGCUGCUGAAGAUCAAGAGGAACCAGAUGAUGUGCCCAAUGAUGCUGCAACGGGGGAAGCUGCUAAAGAUCAAGAGGAACCAGUGCCCGAUGAUGAUGAUCUCCGCCGGGUCAUUGUCGAUGCAAGGACGCAAUGCGAAAGUCAAAAGGAGAAGCUGAAGUUCAAUCGCAUGUUAGAGGAUCACAAAAAAGGGUUGUACCCCAAUAGCGAAGAUGGCAACACAAAGCUCGGUACCGUACUGGAAUUGCUGCAGUGGAAGGCAGAGAAUGCUGUGCCUGACAAAGGAUUUGAGAAGCUAUUGAAAAUAUUGAAGAAGAAGCUUCCUUAGGAUAACGAAUUGCCCGACAAUACAUACGCAGCAAAGAAGGUCGUAUGCCCUCCAGGAUUGGAGGUGCAGAAGAUACAUGCAUGCCCUAAUGACUGCAUCCUCUACCGCGGUGCGUACAAGGAUCUGAACGCAUGCCCGGUAUGCGGUGCAUUGCGGUAUAAGAUCAGACGAGAUGACCCUGGUGAUGUUGACGGCGAGCCCCCCAGGAAGAGGGUUCCUGCGAAGGUGAUGUGGUAUGCUCCUAUAAUACCACGGUUGAAACGUCUGUUCAGAAACGAAGAGCAUGCCAAGUUGAUGCGAUGGCACAGUGAGGACUGUAAGAAAGACGGGAAGUUGAGAGCACCCGCUGACGGGUCGCAGUGGAGAAAAAUUGAGAGAAAGUACUGGGCUGAGUUUGCAGCUGACCCAAGGAACGUAUGGUUUGGUUUAAGUGCGGAUGGCAUUAAUCCUUUCGGGGAGCAGAGCAGCAAUCACAGCACCUGGCCCGUGACUCUAUGUAUGUAUAACCUUCCUCCUUGGAUGUGCAUGAAGCGGAAGUUCAUUAUGAUGCCAGUUCUCAUCCAAGGCCCUAAGCAACCCGGCAACGACAUUGAUGUGUACCUAAGUCCAUUAGUUGAAGAAAUUUUACAGCUGUGGAAUGGAAACGGUGUACGUACGUGGGAUGAGCACAAACAGGAGGAAUUUAACCUGCACGCGUUGCUGUUUGUAACCAUCAACGAUUGGCCUGCUCUCAGUAACCUUUCAGGACAGACAAACAAGGGGUACCACGCAUGCACGCAGUGUUUAGAUGACACUGAAAGUAUAUACCUGGACAAAUGCAGGAAGAAUGUGUACCUGGGCAUCGUCGAUUUGUUCCGACCAACCAUCAAUGUCGAAAGAAAGGAAAGCAUUUCAAAGGCGAGGCAGAUCACCGGAAGAAGCCCGCCAUGCGUACCGGUGAUCACGUACUUGCUAUGGUCAAUGAUUUACACGUAAUCUUUGGAAAGGGUCCCGGCAGACUAGCUGUUCCGAAUGACGCUGAGGGACACGCACCCAUGUGGAAGAGGAAAUCUAUAUUUUGGGACCUACCCUACUGGAAAGACCUAGAGGUCCGCUCUUCAAUCAACGUGAUGCACGUGACGAAGAACCUUUGCGUGAACCUGCUAGGCUUCCUGGGCGUGUAUGGAAAGACAAAAUAUACACCUGAGGUACGGGAGGACCUGCAACGUUUGCACGAAAAAGACGGCAUGCCUCCGAAGCAGUAUGAAGGUCAUGCCAGCUACGCUCUUACGAAAGAAGAGAAAUAAAUCUUCUUUGAAUGCCUGCUCAGUGUGAUGGUCCCGACUGGCUUCUCGUCGAAUAUAAAGGGAAUAAUAAAUAUGCCAGAGAAAAAGUUCCAGAACCUAAAGUCUCAUGACUGCCACGUGAUUAUGACGCAACUGCUUCCGUGCAUUGAGGGGGCUUCUACCGGAAAACGUCCGAUUAGCCAUUGUGAAGCUAUGUGCAUUCCUCAAUGCAAUCUCUCAGAAGGUGAUCGAUCCAGAAAUCAUACCAAGGCUAAGGAGUGAUGUGGCGCAAUGUCUUGUCAGUUUCGAGCUGGUGUUCCCACCAUCCUUCUUCAAUAUCAUGACGCACGUCCUAGUUCAUCUAGUCGACGAGAUUGUCAUUCAGGGGCCCGUAUUUCUACACAAUAUGUUCCCCUUUGAGAGGUUCAUGGGAGUCCUAAAGAAAUAUGUCUGUAACCACGCUAGGCCAGAAGGAAGCAUCUCCAUGGGCCAUCAAACAGAGGAUGUCAUUGGGUUUUGUGUUGACUUCAUUCCUGGCCUUAAGAAGAUAGGUCUCCCUAAAUCGCGGUAUGAGGGGAGACUGACUGGAAAAGGCACGCUAGGAGCGGACUCAAUAAUAUGCAGGGACGGGCAUUCUUGGUCUCAAGCACACUACACAGUUCUACAGAACUCUACCUUGGUGCCCCCGUAUGUCGAUGAACACAAGAACAGUCUGCGCUCCAAACACCCGGAGCAGUGUGACGACUGGAUUACAUGUGAACACAUCAGGACUUUCAGCAGUUGGUUGGAAACACGUCUCAGAGGUGACACCACUGUUUGUGAUGAGUUGUACUCGUUGUCCAAGGGACCAUCUUCGACUGUAUUGACUUACAAAGGAUACGAGAUAAAUGGGAAUACAUUUUACACGAUCGCCCAAGAUCAAAAGAGCACCAACCAAAACAGCGGUGUCCGCUUUGAUGCAGCAACCGAGAGGGGAAAGGACAGAUAUUAUGGUUACAUAAUAGACAUAUGGGAACUUGACUACGGACAUGAUUUUAAGGUCCCUUUGUUUAAGUGCAAAUGGGUCAAUCUGUCAAGAGGCGGGGUACAGGUAGACCCACAGUACGGAAUGACAACAGUGGAUCUGAACAAUCUUGGGUACACUGACGAACCGUUCGUCCUAGCCAAUGAUGUGGCACAGGUUAUCUAUGUGAAGGACAUGUCUACCAGACCGAGAAAAAGAAAAGAUAAGGAAGCGAAUACAUCAUAGGAUGAGCCAAAGCGCCACAUAGUUCUUUCAGGAAAAAGUGACAUCGUGGGAGUGGAGGGCAAGACAGACAUGUCUGAAGAUUAUGAAAAAAGUUUCAUGAAAUUCCUCCCUUCAAAGUCAAGGCUGACCCAAGCAUCCUGAUAAACGAUGAAGAUUAUCCAUGGUUACGGCGCAAUAAGCAAAUGACACAAGCGAAGAAAAAGUGAAGACUUUCUCCCGCAACUAUUAUGAUGAUACCAUGCCAACUUUGUAACAGACGAGUAUGAUACCAUUGUCCGUUUUGUACACGAAGUGCAUCUAGUUUUUGCCGUAACCCUCUCAACUUUCUUGCACAUGCUAUGUGGAUGAAAUGAUGAUACCAUGCCAACUUUCAACCUUUUCAGAGUUCAUUCAAUUUCAGGGUCUUAUAGUUCAAAAUAAUCAAUAAAUGCAUGAAAAAUAACAAAUGAAGUCAGAAAGGGUUGAAAAUUGAUGAUGUGGCUUUGAAUGGUGCAUUUUGAACACACAAAAAGUCAGGAGUUCAAAUAAGUUUUAAGAAAUGAAAUCCCUUUGUAACAGACGAGUUUCCGUAUGAAAUCCUGAUACUUCGAAAGAGAUUGUCCGUUUUGUACACGAAGUGCAUUCAGUUUUUGCCGUAACCCUCUCAACUUUCUUGCACAUGCUAUGUGGAUGAAAUGAUGAUACCAUGCCAACUUUCAACCUUUUCAGAGUUCAUUUGAAAUGCUUUUCAAUUUUAGGGUCUUAUAGCUCAAAAUAAUCAGUAAAUGCAUGGAAAAUGAUGCAUGAAAAAUAACAAAUAAAAUAAAUAAGUAAUUAGAAACAAAAUAAUAUAAAGUUUAAUAAAAUAUAUAAGUAGAAACAAAAUAAAAUAAACUUUAAUAACAUAAAUAAAAUUUAUGAAACUAAAAUUAUCAAAGUAUUUUGUGUUCAAAACAUUAUAAGCAACCUCUAGUAUUAUUGAAACUAAAAUUAUAUAUAAUUGAUGCAACUAAAAUUAUCGAAGUAUUUUCUGUUCAAAAUCAUUGAAAGCAAAAAGAAUUUUCAUAAAGAACUUUUUUUGUUAGAAACUUUAAUAGCAAAAAGAAUCAUCAUAAAGUAAAAUAAAUAAGUAAUUAGAAACAAAAUAAAAUAAAAUAAAUAAGUUUUUUGUUGUAAAUAAAAACAAAACAAAAUAAAUAAAGCAAAAAAGAAAACAAAAAAAAGGCAAAAAAUAAAAAUUAUGCCACCUAUUGGGCCACCACGGCCUGAAUACGACUAGAAACCCAUCCAUGGGCCAGGAUUCAGGCCCGCAGAAGGCCCAGUAGGCCCACAGGCAUGUACAGAGAGGUUAGGCCCGUAAGCCUGCUUUAGAGAGGAGCUCGACAGCUCAGGCGCACCGCACCUUAUAAACAGGUGCGGCUCUCUCUCAGCUAGCGAGUUGGGACUAAACUCCCACCACCACUCCGCUGUGCAAGGCUUUCCGUCCCGGUUGGUGGCACCAACCGGGACUAAAGGGUGCCUUUGGUCCCGGUUGGUGGAACCAACCGGGACCACCCCUUUACUCCCGGUUGGUUCCACCAACCGGGACCAAAGGCCGCCGCUUCCCGNNNNNNNNNNNNNNNNNNNNNNNNNNNNNNNNNNNNNNNNNNNNNNNNNNNNNNNNNNNNNNNNNNNNNNNNNNNNNNNNNNNNNNNNNNNNNNNNNNNNNNNNNNNNNNNNNNNNNNNNNNNNNNNNNNNNNNNNNNNNNNNNNNNNNNNNNNNNNNNNNNNNNNNNNNNNNNNNNNNNNNNNNNNNNNNNNNNNNNNNNNNNNNNNNNNNNNNNNNNNNNNNNNNNNNNNNNNNNNNNNNNNNNNNNNNNNNNNNNNNNNNNNNNNNNNNNNNNNNNNNNNNNNNNNNNNNNNNNNNNNNNNNNNNNNNNNNNNNNNNNNNNNNNNNNNNNNNNNNNNNNNNNNNNNNNNNNNNNNNNNNNNNNNNNNNNNNNNNNNNNNNNNNNNNNNNNNNNNNNNNNNNNNNNNNNNNNNNNNNNNNNNNNNNNNNNNNNNNNNNNNNNNNNNNNNNNNNNNNNNNNNNNNNNNNNNNNNNNNNNNNNNNNNNNNNNNNNNNNNNNNNNNNNNNNNNNNNNNNNNNNNNNNNNNNNNNNNNNNNNNNNNNNNNNNNCGCCGGCACCCUCGCCUCCCCCACCGUCGCCAUCGCCAGACGCCCCCGCUGUGAGCCGCCGCGCAGGUCCGGCUCUGUUUUUAUUUUUUAUUAGAUUAAUUUUUUGUUCAUAUAUAUAUAAUGUAUAUUUGUAUGUAUGUGGCUAUAUGUAAGUUCAGAGCAUGUUUUUUAUUAGAUUAAUUUCUUAUUAGAUUUAUUACAUUUUUUUUGUUCACAACAUGUUUUUGUUCAUAUAUGUAUUUUUUUGUUCAUAUGUGUAUUAAUGUUUUUGUUGUAUAUAUGUAAUUUUUUUUCAAUGUAUAUAUGUAUGUGGUAGCUAUAUAUGCAUGAUGAGGGGGGUGGGGGUCGAUAUACCCCCUCCCCGAUAAUUUCAACAUGAGGGGAGGUCGAUACCCCCUCCCCGAUAACAUUUUUUAGAAAAGUUUUAUAUAUCUAGCUAGGAAGAAAGGAAGAAGGAAUGAACUAAUAAGAGGAUUAAGAAGAAAAAUAAGAGGAGAAGAAGAAGGAAUAGAGGAGAAGAAGAAAAAAUAGACUCUCUAUUUUUUCUUCUUCUCCUCUAUUCCUUCUUCUUCUCCUUUUUUUCUUCUUCUCCUCUUUUUUUAUCUUCUACUUCCUCUUCUUAAUUUUUAUCGGGAACUCCAUUCCAAAAUAACUUCAACAUGAUGGGCGGUCGAUAUAUAUACCCCCUCUCGACCGUGAUAACUUAUACCACGGGAGCACCCCCCCGGCCCUCUAGCUCGACCAAAACUCUCGAGGACACCCAAACCCUAGAAAAAACGAUGUCGGUCUCCUACCCCCUCCCGCCGCGCCCCUACCCUUGAAGCGUUGCCGAGGCCACCCCAAACCCGGAAUAAGCUAGAUCUACGUUUGCACUAAUAUAGCCACCUGUUGUCAUGUUUGUGUAAUAAUUGCCAUGUUGUAAUAUUUGCAGAAACAAUGGAGCACGGACGAGACGAGGAAGUAGAAGAGGUGUUGGGGGACAUAAUCUUAGCCGGAGGUGAUAUCUUGUCGUAUCUUAACGACAAUGAUGGUCUAGAAGAACAUGGUGAAGAAUCAGUCUACGGUGAUCGAAGAGUGGAGGAGGAAAGACAUGAUUAUGAUGGCUCCGGUGACCCAAUGCUGGUGCAAGAAGGAGCCCAUGGUGACGGCUCCGGUGACCGAACAGAGUCCGGCCAGGUAAAUAUAUUAGUUAAGCCUGUGCUGACUAGCUAAUUGAUGCAUUCAUUGUUUUGGUAUGUACACAUAUUAAUUAACUCUCGUCUUUCUUCUUUUUUCUAGCCCUCCGGAUCGAGCACAACUUCGGUAAAGAGACGAGGCCCGAAGAGAAAGUUGCGCUCGGAUGAAAGGUUUGAGAUCACAGCAAUCGCGCGCGACGGCCAACCGAUUGAACCCAUCCGGACAAAGGAAGCAUUUGCUGCUUAGUGCGGGGUUCUUGUUAGGGACAAGAUCCCGAUCAGCAUCCACCAAUGGUAUAAGCCUAAGAAGGAAGACCCUGAGGUGUCUUAUGUCAAUGAUAUGCAGAAAGAUGAUCUUUGGACUGAGCUGAAGGCAAAUUUCACCCUACCGCCAGAGGAGGAUCCGGAGAAGCCAGUUAAAGAGCAAUUAAUCAAGUCUCAUGCUCUUAAGAAGAUGGCAGACCUAUUCAGGAGGUGGAAGAAUGAGCUGAAAACGUUUGUCGACAAAGAAGAGACACCAGAAUUCAUCGGCCGGUAUGAGAAGAUCAGAGAUCACUGGCCCACAUUUGUGGCCCACAAGACAUCGGAAAAGAGUAAGAAGAUGUCAGCGACAAACAAGAAGAAUGCUGCGAAGAAGAAGCUUCACCAUCGCACGGGGUCAGGUGGCUACCUCAAAGCCCGGCCUAAGUGGGCCAAGGCUGAGAAUGAUCUGCUUGAUAAAGGGAUCGAACCAUAGACAAUGAACUGACCAGACCGUUGCCGGGCUUGGUUCUUCGGGGCUGGCGGAAAAUUGGACCCUGUAUCAAGGAGGUGCAUUUGGACGGACGAGCUUUUGAGAAUACCAGUCAAGAGGCUUCAGCACUAUAUCGAUGCAGCGUAGUAAGGGACGUUUGUUCCAGACAGAGAGAACGACGAGCUCACAAUGGGCCUCGGGAAUCCUGAGCACCCUGGACAGACACGAGGCACGCCAGGCUCCGUUCCAUGGAAGGCUGGUUUUCCGGACGCAGGCGGUUACAAAAGCCAGGAGAGGAGGAAAAAAGUGGAGCAGACCCAAAUUCAGAAGCUGCACGAAAGGGUUCAAGCGCUAGAGGAACGAGACGGCAAUCGACAUGCCGAAACUACCCCCGAAGCUACCCCGCCAUCUCAGCGGAGAAGCAGCGUGGCUUCCACCGAGCUGCUUCAGCCCGAGCAUGUCUUGACGGCUCCUGCUAGCUACCCCGUGGAUGCUAUCACGGAGUCUCAACAUUGCCACCUUAUGACGCAAUGGAUGAAAUUCAAAGUCAAGGCGGCUGUUGGCUCUGUUUUACCUACUGAACCUGGCGCAACCUAUCACUGCCGGCCGAUUCCAGAAGGAUAUGCUAGGGUGAUGGUGGAUGAAAUAACAGACGGAUUUGAGGACCUCGAGCUUGACCACCCUACCGGUGAAGGGGAGACUCGGCUGGGUUCUGCUCUGAAGACUCCAUGCCUAUGGCGGAAGGAGCUCAUCAACCUUCCGACUGGACGCCUCCGGCGAGUAAGGGCACUCCGCCUCCUCCUCCGGCGAGUGAUCAGGACACUCAGCCUCCUUCUCCGGCGCAUGGCGGCACUCCGCCUCCUCCUCUGGCGAGUGAUCAGGGCACUCAGCCUCCUUCUCCGGCGCGUGGCGGCACUCCGCCUCCUUCUCCGCCUGCGCCAGCGCGCCAGAGCAGCCAGCCUCCUCCUUCUUCGCCUCGUCAGCAAGGGCGGAAGAGACCCGCCGCCGCUCCGGCUGCUCCGACGCGUCGUAGUCCUUCUCCUCCGCCUCGUAAGCAAGGAAAGAAGACAGCCGCAGCCGCUCCGUCUGCUCUGCUGGCGUCUAGCAGUACAGCCAGAGGCGGGAGGCAAUACAGAUUCGGUCCUUCUCUGAAGACUCUAGAGAAGUUACCAUACGAGAGGACCGAGGAGGAAACCACGAAGAUUGUGCGAGCCGAAGUGAUGAACUUCUUUGAAGGGGUGAAAGCAAAUAAACAUCCACCUUCGGAGGAGAAGGUAGAUCCGGUGAAAGCGAAGCGCACUCGGGCUGCCCUGACAAAACCACCAAAGUCUCCGCCGAGAGGCAACUAUGAGCGCAUUCUUGCAAAGACAUUUGCCGAAGCGAAGCGGUCGGGAAGUACUGUCAGUGAUCAAAGGUUAAAAGAACGACGAGCUGGGAAAAAAAUUGCCCAGCUCGGCGAACAAGCGAACCAAUCGUGCCCCCCGCUCAAGGUGUCUAGCGACAUCGUCGCUAAUGAUCCGAGGAUUGUGCCCGGUUAUAGCAAUCUUGGAGAUUACCUGCCCGACGAUGUACAUUAUGAUAUCUUGGAGGUGGACGAACACAAAUACCAUUACGGGAAGCUUCUCGUCAAAGAUGAAAGAUCUCUAACAACGAUGAUGCGAAGAUUACAUGAUUGGUACAUGAAAACCUGCAGAGAGUCUGGGGAGGAAUACUUUGACGUUGAGAGUUAAACAGGAGCAUGACCUCGUUGGAAUUGAACUGUUGGAUGUUCCAUUUGAGGAGUUCUUCCAGUUUUUCAAUCAAAAGGCCCUCGAUAAAUCAAUGAUCACUUGCUACUGUCUGUAAGUAGUACUACUUCUGUCAUUAAGUCUCUCUAUAUAGGUCAGCUCUUUCAUUGCAUGUAUUUAUAAUUAUCCUCACUAUAUUAUGCAGAUUGAAGAUCGCCGAAUUGAAGAAAAGACAAAUCCGUGAUAUUUGGGUUCAUUAACACAAAUCUCAUAGAUGCAACUGAGGCUAAAUAUCAUGCCGAAAAUACUGAGGCCAACUUGCUACGAUCGUUGGUAAUAAAUGAAAACAAAGAUAUAAUACUCUUUCCUUACAACUUCAAGUGAGUGUUACUGUCUUGUGCAUAUUCGGUUUCCCUUAUUAGUCCAGGUUAUAGUAAUGUAAUUGAUGACUUAUGCAUGCGUGCGCAGCUUCCACUAUAUUCUCCUAGAGAUUAAGCUUGAGCAGGGAGUAGUAACCGUCUUAGACUCGAGACGAAAAGAUCCCCAGGACUAUGCGGACAUGACUCAAAUGCUCGAGAAGUAAGUUAAAUCGAUCAUUAUCCACCAUAUCAGCAACUUUGUUCAUUUCCUGAUAUCAAGUAAUUGUUUUCUUUGUCUGGCAGGGUUUGGAGAAAAUUCACCAAAAAAGCUCUGGGACUGCCGAAGAAGCUGCAAUUUAGACACCCGAAAGUAAGUACUAUAGUAGCAUGUUCCGCGCAUCUCCUAGUGAUUCAAGCGCUAGUUUCAUCAAUACCAUUUAGCAUGCUUGCUUAUCAGUUUGAUUGACCUCUAUUUCUUGUAAAGUGGUUGUGGCAGGAACCCGGGAAUAAUUACUAUGGAUACUACAUUUGCGAGUCCAUCCGCUACACGACCUGUGAGCGGGGCUACUCUGACGAACAAUAUGAAGUGCGUAAGGAAUAAUAUUCAUAAUUUUAUUUUAUUAUCAUCAUUUGUGUUGAAUUUCAUUUAUUCAUAUAUAUAUGUAUUGACCCCCUUCCUCAAAUUAGAUCUUUCGGAUGCGGGAUGAACUCCUAGCACUAGAUCGUAUGCGAGCAAUUCAAGAGGAAUUGGCGGCAUUCUUCCUUGACCACGUGAUCGCUGAAAACGGAGAAUACUAUGUGGACCUGUAUUCUUACAAUUUAAUUAGGAGAUUAUAUUGUAAGAGAUAAUUAUUGUAUAUAUGUAGCCGGUAGUGUCGGAUAGAUAUACGAGAACUUGUUGUUCGACCAAUCUCUCGGAGAAGGAGAGGUGGUCGAUAUCACUUCUCUUUGUAUGCAUAUGUUCAUGACGAUCUUCUGUUUCCUUCAUUUGCUUACUAGUUAGCGUGUCUAGUCCUCUCCAUACGUAUAUAGUACGUAGCGUCGACCAAGCACGGAGAUUUUCGACGUUCAAAAACCGGGACAAAAGGCCCUUACCAACCGGGACAAUAGGCCCUUUUUCUACUAGUGUUCUCAGAUUUUCGACGGAAUAUCAGAGGUCGACAAGUGGAUUUAAUUUGCACUCAUUUGAUAACUCAUAAAUUACAAAGGGGCAUACCUGGGAAUAUCGCCGUGUUAGAUGUUACAAGCAGUCGACAACGUACGUGGGCCACCAGGCGUCGACCAAGUAGAGCUUGGAUUUUUGCUUCAGUUUGCGUGGUGAAGAUUCUGCUUGCUGUACAGGAUAUGAAUUCCACAUGACUUCCAACAAGACUUGUAUGGUUGUACAGUGCCACUUCAUCGCUUCCUCUGACACAUGACUUCCAACAAGACUUGGGGUUCAGCAUAUGUGUUAACCACAAUUUAACACUGAAACCUUAUUUUUACAACCAGACACCAGUACGGAAUUUUCCCACAACUUGUCCUUACGCUGUGCCACCAGCCACGAGUCCUUAAGCUAAAUAUUUUGUUCUAUGUUCCAGCUGAAAAGAAAAAGGGAAACUCCACUGCAAGUGUUAUCUCAAACCCAUUCUGCACAUUAGAAGAAAGUGAAGGCCGAUGAGAAUUGGGAAAGAUCCUGUUUCAUUUUUCAGCAUGGAUGAGAAAAGAAAAAUAGAGGAAGAUGGAAAACAGACAGCCCAGCAACAGCUGCCAAAGGGAUGUGCUAGGAUCCAAACAAGAGCUGCCAAAGGAACUUCCAGUAGAGAAAGAUGGAAACACUGAAGAAUAGUCAUCCAGUAGCAACUUAAGACACUGAAAAUUUUGGCAUGGGGAUACCUAAGUGAAAUAGUUGGGUUCUUCUGGUUAUUCUCUAAAGUAUGGAAGCAAUAGUAAUAAUUUGCACUGUUUUGAUUACUCGUAAAUUACAGAGGGGCAUACCUGGAAAUAUUUGUGCAUUGGAUGUUACACGGCAACCAACACGUACGCGGGCCGGCAGAUGUACAGAAAGCUCCGGUAACACACUUGAGCUUGGAUUUUUCUUUACUUCAGAUUCUGUGAUGAAGAUGCGGGCUCGGUUGUACUACCUCCUAUUCCCUCGGACACAGGACUUCCUACAAGACUUGGGGUCCAGGAUUUUUAUUAACCACAAUUAAACAUUGAAGCCUUUAUUUUUACCACCGCCGGUGGCGAAAUUUCCACACAAUUUGUCGUUGCAUUGUGUCACCAGUCAUGAGUCCUUGAUCUAAAUAUUUUGUUCUAUGUACAUAACCGUACGUAGCUUAAGACAUAUCUUGCUCUAUGAAAAGCGAGAAGGGAAACAAUUUUAGAGAUAAAGUAGCUUAUGAGAAAAAGGCUUUCGCCCCGCUAUAUAGAUAUAGCAACCGCCCGAUACAAUAAAGAGUUCAAUGCUGGGGCAAACAGCACAAGCAUGCCUAAAAGAAACAAAAGAGAAAGAAGAGAGAAAAUAAUGUUAACAACGUCGGAUCGACGAAAACGAUGAUAACCCGAAAGCGUUGCGCCCACCGGAGAUGUACCACCUCGCUCCAGGCACCUCGAACCUCCGCAUACCAAGCAGCACCUUCAGGAAGGAACACGACGACGACGACGCUGCCGCCCGGACAGGUCCUAGGGUUUCCCCCGAUACGCGGAGGGGCGUGGGGAAGGGGAAGACCCGAUGCCCUUCAGGAAGGAACGAUGGCGCCCACGAGCGUCAUCGCGUCGGUGCCGGCAAGCCGGCACGGAUUUCUCCCAUCCGCCAAACACCCACAACCCCGAACGGUCCGACGCGCUCCACCAGACAAGCCACCCACGAACGUGCGCCACCACGGUCUUGCCAUCAUCACCGCCGCCUCACCAUGGUCAUCGAAGCGAGACCGACGAGGACGAGAGGGAGCAGCCGGGAACGAGGAGCAGCAGCGACAGCAGCCACGCCGGAGGAGACAACCUCCACCGCCAUCGGCGGUCACCGACCGGACGCGGCAAGGGGAGCAUACCAGGCCCUCGAGGCCCGGCCGAGCCCAAAAGGGGCUCGUGAAGCACCCGUCGCCGAGCUGCACUAGACAUGCCGCCGUCUCCACAACCCCCCGCACGAGCCGCGCCACCACCGCCCCCACCAGAGCCGAUGCUGGCGAGACCGGGUCAGGCCCGCCUAGACCCAGAUAGGGCCCAUAUCUGGGCCGGGAGGGCGCCCCCACGAUCCACUGCGCCAGCCCGCCGCCAAGUGGCCGCGCCGCUGCCUCUAGGCCACCCGGAGCUGCGCCGCCUGGAGCAGCCGUCGCUGCCGGAACCACCGUCAACCGAGGAGCCAUGGCACCGCGCGCGGGGAAUGGAAAUGCCGCCGCCGCCGCCAACACCACGCGGGCAGGGCCCGGUGGCGCAGGCCGGCGGCGGCGGAAGGAGGGGAAGGGGAGGGGAAGGCGCUGGGGGCCGGGAAGAUGGGCCCCCGGUCGCCUCGCUCGGGGAGGCGACGCGGAGGGCGGGCCGGAAGGGGAGGGAGGGAGGUGGGGCGCGGCGCGGCGCACGCGGCCGGCGGCCGGAGGCGCGGGAGGGGAGGGGAGGGCGGCCGACGGCGGCGGAGGCACGCGAGGAACCCUAGGAGCGGAUCAGAUAAAGUAGCUUAAGACAUAAAUGUAGCACUUACAAAUGAAUGACCAAAUAAACAAGGAAAUACUGAAUGCAUAUGCAUAUGCUUGGUUUGCUGUUGUGGCCUAAGAUUUUCUUCAGUAGACAGACAGGUGUGUGUGCACAAGCAGAGUGAGGCAGCUCUCGUCUCAACCCAGCCUGGUUCUAAUAGGUGCCUACCUACUUCUCUCUGCAGGAAAUCUAGCAGCUAAUUAAGACAUAUUACUUUCAACAACGGUCGAGUGUUACACAAGAAGUUUGGUCGACAGGCAAGGUUCUAUGCGUGUACGUACUCAUAACAAAUUCACAUGGAACAACAAAUAAUUUACUACUACUGUUUCAAGCAUUGGUUGGCGAGGACGGCAUGAGAUGAUACGCUAUGAAAAGCCCAGGUACAGCCAACAAGGAUCUCUAUCAGAAAGGUGGAUACCAACUCACCACUAAAUUCAACAGCUCCUUUUAUCACUCCACAUCAUUCCAAAAUAAACAAUUGGAGCCGUAUAGCUAUGUUGCGUUGUACAUCUCUAUGCACUGCUAUGAGGUACCAAAUUCCUGCCUAAAAUAGUAAUAAUCUGCACACAUUUGAUUACUGGGAAAUUACAAACGGCAUAUCUGGGAAUAUUGGAAUGUAGGCAGACGUACAGAAAACGCCGGUAACCCACUUGAGCUUGGAUUUUUCUCUUCAGCUUGUGUGGUCAUGAUGCUGCUCGGUUGUACAGGCAUUGAAUUCAACACAAAUUGUAGCCACUGCCUCAUAUUCCCUUGGACACAGGACUUCCAACAAGACUUGGGGCCCAGGAUUUGUAUAAACCACAAUUCAACACUGAAACCUUUAUUUUCACAACCGCCGGUGAAUAGAUUUCCACGUAAAUUUUUGUUGCGUUGCGCCACUAGUCACAAGUCCUUGAGCUAAAUAGUCUGUUCUAGUUUGUCGUUGCAAUCAACACGUACAUGGGUCCGCGGACGUACAGAAAACGCUAGUAACCCACUUGAGCUAAGAUUUUUGCUUCAGCUUGUGUGCUGGAGAUGCUGCUUGAUUGUACAGGCUUUGAUAUUCCACAAGUUACAGCGAAAAAGGGAACAUUUUAGAAAAUAGGCUACUUCAGUUUCUUCAUAAUUGGAGCAGUGACCAAAGAAAUACCAUCAAACAAGUCACAGAAGAUACUGUCAAAUAAACAAAGAAAUAUUAUCAAACAAAUCACAGGAGAUACCAGCAAAUAAAAAAAGAAAUUCUAUCAAACAAAUCACAGGAGAUACCAGCAAAUAAAAAAAGAAAUUCUAUCAAACAAAUCACAGGAGAUACCAUCAAAUAAAAACUAUACUGCAAUGUUAACUCAAGUCCAUUCAGUGCAUAAGUUGUCGACGGAGGAGAAUUGGGAAAGAUAUGAUGAGUAGGCGUACGCCGUGGGUUUUCUAGGAAUAAUUCCUGUGUCAUUUGUCCACAUGAAUGAGGAAAGAAAAGGAGAGGAAGAGAUGGCGACGCUAAAGAAGGAAAACAGGCAGCCCCGUAGCAGCUGCCAAAGGAGAUGGCGACACUGAAGAAUAGUCAUCCAGCAUCAGCAUCCACUCAACUCGUGUGUGUUCACUGAAGGAUCUCAUAACACUAUUUAAAUAUCAGUUGAGUUGCGCUGUGUAUUGAAUCACCUCCGCAACACAUCAUGCAAACAGUGGGCAGCAAAAUGCCAUCUUCCCCAACACCAUUGCAGUACCUCAGCCUAAUGUUGGUGCCAUGCCUUCUUAUCUUGCAAGAAGCACGGGCGGCGUACCAUGGAGGGAUCUCAACGAGGUCUCAAAGCAUGGCCCUUCUCCACUGGAAAGCCACAAUAGCAAGCCCACCGUUCCAGAUGAGCUCUUGGAAGGAACACACAAGCCCCUGCAACUGGACAGGCAUCAUGUGCACGGCUGUUCACCACGGCCGCCGCAUGCCCUGGGUGGUGACCAACAUCUCCUUGCCGGAUGCCGGCAUCCAUGGCCAGCUUGGUGAGCUCAACUUCUCGGCCCUUCCAUUCCUCACAUAUAUUGACCUAAGUAACAACAGUCUCCACGGUGCACUACCCGUUAGUAUCAGCUCCCUCUCAGCACUUUCGGUUCUUACCUUUCGCGACAACCAGCUCACAGGGAAAAUUCCCUACGAGUUUGGUGGCUUGCAAAGUCUCAAGCUGCUUGUUCUGUCAUUUAACAGACUCACAGGACGUAUCCCUGCGUCUCUAGGCAACCUAACAAUGUUAACUGAUCUUGCCAUUCACCAAAACAUGGUAUCAGGUCCCAUUCCUGAGGAGAUUGGAAGGCUUGUCAACCUACAAAUUCUUCAGCUAAGCAACAACACCUUAAGCGGCAUGAUACCGAAAACCCUUGGAAAUCUGACCCAGCUAAUUGGUUUGUACAUGUUUGGUAAUCAACUUUCAGGGCCUAUACCCCAAGAACUAGGAAGGCUAGUCCAUUUACAAAUUCUUCAGCUUCACUCAAAUGAUAUUUCAGGUCCAAUUCCAAUUUCCAUAACCAAUCUCACUAAGAUGAACCAACUUUUUCUCUUUGAAAAUAAAAUCACAGGUCCAAUACCCCCAGAACUAGGCAACCUCAGUAUGCUACAACAACUUGCUCUCUACACAAAUCAAAUAACAGGUUCAGUACCCCCAGAACUAGGGAACCUCACAAUGCUCAAUGUACUUGUUCUCUAUACAAAUCAAAUCACAGGCCCAAUACCUUUAGAGUUGAGCAUCUUGAUGAAUCUACAGUUUUUAGACUUGUCCAGCAACCAAAUAUCUGGCUCUAUUCCUAACAGCCUAGGAAAUUUAACCAACCUAGAAGUACUAUCCCUCUUUGAAAAUCAGAUAACAGGACCAAUACCUAAAGAAUUGGGCAUCUUGCUGAAUCUUCAAGAGUUAGACUUGUCCGAAAACCAAAUAUCUGGAUCUAUUCCUGGCAGCUUGGGAAAUAUAACCAAGCUAGCAGCACUAUCCCUCUAUGUAAAUCAGAUAACCGGUUCCAUUCCCCAAGAGAUCGGCAAUAUGAUGAACCUUGAAAGUUUAGGCUUGUUUCAGAACCAAAUUUCGGGAUCAAUACCAAGAACUUUUGGGAAGUUGCAAAGCAUCCAAAAAAUGCAAAUCUUCGACAACAAAUUAUCAGGUUCUCUUCCUCGAGAAUUUGGAUAUCUCAUCAGCCUUAUUGAACUUGGGUUGGGUAUCAACUCCCUUUUAGGACCUUUACCCGCAAAUAUAUGUUCAGGUGGUAGACUUCAAUACCUCAGUGUAUCUUCUAAUAUGUUCGAUGGCCCCAUUCCAAGAAGUUUAAAGACAUGUACAAGUUUGGUUCGACUUCGCCUUGAGUCGAACCAACUAACAGGAGAUAUAUCACAAGAUUUUGGUGUGUAUCCACAACUCAUACAAAUGCGAUUAGCGUCAAAUAGACUCUUUGGGCAGAUCUCAACAAAUCUAGGUGCAUGUACGCAACUAAAAGAACUAAAUCUAGCACAAAAUAUGAUCACGGGUUCCAUACCACCAAUCCUUUCUAAACUAUCCAAUCUAGUAGAACUAACACUCGAUUCUAAUCAUCUCAUCGGUGAGAUUCCACCAGAAAUCUGUAGUUUAGCAAAUCUGUAUAAACUCAACCUGUCAUCGAACCAAUUAUCUGGAUCCAUACCUGCACAGAUAGAAAAGCUAAGAAAUCUAGGAUACCUUGAUAUAUCUAGGAAUAGACUGAGCGGAUCAAUACCUGAGGGACUGGGGGCCUGCAUGAAACUAGAGUCCUUGAAGAUUAACAACAACAAAUUCAAUGGGAGUUUGCCUGGUGUGAUUGGAAAUUUAGCAGGCCUGCAGAUCAAGUUAGAUGUGAGCAACAAUAAUCUUGGUGGUGCAUUGCCGCAGCAACUUGGGAAUUUGGAGAUGCUAGAAUUUCUGAAUCUAUCACAUAAUCAGUUUAGUGGCAGCAUUCCGUCCACCUUUGCAAGCAUGGUGAGCCUUUCAACACUUGAUGUGUCCUACAAUGACUUGGAUGGACCAGUUCCAACAACACGGCUACUCCAAAAUGCUUCAGCAAGUUGGUUUCUUCACAAUAAAGGUUUGUGUGGCAACAUCUCUGGCCUCCAACUUUGCGAUUCAACUCCAAUUGCAGCCGAUCACCACAAACGGAAGAUACUUGGUUUGCUUUUGCCAAUUGUUCUUGUGGUGGGUUUUGGCAUUUUUUCUGCAAUUGUUGUCAUAAUAAUGCUGAGUCGUAACAAGAGAAAACCACAAGAAGUUGUUACUACUGAAGGAAGGGACCUAUUCUCUGUUUGGAAUUUCGAUGGAAGAUUAGCAUUUGACGAUAUUGUAAGGGCAACAGAAGACUUUGAUGAUAACUACAUCAUUGGAGCGGGAGGAUACGGAAAUGUCUACAAGGCACAACUCCAAGACGGGCAGCUAGUUGCUGUGAAGAAGCUGCAUCAGACAGAAGAAGAGUUGGACGAUGAAAGAAGGUUUCGCAGUGAAAUGGAAAUCUUAUUACAGAUCCGCCAACGAAGCAUUGUCAAAAUGUAUGGAUUCUGCUCCCAUUCAGCGUAUAAAUUUCUUGUGUACGACUACAUUCAGCAGGGAAGCCUCCACCAGAUGUUGGAAAAUGAGGAGACAGCAAGGGAAUUGGAUUGGCAAAAGAGAAUUGUCGUUGUAAAUGAUGUGGCUCAAGCAAUAUCUUAUUUGCACCACGAAUGCAGUCCACCUAUAAUCCAUCGAGAUAUAACGAGUAACAACAUCUUACUUGAUGCAACCUUCAAGGCUUUCGUCUCAGAUUUCGGCACAGCAAGGAUUCUUAAGCCUGAUUCAUCAAACUGGAGUGCACUAGCGGGGACGUAUGGGUACAUAGCUCCUGGUAUGUACUAGUAUAACCUUCCUUCUCACGUCUGAAGCAUUUAUCUCUAUCUAUUUGUACCUAACUCUAAUGUCUUAUUAUGUGCAGAACUCUCGUACACAUCUGUUGUCACGGAGAAAUGUGAUGUCUAUAGCUUUGGUGUGGUUGUGCUAGAGCUACUUAUGGGGAAGCAUCCAAGGGAUCUAUUAGACGGUAGUUUGUCAAAUGGGGAACAAGCUAUGCUGGUGAAAGAUAUUCUGGACCAGCGACCGACAACACCAACAGCAACAGAAGAGAAUAGCUUAGCUCUGCUCAUCAAGCUGGCUUUCUCUUGCUUGGAAUCUUCUCCACAAACAAGACCAACCAUGAGGCAGGCAUACCAGACACUCAUCCAGCGACCCUCUUCUAGUUCCUCUUCCGUGCCUUUCAGUGCACUAACACUACAGCAAGGGAUGCAUGUUGACAUGUGAUCUGAAUUCUGGCGAGAAGCCAGGGACUAUCGUAGCGGAGGCCAACUUAGGUUCCCGCUUUAGACUCGAGUCACUCAUAUGCCACACAUAUUAUUACCUCCUGUAUGACACACGGGAUGAGUUGAUGACUCAUUCUAAGUCUAUGUAUUUGUAGAAAAUCUCCUGAUAUAGGAAAAUACCACGGUGAAAGGACUUCCAGGAAAAUUACCACACGGAGCUAGGUGCAGGAAAAUUACCAACAGCAAGGAAAACUAGUUGAGUCAGUACCUCAUCAUCAAUGUAAUCUGGGACGUAGUAGUUUCUACCGAUAGUUUCUUGUAUUUCAUUGCUCACAUGCAUAAGAUCCAUCAUCUCGUAUUGCAUGCCCUGCAGAAUAUAGAGGCAGGUAUGGAUUCAGAUGCAAUUGAAACAAACGUAGACAGAAAAGAUAGACAAUCAAAUGAGAAUCUUGAAAACAUGAACAAUCUGGUAAACAACAGGAUGCUGCAUACAUCUAUAUCUUCAAUCCUGACAGUUUCCGUCAUUCAUUUCAGCUCUUUAUUGGAAGUUACCAUUGCAGUCAUCUGUUAAUGAAAGAGAAUCCGAAUCUAACAUGAACUAGACAGGAAAGUAAGGCAACAUACAGUGUGUUGAGCAUCUUUAGUUCACUCUGAUGCAAUAGUACAGCAUGUCAUGUUGUCCUUCAUACCUGUAGGGAAGGCAUAUGGAAUACAGAUAUUAGAACAUGGUUUCUCUAUUAGAUAAGAACACAACCUUUACAAAAAUGAGCUAUUCCAACGAAGGAAAUAGAAUAUAUAGGUGUGUAUGAAGGCAACAUACAACGAAAGGACAUUUCAUCGAAUAGGUAGUGUUGUGGGAAGAGAGGUGAACAAGACGUCGCUGGGGGUGCUGUGGGCAUUUCAUCGAACAGGUAGCGUGCCGGAACUAAUCUUUGUGGCCCUGGUCAACUAUCUCCUCCAAAUUUUGAGUCUUCUCCAAGAAAUGGAUGCUCAAAGCACCAAAAUCAGCAGCAACCACCAAAUUCUCCUCAUCCAUCGCAUCAAUCACCAGAAGUUGUAAGAUUUAUUAGGCCGAGAGAAGACGGCGGCAAUGGAGCAAGUACUAAGUUGAGGCGGAGGGUGAGCAGCGGUGGCGUGGCGAACAGGACGGAUGUAGAGCAGCGAGGAGAAGAGGACGGUGGUAGGGAGGAGAACAGCGGCCGGGUCACCGCCGUAGCUCGGCCGGCACUGCGAGGAGAAGACGACGGCGACGGGGCCAAACCCAAACAGCUGUUUCCCCUGUUUUUAUUUUAUUUUUAUAAGUUUUCUCUGGUUUCUUUUGGUUUAAGGUGGAUUUUCUGUUCUCCAUCAUUUUUUCCUCUGAUUUUUUAUUUUUCUUUGCCAUUUUUAUAUACAUUUAUAAAUAUAGCUCUGUUGUAUAUAUACUCUGUUGCUUUUAUCUUGAAUCCUACUGAUCACAUUGCAUUUGAAUGCAUGGGCAAUUUAUUUGUGAAAGUGCGUUAUAUCGACUAGAGGGGGGUGAAUAGGCGAUUUUUAUGAAUUCUUCACUGAUGAAUUUGUGGGUGAGGAAAUUCCUUAGCGAAGAACUACUUGCAGCGAAAUAAGUACUCAAAAGUAUACAUAGCAGAACACAAGCAUAGUCAUCAUGAUGAAAUGAAAACAAGCACAGAGUAAAGAAAGCGUAAUCACAGGAUAACACAAGAUGAAGACAAACAGACUGAGGAAAUUGAACUGAGGAAAUUGAGAAAUUCUUCAGUCAAAGUCUUCAAACACAGAUAUGAACAAACAUACAACACAGUAAUGAGGAAAUGGAAGAGUUGAGGAAAUAUAACCAGUAAGCUUGGUGAAGACAGUGAUUUGGUAGACCAGUUCCAACUGCUGUCUCAGUUGUACGUCUGGUUGGAGCAGCUAGGUAUUUAAACCUGAGGACACACAGUCCCGGACACACAGUCCUCACUGUAUUCUCCUUGAGCUAAGGUCACACAGACCUCGCCCAAUCACUCGUGGUAAGUCUUCAGGUGACUUCCAAACCUUCACAAACUCGGUCACUCAGCGAUCCACAAUUUCCUCUUGGAUGCUCUAGACCAUGACGCCUAACCGUCUGGAAGAAGCACAGUCUUCAAAGGUGACAAGCGUCGGAUCCACGCAGGAUCAAUCUCUUCAGUGAUGCUCAAUCACUUUGGGUUUGUAGGUGUUUGGGUUUGGGUUUUCCUCACUUGAUGAUUUUCGCUCAAAGUCCUCGGAGGAUGGGAUGCUCUCAAUUGACAAGUGUCAGUUUCUCUCGGAGCAACCAACCAGCUAGUGGUUGUAGGGGGCGGCUAUUUAUAGACUAGGGAGCAGCCCGACAUGAUAAGACAUAAAUGCCCUUCAAUGAUAUGACCGUUAGGUGGGUAGAUAUGUUGGGACAGCUGGCGCAUAGCACAACAACGGUCGGAAAUUUGAGUAUCAAAUUCCUCAGGGCUAUCAUAUUCCUCACUGUGUAGGCAAUCUGCACUGGCGAAUUCCUAACUCCUUAGUCAGAGCAAAUUCCUCAGCGACCAGAAGAACUUCGUCUCUGUCACUGAAGAAUAUGACUGAACUGUAUGAGAUUUCCAAUGGCUUCACUCGAAGGGAUUGGUAGGUGUAGGAUUUUGAGUUGAGCAUCACAUGGAAAUUUUUCCUUUGUAUUUCCUCGACCCCCUUUAACAGUACGGUGUUUCCUAAGACUCAAGAAAGAGAAAAUGAAACUACGAAAACAAAAGUCUUCACGCUUCAUGUUCCUCAAAUGAAUACCAAGUGUUCAAGGUCACACCAAUUUCUUCACUUUCAAAGUCUUCAAAAAGUCUUCAGAAAUACCAAAGUCUUCAGUCGAAGAACUUCAUUUUUAGGGGUCGACUUUCUCUGUAAAUAUCAAACUCCUCAUAGACUUAUAUACCUGUGUACACUCAUAAACACAUUAGUCCCUUAACCUAUAAGUCUUCAAUACACCAAAAUCACUAAGGGGCACUAGAUGCACUUACAAUCUCCCCCUUUUUGGUGAUUGAUGACAAUAUAGGUUAAGUUUUCAACGGGGCUAAACAUAUGAAGUGUAAAUACUGAUAUUGAGGAAUUUGAUUGCAAGAUAUAGAAGAACUCCCCCUGAAGCUGUGCAUAGUGAGGAAUUUGCUUUUGAAGCAAUGCACACUUGAAGAAUUGAAUCAUGGAGAUCUCCCCCUAUAUCUUGUAAUUCAUACACGCUUUUGACAUAAUAUAUGAAGAAAUUGAAAUGCAUGAUGAAAUAUGGUGACUGAUGUAAUUCAGCGUGCGUGCAAUAAUAUUAACGAGGAAUAAGCAUGCAGAAGAAACAUCAAAAGUAUCAGACCAUCAUAGAGUUUAAGUUUACAACUCGAUCCAACAAAGUCAUCAGAAGAAUGAGAGUUGUAACUUUAGAAAAAAACGCCCAUAAGAUAGACCCGCUUGAAGACUAACUCAAAUUUCUCCCCCUUUGUCAUCAAAUGUCCAAAAGGGUCGAAAAUGAGGACUAACACCCCUGAAGAAUAUCAAGGUGAUGAAGGAGCAUCAGCGUUGUUGGGGUCGUUUGUUGAUGUAGGGCCUGCCGUAGUGUCGUCCAAGUCUUCAUGUUCAUCAGUGUCACGUGAUGAAGAAUAGGAGCUGGCCACCAAGGAAGGAACCUUGACCUUCUUGUACUUCUUCGGAGGAGGUGCAGCCCAGUCAAGAUCUUCCUUGAGACCCAUUUUCUUCAUAUCUUCUUCACUAUAGACUUGAGAUAGAACAGCCCAGGUGCGGUUGAGGGUUUCAUGAAGGUAGUAAUGGUUUUUCUUCACUGCAUUGUGGGUAGCAGUCAUGUUGUGAAGAAUUGAACCAAACUGACGCUUGACCCAUUUAUGAUUGCGAUCAACCUUCUGAUGAAGACUGAGGAGAAGCUCACGGUCAGUCAUCACCCUGGGUGCUGUGCCUUGAGGAUUUUGCUUGGGUGCGUUUGCGGCAGAGUCAUGGGUGGCAGAGUCAUCAUUAGUGGAGCAAGAUGCAGCCUUGCGAAAUUGUCCAUCCAAUGAACGAAUGCCUUCAUCAAUUACAGCAGUAGCCUUGCCCUUUUCAUCAACUGAGGAAAAUGUCCGUUUGAAGACUUCAAUUGGGGGCAAGUAGCUGCAAUGGUUCAGUGUAUCAGCUUUAUAGUUGAGUGAAGACCUUGUCCUGAUGAAUCUCAUAAUCCAAGAUGCAUAAGGCUUCAACUCAAAUGGUGACAUGGCGACAUUGGCCAGAGUCCUCAUGAAGAAAUCAUGGAAGUUUAUGGGAAUGCCAUGAAUGAUAUUGAAAAACAGAUUCUUCAUGAUGCCAACGACUUCUUCUUCAUUUGAGUCGUGGCCCUUGAUAGGACUCAAUGUCUUCGUCAGAAUGCGAUAGACAGUCCGAGGCACAUACAACAAUUCCUUCACAAGGAAUUUUGUUCUUGGGGCUUGACCUGGCUUCAAAGGCUUCAUCAGCACUUGCAUGUAGUGAUCGGUAAGCUCAGGUUCAUUGUAGACGCAACAAGCACCUUCAAGGGGCGGACUGAGAGGUAAGGCACGAAGAAAUUCAGUAGCUGGUGCCUUGUAGUGAGUGUUUUCAGACAUCCAGUCCAGCACCCAUGAAUUCACAUCUUCAGAAUUUCCGGUGAUGUGCAACGUCGCAUAAAAUUGAAGAAUAAGUUCUUCAUUCCAAUCACAGAUGUCAGUGCAGAAAUUUAACAAUCCAGCGUCAUGAAGAACACUGAGGACUGGCUCGAAGCACGGCAGAGAUUCCAUAUCCACGUGAGGAAUGUGCUCAUGAUCGAAGACUUUGUGUUUGUUGAACAACACUGAGGAAUAAAAAUUUGUCUGGCUGGCAGUCCAGAAACGCCUCUUCCUUAUGCGAGCAGAGUCAUAAGGGUUGUAAUUAGUGAAGAAUACAUGCUCGCCAAAGAAGGCAUCAGUCUUGAAUUUUUUCUUCCUGGAGAAUGGAUCCUUUGGCUUGCGCAGAGGAGUGUCAGUGAGUUGCAUCACAACCUCAGGAAUCGCAAUCUCAGGUUCUUCAGGCCGAGGAAUUUCUGGUUCCUCUUCAGUGGCAGCCUGGUUCUUGAAUUCUUCAUUUUCAUUUUCUUCAGCACUAGCAGCUGGAAUGUCUUCAUGAGCUUCAUCAGAUCCCAUUUGAACUGUAGUGACUGGGGACUGAGGAAUUUGCUGCAGUGGAGUGAAGAGUGGAGAAUUGGGGUGCUAACUUUCCCAAAAGUCAUCAUUCAUCACUGGUGUGGUACAGCCAAUGUCCACAUCUUCUUCUUCAAUUUCUUUAACGCCGGCCUCUUCAGCAGUGAACUGGGGCAUAGGCGAGGAAACAACUGGGGUUGAAGGGAUUUCAUCCACUUCAAUUUCUUCGUCCAUCUGCUCUGAUGUAGCAGCAGAAGGAGUUUCUUCAUCAGAUCCGCUAGGGAUCUCAUAUUCUUCAUCAAAAGGGAUGAUUUCCUUUGAUGGCAUGGAGGAAACUGGAACAACAUCAAUUGGAUUAGCAAAUGAACUUGUCAAUUUCUUCAUCUUCUUCGGUGCUGAAGAAUCUGAAGGAGUUGAUGCUUUCCUCUUCUUCACUGCUGCACGCUCUGCAGCCUUGGUCUUCUUCACAUCUAAUGCAGAUGGAAGGAUUGGAGUUGGAGUAGGUGCAGGAGGAGCAGAGGAAUUUGGUUCAGUUUCUUCAGGCACAACUGAUCCAGUUGCCCUGACCUCCUCAUUUUCUUCAGGCGCACCACUAGUGGGUGCCCUGGCAAUUUCUUCAGUGGCUGGAAUGCAGUCAUUAGCCUUGGAACUCACAUUAUCUUCAGCAGCCUGAUUGUCAUCAGCGGUGCUGGCAUGUUCUUCAGUUGGCUAAGCAGAUGCUUCAGCCUGAGGAAUUUCCUGUUGCGUUGGAGCUGCAACAUUGGUGGUGAACUGCUCAGUCAGUUUAACAAACCUGACCUUGGCUCCUUUCCAAUCAGCAUAGUAAGCAUUGAAAUCAUCGCUGAGGACUUUGAUUUCAGACUGGAUCUUUACAAGUUCAUCAGUUGUCAUAGAGACAACGUUGUUCUUCAGGAAUUUCUCCUUCCUGUACUGUGCUUUCUUGAGCUGCCUGGCCUUCUCAUAUUUCCAUUUUUCUUCUUGGAUGAAAUGGGUCAGCAUCUGACUUUGGCCCGGUGUCAACUUGAAAUCAGGCAUAGGAGUGUUUGGGUCCUUGUGCCAGAGAUCAAUAUAGUCGAGGAUCAACUUUGGAUCCAAAAGCAGUGGCACAUUUGUGCCCUUGGCUGUAGCGGCCCUGACUUGCCUAUCUCUGAUGAUCUCAGCAAGUUCUUCAUCAUCAGCUUCGUCUUCUUCAGACGGCACUUGGAAGGCGACCUGCUUCUUCUGAGGACUUGGGCGAGAGCCUCGUCCAGCAGUGGUCUUUGUCUUCAGCAGAGAGGGUCCUGUUGAAGAAUUUGGUGCAGCUGAGGAACUAGCCGAAGCUCCUAAGGCAAUAGAGAUGCCUGUAGUCCUUUGGCACGUGGCGAGAUGCAUAGGUGCUGAGGAUUUUGUCGGAGCAGCUGAGGACUUUGGAGGAGCAGGAGCGGCUUGAGGAAUUGGCCGUGAGGGCUUAGCUGAGGAAAUUGGCCGUGAGGGCAUUGAAGAAGAGGCACUUGGCUUGUGCGCAGGCUUCUUUGCCAUGGAUUUCUUCGGCCUUACAGAGGCCUCAGCAGCAGCAGCAGCAGUGGAAUCUUCGUUGAAUUUCUUCACUGCAUCUUUUCCCUGUUUGGCCAACUUGGCCUGGCGCUUGGCCCAUUCUUCAGGAAAAUCCUCACCGCGCUUGAUGCUAGUGGGAUCUGCCUCUUGGCCAGGUGCCAAUGGUGGUCUUGAGCAUGGAGGAGUAACAGCGAAUUUCUUCAUGUAUUUUGGAGUCACAUACCUGUACUCCCUCCACUCUUUUGCCCAUCUCCUUUCUAUCCUCUGAAUGUGCACCUUGCACUGAUUCUUAUCUUCCUCAGGGGGUGUGCAGUACCCAGCAUAAAUGUCCUCAGGGAUUUCAAAGGCAGUAUUGACCUCAGGCUUCUUUCCUCCUUUCUGUGGCUUCUUUCCAUCAGUCACUUUCUUCAGUUGAGGAAUUUGAACAAUUGAACUCUCUGAAGAAGUAUGCAACUUUUCUUCGAGGAACACUGCAAAUGAGUUAAGUUGAUGAGAACCUAGUGAUUCAGCAGCGGACAUGAAUACCUGUGAACAGAGUAUAGUUGCGAGGAGUUUGGAGAGGUCAUAUGCGUUCUCAGAAGGUUUUUCAAAAAGAACAAGUUUGAGGAAUUUGACCAGAUGAGUCUUGAAGAAUUUCACUAAGCGUUCUUUGUCUUAGGUUCCAGAGUUGUAUAGAUCGAAGAUCCACACAAUUGAGGAAUCUUGAAGAAAAAUGAUGCUUAGAGAAACGAAUCAAGAACAGAUGACAAGUGAGGUGUCCAGUGUGCGAAAAAUUGAGGAAUAAACACCUUUAAAGAUUUUGUAGAAGUCAUUUGAAUCAAAGAGGGCAGUAAACGUAACUUUUAAUUACCCUGAACGAAGAACACGACGAACUGGGAUGUAGAGAAGUGAAGCUCGUCUGUGCAGAUCUUCCACGCCCUAACUUGGCGGAGGAAGACGACUACAGCGGCGGCGGAGUGAAGAUUUCCGCGACCGGCGCCAGUACGGCGACGACGAGGUCGAGGCAAUGAAGCUCUUCCUCACCGGCGACGAUGAUGUAGCGGCGGCGCUAGGGUUUGAGAAGCUCGAGCUGGAGAGAGGUCGAGCGGAGUAAAAGAUGUGAGGAAGGGGAGAGGGGGUAUUUAUAGCCACGGUGAAAAACUGUUCGCCCGAAGAAAUUGGACGAACGUGCCCCUGACCCUUCUCAUUCGCUUGACAUGUGUCACCCAUGUACCGAGAAGUGGAGAUCGUGUUAGAUCGUGGGUGAAUAGAUAAGUAUAUCAUGGGAAGCGGAACGGUUUGAGUGGCAAAGCCGAAAAUUUGGAUAAGAUAAGUUAAAAGUUCCGUUCGCAAAUUCUUCAGCUGACAAGGACAUAGUGAAGAUUUUGAACGAGAUUCAAAUAGAACGCACAUGAAGAAUUUGUGAAUAGAUUGGGUUGAGUAUAGCAUAGAGGGGGAAGGGUCCGAUCACAUUCACUUAGCAGAAAAACCAACCUGAAGAAUUAGCCAUAAGUGAAUGCUGUAGAGGACAUAAACUCAUAUAUAUAUAUAUAUAUAUAUAUAUAUAUAUAUAUAUAUAUAUAUAUAUAUAUAUAGCUAAUGAAGAAAAACGACGGAAAGAGUGAAGAUUUUGCAAAGUUGAAGAAUAUGAACAACUGAGGAAUUUCAAAACUGAGGAAAAACUCAAAUUGAAGAUUUUCAACUUUUGUGGUGGCGUGACCCACCGUAUAAGAAUGAUGAUUUUAGACACCGUGUACAAUUGUCGUAGGGUUCCGAGAAUCAAAUUCUUCAUUAAUUUCUUCACACUUAGAGUGUUAUUCUUCAUUGAUUGAAGAAAAACGUUUCUUCAUGUGUUGCACAUCUAAGUCAUCAAUUUUGCAUAAGUGUUAGGAUGAGUGUCCUUUCCAAAGAACAUUCGAAGAUUCUAAGAUAUUUAGCUCAUACCGCAACUUGCUAAAUCUUUUCUCAUCCAAGGGCUUUGUGAAGAUAUCGGCUAGCUGUUCUUUAGUCUUCACAUGCUCAAUAGAAAUGUCGCCCUUCAACACAUGAUCGCGAAGAAAUUGAUGACGAAUCUGAAUGUGCUUUGUCUUCGAGUGCUGAACUGGGUUGUGAGCAAUCUUGAUGGCACUCUCAUUGUCACAGAAGAGAGGCACAUUCUUCACGUUGACGCCGUAGUCCUUGAGAGUUUGCUUCAUCCACAGCAAUUGAGCACAGCAAGAACCAGCAGCAAUGUACUCAGCUUCAGCAGUAGAUAGUGAUACGCAGUUCUGCUUCUUCGAGGACCAACAGACCAAAGAUCGUCCGAGGAAAUGACAUGUACCAGAUGUUGACUUGCGAUCCACACGAUCACCAGCAUAGUCAGAGUCAGAAUAUCCAACGAGAUCAAAAGCCGAGCCCUUGGGGUACCAUAAUCCUAGUGUUGGUGUGUGAGCUAGAUAUCGAAGAAUAUGUUUCACAGCCUUAUGGUGUGAUUCCUUCGAUGUAGCUUGAAAUCGGGCACACAUGCAAACACUAAGCAUAAUAUCUGGCCUAGAUGCACAUAAGUACAAUAAAGAACCAAUCAUGGAGCGGUAUACCUUUUGAUCGAAGUCAAUACCAUUUUCAUCAGUGCACAGAUGGCCAUUUGUGGGCAUCGGAAUUUUGACGCCUUUGCAAUCUUGCAUGCCAAAUUUCCUCAGUACAUCCUUGAGGUAUUUCUCCUGAGAUAUGAAUAUGCCAUUGCGCUGUUGACGAAUUUGAAGACCUAAGAAGAAUUUCAACUCUCCGAUCAUAGACAUUUGAUAUUCUUCACUCAUCAUAUAGGCAAAUUCAUCACUAUAACGUUGGUCAGUACAGCCAAAGAUGAUAUCAUCAACAUAUAUUUGCCAUACAAAUAAUUCGUCAUCAUAUGAUUUAGUGAAAAGAGUAGGGUCGAGUGAACCGGGUUUGAAGCCUUUCUUCAUGAGGAAUUCCUUCAAAGUAUCAUACCACGCCCGAGGGGCCUGCUUGAGGCCAUAGAGGGCCUUAUUUAGUCUGAAGACUUUGUCAGGAUGCUUAGGAUCUUCAAAACCUGGGGGUUGAGCAACAUAUACUUCUUCCUCAAGCUUACCUUUGAGUAAUGCACUUUUCACAUCCAUGUGAUAUAAAGUGAUAUCAUGAUGGUUAGCAUAAGCAAGUAAUAUGCGAAUAGCUUCAAGUCUAGCAACAGGUGCAAAAGUUUCAUCAAAAUCAAUUCCUUCAACCUGUGUGUAGCCUUGAGCUACUAGCCGUGCCUUAUUCCUCACCACAAGGCCAUUUUCAUCUUGCUUGUUGCGGUAGAUCCACUUUGUGCCAAUGAUAUUGUGUUUGCGAGGAUCUGGACGAUUGACCAGUUCCCAAACGUUGUUGAGCUCGAACUGAUGUAAUUCUUCUUGCAUGGCCUGAAUCCACUCAGGCUCCAGAAAUGCUUCAUCUACCUUAGUGGGCUCUGUGAUAGAGACAAAAUCAUAGUGCCCACAAAAGUUAGAUAAAUGUGAAGCUUUUGAGCAUGUGAGAGGACCUGGUGCUUCAAUGUCAUCAAUGAUCUUCUCAACUUGCACUUCUUUUGCAACGCGAGGAUGAGUAGGUUGUCAUUGAGGAAUUUGAUCAGCAUUUUCUUCAGCACCAUUUCCUUCAGCUAUUUCUUCAGGUGCAUUGGCUCGACGUUCUUCACAUUCUGGAAUGAAUUCUUCAGCAGAUUCUUCGGUAGGAAUGACAUCCUCAGUAGCCUUGAACUUGAUAGUUUCCUCAGGUGCUGGUUCAUCUAUCACAAAGGGUAGGUGCUCUCUUUGCGAGCAAUUAGUUUCAUCGAACCGCACAUCUACAGUUUCAACAACCUUGUGAAGAACGGUGUUGAAGACUCUGUAGGUGUGCGAGUCCUUUCCGUAACCAGGCAUAAAACCUUCAUGUGCUUUCGGUGCAAAUUUAGCAUUGUGAUGAGGAUCUCUAAUCCAACAUUUAGCACCGAAGACUUUGAAAUAACUCACAUUGGUUUUCUUGUCAGUGAGGAGUUCAUAGGCAGUCUUCUUGAAGAAUUUGUGAAGAUAUACCCUGUUGAUGUUGUGGCACGCUGUAUAAAUUGCCUCAGUCCAGAAGUGACGAGGCGUCUUGUACUCAUCAAGCAUAGUGCGAGCCAUCUCAACAAGAGUUAUGUUCUUGCACUCCACGACGCCAUUCUGCUGAGGAGUGUAAGGAGCAGAUAACGCAUGAGUAAUACCAAGUUCAUCAAGAUAGUCAUCAAGACCAGAAUUCUUGAACUCAGUUCCAUUGUCACUUCUGAUGUGCUUGAUCUUCACACCAAAGUUGGUUGAAGCCCUUGAGGAAAAUCGUUUGAAGACUUCCUGCACUUCAUGUUUGUAAGUAACAAUGUGUACCCAUGUGUAACGAGAGUAAUCAUCAACAAUAGCAAGCCCAUAGAGAGAUGCAUCAUUUGUGACAGCUGAGUAAUGGUUAGGACCAAAGAGGUCCAUGUGAAGCAAUUCGAAUGGUCUAGUAGUGGUCAUGAUAGUCUUCGCUGGAUGCUUAGCCUUGGUCAUCUUUCCAGCAUCACUAGCUCCACACAGGUGAUCCUUGAGGAAUUUGACAUUCUCAAUGCCAAUGACAUGCUUCUUCUUCGCAAGCGUGUGCAAAUUCCUCAUGCCUGCAUGACCAAGUCGUCGAUGUCAUAGCCACCCUUCUGAAGCUUUUGCAAGUAGGCACAUGGCGGGUUGCGGUCCUGUAGAGAAAUCAACAAUAUACAAGUCUCCUCUCCUAAAGCCUUCGAAGAGUUUGGAAUUGUCAGCUUCCAUAACCACAACACAACGAUACUUGCCAAAGACAACUACCAUAUUAAGAUCACAAAGCAUUGAGACAGACAUGAGGUUGUAUCCUAAGGACUCGACAAGCAUGACUUUGUCCAUGUGUCGAUCCUUUGUGAUCGCAACCUUACCUAGGCCCAAUACCUGACUUUUGCCUUUGUCAGCAAAGAUGAUAUGCUUCAGAUGCGAUGGUGAUAAGGGAGCAUCUAUCAUAGAUUCUUGUCACCACUCAUGUGAUUUGUACAUCCACUAUCGAGGACCCACUCAGUGGCUUUGGGUUGAUCAUCCUGCAGAUGAAUUAGUGCAGCUUACGAACUUCAUAUACUUCAUCAGUGAAGAAUAUGACAUCACAAUUCAUCAGACCAAUUUCAUCAAGCAAUGCAACAGUUAAAACAGUAUGAGGACGUGAGAAAUGAAAGUUCAUUUCUUCAUGAUUAGCCUGCGUCCUUUCAGGCACAUUUCAAGUUUCCAGCAAAUUCUUCAGACGUUUGAGCACGUUUGACCCUGCAUAAAAGAUUAGUUCUUUUUCUUCACCACCCACAUCUGAAGGGGUGGCAAAGAGUUCAUCACUCUGCGAGCUCCAUACGAAAAAGGUGGCAUAGAAGCCAAUCCAUUUCGUUUCACAUAAGAGAAGUUAGGGUAAGCAUAUGAAUAAGCAGAGAAAUUCUUUGAGGACUUAUGAACAUAAUGAUUAGAAGAAUAAUGCUCAUAUUCAUAGCCCUUGGCUCUUCCCUGCGAAACAGAGUUGUUAGCACGAUGAUGUUCAUAUGAGGACUUUGAUCCUCUUGAGGAAUAUGAUCCAUGUGAGGAAUUUGGUCCGUAUGAGGACUUGGACCCAUAUGAAGAAUUUGGUCCAUAUGAAGAAUUUGAUUUGGGGUUCCUAAUCUUCACAGGUGGUGUCAUGAGGACAUUCACCUGAAGACUUUCAAGGCACCUUUUGGGAACCCAGAUUUUCUUCAUAGGGGAACCGUUCCUGCAGUUAGUGCCAACAUAUCUAGCAAAUACUUCACCAUUCUGAGUUUUAAACAGUUUGUAGUUGGAGUCAAAUGACUCAUCAAAAGAAUGAGAAGAUUCACAUGUAAAGCCAGAUAAAUUAGAUGGAUCAACUGGAGGUCCCUUUACAGCAACCCAUGAGGUUUUGGGGUACUGCUCAGGCUUCCAAUAUGUACCAUCAGCAUUGAGUUUCCUCUCAAAGGCAAUACCCUCUUUCCUAGGGUUCCUGUUGAGGAUCUUCUUUUUAAGCACAUCACAAAGAGUCUGAUGCCCUUUGAGGCUUUUGUACAUGCCUGUCAUGUACAAUUCCUUCAGCCCUGCAUCGUUAGUGAUACUAGCAAUGUCCUCAGAUGAGGAAUUAAUGAUAGCAGAGACAGUUGAGGAAUUUGUAGCACUAGAAGCAUUUAAACAUUCAGGUGAAGAAUUAGCAGAUUCACGUUCAAUGCAUUUCAAACAUGGAGGAACAAAUUCUUCCUGAGCAGCGCUGAUUUGUUGAGCAAGUAAUGAAUCACGCUCCUUCUGAAGAUCUUCAUAACUCACUUUUAGCUUCUCAAGAUCUUGCUUUCUUUGAAGAAAUUCAUAAGAAAGCUUCUCAUGAUCAGAUAAGAGAGUGUUAUGUUGAUCUUGAAGGGUGUCAUACUUAGUAUGAAGUCUCUGAAGACUUUCAGCCAAAGCUUUUGACAGAUCCAUUUCUUCACCCAACAUAUCAUCGCUCUUACUAAGCAUGUUCUCAAACCAAGGAUCAUGACGGGUUCGAUGACCUUCAUAGACAUCAGAGAGACGGUCCCAGAUAAGCUUUGCAUGAUCGAGAUGCAUGACGUUCCUGAACUGAUUUUGAGACAGACAGGAGCAGAUGACGCCCUUCGCCGUGAGGUUGAGAAGAGUGUACUUGCGAAUGUCAUCAGCUUCCGCCGCCUUGCACAGAUCGGUAAGACCAAUCUCAGUGACGGUCCACAGUUCGCUGUUCAUCGCCAUGAGGCGCUUCUUCAUCAUGGCCUUCCACUUGGGAUAAUCAUGACCGUCAAAGAUGGGACAUGUCACUUUCUUCAUACCUGCAGUCGACAUAACUAAAACUCCAGGCGGUUAAACCAAAAUCACACAGAACAAGGGAGUACCUCGCUCUGAUACCAAUUGAAAGUGCGUUAUAUCGACUAGAGGGGGGUGAAUAGGCGAUUUUUAUGAAUUCUUCACUGAGGAAUUUGUGGGUGAGGAAAUUCCUUAGCGAAGAACUACUUGCAGCGAAAUAAGUACUCAAAAGUAUGCAUAGCAGAACACAAGCAUAGUCAUCAUGAUGAAAUGAAAACAAGCACAGAGUACAAAAAGCGUAAUCACGGGAUAACACAAGAUGAAGACAAAUAGACUGAGGAAAUUGAACUGAGGAAAUUGAGAAAGUCUUCAGUCAAAGUCUUCAAACACAGAUAUGAACAAGCAUACAACACAGUAACGAGGAAAUGGAAGAGUUGAGGAAAUAGAACCAGUAAGCUUGGUGAAGACAAUGAUUUGGUAGACCAGUUCCAACUGUUGUCUCAGUUGUACGUCUGGUUGGAGCGGCUAGGUAUUUAAACCUGAGGACACACAAUCCCGGACACACAGUCCUCACCGUAUUCUCCUUGAGCUAAGGUCACACAGACCUCGCCCAAUCACUCGUGGUAAGUCUUCAGGUGACUUCCAAACCUUCACAAACUCGGUCACUCGGCGAUCCACAAUUUCCUCUUGGAUGCUCUAGACCAUGACGCCUAACUGUCUGGAAGAAGCACGGUCUUCAAAGGUAAGAAGCGUCGGUUCCACGCAGGAUCAAUCUCUUCAGUGAUGCUCAAUCACUUUGGGUUUGUAGGUGUUUGGGUUUGGGUUUUCCUCACUUGAUGAUUUUCGCUCAAAGUCCUCGGAGGAUGGGAUGCUCUCAAUUGACAAGUGUUAGUUUCUCUCGGAGUAGCCAACCAGCUAGUGGUUGUAGGGGGCGGCUAUUUAUAGCCUAGGGAGCAGCCUGACAUGAUAAGACAUAAAUGCCCUUCAAUGAUAUGACCGUUAGGUGGGUAGAUAUUUUGGGACAGCUGGCGCAUAGCAUAGCAACGGUCGGAAAUUUGAGUAUCAAAUUCCUCAGGGCUAUCAUAUUCCUCACUGUGUAGGCAAUCCGCACUGGUGAAUUCCUAACUCCUCAGUCAGAACAAAUUCCUCAGCGACCAGAAGAACUUCUUCUCUGUCACUGAAGAAUAUGACUAAACUGUAUGAGAUUUCCAAUGGCUUCACUCGAAGGGAUUGGUAGGUGUAGGAUUUUGUACAAAGGCGGCAUGCUUGUUUUGUUGAUAUCAACUCUACUGAAGGAUAUCUUUGAUUGCUUCUCAAAACUAUAGUGCUAGUUACUAGUAGCAUUAUAAUUGUAGAUGUUUAGAUUCUAAAAUGGCCUGAAGUUGAGGAACAAGUGGAUUUUUAUCUUAUCUGGAAGAUUAACUCCCACUUGAUUCAAGUGAUCGUAGUACUCAGACAUUCUAAGCACAUGCUCAUUAGCUGAGCAAUUCUACUCCAUCUUGUAGGCAAAGUACUGUCAGAGGUCUCAUACCACUCGACACGGGCAUGAGUAUGAAAUACCAAUUUCAACUCUUAGAACAUCUUAUAUGCUCCGUGGCGUUCAAAACAUUUUUGAAGUCCCGGUUCUAAGCCGUAAAGCAUGGUGCACUAAACUAUCAAGUAGUCAUCAUACCGAGCUUUUGUCAAAACGUUCAUAACGUCUGCAUCUGCUCCUGCAAUAGUUCUGUCACCUAGCGGCGCAUCAAGGACAUAAUACUUCUGUGCAGCAAUGAGGUUAAUCCUCAGAUCACGGACCAAGUCCGCAUCAUUGCUACUAACAUCUUUCAACUUAGUUUUCUCUAGGAACAUAUCAAAAUAAAACAGGGGAGCUAAACGCGAGCUAUUGAUCUACAACAUAAUUUGCAAAAUACUAUCAGGACUAAGUUCAUGAUAAAUUUAAGUUCAAUUAAUCAUAUUACUUAAGAACUCCCACUUAGAUAGACAUCCCUCUAAUCCUCUAAGUGAUCAUGUGAUCCAUAUCAACUAAACCAUGUCCGAUCAUCACGUGAGAUGGAGUAGUUUCAAUGGUGAACAUCACUAUGUUGAUCAUAUCUACUAUAUGAUUCACGCUCGACCUUUCGGUCUCCGUGUUCCGAGGCCAUAUCUGCAUAUGCUAGGCUCGUCAAGUUUAACCUGAGUAUUCCGCGUGUGCAACUGUUUUGCACCCGUUGUAUUUGAACGUAGAGCCUAUCACACCCGAUCAUCACGUGGUGUCUCAGCACGAAGAACUUUCGCAACGGUGCAUACUCAGGGAGAACACUUUUAUCUUGAAAUUUUAGUGAGAGAUCAUCUUAUAAUGCUACCGUCAAUCAAAGCACGAUAAGAUGCAUAAAAGAUAACCAUCACAUGCAAUCAAUAUAAGUGAUAUGAUAUGGCCAUCAUCAUCUUGUGCUUGUGAUCUCCAUCUCCGAAGCACCGUCAUGAUCACCAUCGUCACCGGCGCGACACCUUGAUCUCCAUCGUAGCAUCGUUGUCGUCUCACCAACUAUUGCUUUUACGACUAUCGCUACCGCUUAGUGAUAAAGUAAAACAAUUACAUGGCGAUUGCAUUUCAUACAAUAAAGCGACAACCAUAUGGCUCCUGCCAGUUGCCGAUAACUCGGUUACAAAACAUGAUCAUCUCAUACAAUAAAAUUUAGCAUCAUGUCUUGACCAUAUCACAUCACAGCAUGCCCUGCAAAACAAGUUAGACGUCCUCUACUUUGUUGUUGCAAGUUUUACGUGGCUGCUACGGGCUGAGCAAGAACCGUUCUUACCUACGCAUCAAAACCACAAUGAUAGUUCGUCAAGUUAGUGCUGUUUUAACCUUCUCAAGGACCGGGCGUAGCCACACUCGGUUCAACUAAAGUUGGAGAAACUGACACCCGCCAGCCACCUGUGUGCAAAGCACGUCGGUAGAACCAGUCUCGCGUAAGCGUACGCGUAAUGUCGGUCCGGGCCGCUUCAUCCAACAAUACCGCCGAACCAAAGUAUGACAUGCUGGUAAGCAGUAUGACUUAUAUAGCCCACAACUCACUUGUGUUCUACUCAUGCAUAUAACAUCUACGCAUAAAACCAGGCUCGGAUGCCACUGUUGGGGAACGUAGUAAUUUCAAAAAAAUUCCUACGCACACGCAGGAUCAUGGUGAUGCAUAGCAAUGAGAUUGGAGAGUGUUGUCUAUGUACCCUCGUAGACCGUAAGCGGAAGCGUUUAUCAACGCGGUUGAUGUAGUCGUACGUCUUCACGAUCCGACCGAUCCAAGUACCGAACGCACGGCACCUCCGAUUUCUGCACACGUUCAGCUCGAUGACGUCCUCGCCUACUUGAUCCAGCAAGACGGGCGAAGUAGUAGAUGAGUUUCGGUAGCACGACGGCGUGGUGAUGGUGUUGGUGAAGAACAAUCUCCGCAGGGCUUCGCCAAGCACUACAGAAACUGUGACGGAGAACAAACUAGAGGGGACAGGGUUGCCGGCACACAGCUUGGUGUUUCUUGAUCUCUCUUUGGUGCUAGCCUUAUCCCUCUAUUUAUAUGUUGAGCCCUAGGGUCGAAACAUGGAGCAAAAGCCUCCACAAAGUCGGUUUUGCCCGAAAGGCAAGAGUCCCACUCGGACUCCAAGACCAAACGCCACAAUCCUUGGCGUCUGGCCCAGACGCCAUGGGCCUCGGCGUCUAGCCCAGGGCCAGACGCCAGGGUCACCGGCGUUUGGCCCCCUGGCCUCCGCACAACUCCUUUUGCACCGACUUAUAGCCCCGUGGGCCUGACCCCUUGGCCUAACCAUAUCAUCCAAUAUAUGAAUCUUUACCUCCGGACCAUUCUGGAGCUCCUUGUCAUGUCCGUGAUCUCAUCCGGGACUCCGAACAACAUUCGGUCACAAACAUACAUAACUCAUAGUACUAUAUCGUCAACGAACGUUAAGCGUGCGGACCCUACGGGUUCGAGAACUAUGUAGACAUGACCGAGACACUUCUCUGGUCAAUAACCAAUAGCGGAACCUGGAUGCCCAUAUUGGCUCCUACAUAUUCUACGAAGAUCUUUAUCGGUCAGACCGCAUAACAACAUACGUUGUUCCCUUUGUCAUCGGUAUGUUACUUGCCCGAGAUUCGAUCAUCGGUAUCUCAAUACCUAGUUCAAUCUCGUUACCGGCAAGUCUCUUUACUCGUUCCGUAAUACAUCAUCCCGCAACUAACUCAUUAGGUACAAUGCUUGCGAGGCUUAUAGUGAUGUGCAUUACCGAGUGGCCAGAGAUACCUCUCCGACAAUCGGAGUGACAAAUCCUAAUCUCGAAAUACGCCAACCCAACAAGUACCUUCGGAGACACCUGUAGAGCACCUUUAUAAUCACCCAGUUACGUUGUGACGUUUGGUAGCACACAAAGUGUUCCUCCGGUAAAUGGGAGUUGCAUAAUCUCGUAGUCAUAGGAACAUGUAUAAGUCAUGAAGAAAGCAAUAGCAGAAUACUAAACGAUCGUGUGCUAAGCUAACGGAAUGGGUCAAGUCAACCACAUCAUUCUCCUAAUGAUGUGAUCCCGUUAAUCAAAUGACAACUCAUGUCAAUGGCUAGGAAACAUAACCAUCUUUGAUCAACGAGCUAGUUAAGUAGAGGCAUACUAGUGACACUCUGUUUGUCUAUGUAUUCACACAAGUAUUAUGUUUCCGGUUAAUACAAUUCUAGAAUGAAUAAUAAACAUUUAUCAUGAUAUAAGGAAAUAAAUAAUAACUUUAUUAUUGCCUCUAGGGCAUAUUUCCUUCAGAUACACCUAAAGGAUCUGGCGAUGACAAAGAAGGGCCAGAUGCGAAUAAACCCUCCGAGACACAGUCCAAGCACCGGCGCCCUAAACGCCGCUCUAAACCUCAUCGCUCAGAAGAUGGCAACACUGGCACCGGAGAAAACAGUACUCCGGGCGACACCGAAAACAAUGAAGACCCUGUUGGAGCCGCAUCCGAACAGGAGGAGCAAGACAAUGAGCAAGUUAACCCUGAUAAACAGGCCACGCCCAAUGACCCGGAUGAUGAUAGUUAUCGUCCACCCUCCGAGGAUGAUGAGAGCCUUGGCAAUGAGGACUUCAUCGUGCCUGAGGCACCCCUCGAGCAGGAGCGCUCUACGCGCCAGCUCAUAGCUAUUGCAAGAAGCCUAAAGAAAAAGCAGCAGCAGCUCCAAGCAGAUCAAGACCUACUCAUCGAUAGAUGGACCGAUGUCCUGGCUGCCGAAGAAUACGGCCUCAAGCGCCCAGCCAAGAGUUACCCAAAACGCAGACUGCUACCUCAGUUUGAUGAGGAGGCACCAGAUCCCACACCUCCCUCGCGCAAUGCGGACCGACCACCACGCGGUCGGGAUAGUGCGGCAGACCGACCACCCCGCGGUCGGGAUAAAACGGCAACUCAGGCCGAACAAUAGCCCGCCCCACCGCCUCGCAAACACAGGGACAGACCAGCUCGGGACCAUACAUAUGACCUUCGGCAGGAAUUUGACAGUAGAGCAGGACACACAAGAUCAAUCUACAGAUCGCGUGGACGCUUCCCUACUCAGGAUGACAGCUACCUAUUCGGACAUGACAAACAUAAUCACACCUAGGCCGAUAACCGCAGACGGACUUCAUCGGAGGUACGCCGUGACGCGGCCCGCUAUAGAGGCGCCGCACACCCUCUCUGCUUCACAGAUGAGGUGCUGGAUCACGAAUUUCCCGAGGGGUUCAAGCCCGUCAAUAUUGAAUCAUACGACAGAACAACCGAUCCCGCAGUGUGGAUCGAAGAUUUUAUUCUCCACAUCCACAUGGCCCGAGGAGAUGACCUCCACGCUAUCAAAUACCUCCCAUUAAAUCUCAAAGGACCAGCUCGACACUGGCUAAAUAGUCUGCCUGAGAACUCCAUCAGCAGCUGGGAGGACUUGGAAGAAGCUUUCCUUGACAACUUCCAAGGUACAUAUGUCCGGCCACCGGAUGCCGAUGACUUAAGCCACAUAGUUCAACAAUCUGGAGAAUCAGCUAGAAAAUUCUGGACUAGGUUCCUAACCAAAAAGAACCAGUUCGUUGACUGUCCGGAUGCCGAAGCCCUAGCGGCCUUUAAACACAGCAUCUGUGACGAAUGGCUAGCACGCCACCUCGGCCAAGAAAAGCCGAGGUCCAUGGCAGCCCUCACGACACUUAUGACCCGCUUUUGCGCGGGAGAGGAUAGUUGGCUGGCUUGCAGUACAAACAUAGCCAACGAAGCAGGCCCCUCCGAGGCCAGAAACAGCACCGGCAAGCUCCGGCACAACAGACACAAACGCCGAACUAAUGGCGAUAACACCGAUGACACUACAGUUCACGCCGGAUUCAGUAGCUCCAAGUCCGGCCAGCGAAAGAAGCCCUAUAAAAGGAACGGCGGAGGACCAUCCAGCUUGGACCGCAUACUCGAUCGUCCGUGCCAGAUACAUGGCACCCCAGACAAACCGGCCAACCAUACUAACAGAGAUUGCCGGGUCUUUAAGCAAGCCAGCAGGGUAAAUAGCAGAAUCAAGGAAGGUGAAUUGCAGAGCGAGGACGAUGACGAGGAGCCCCGGCAGCCGAACACUGGGGGGCAGAAGAAAUUCCCACCUCAAGUCAAAACGGUGAACAUGAUGUAUGCGACACACAUCCCCAAAAGGGAGCGUAAGUGCGCACUGAGGGAUGUCUAUGCGGUAGAGCCAGUCACCCCAAAAUUCAACCCAUGGUCGUCAUUCCCGAUCACCUUUGAUCAUUGAGAUCAUCCAACUAGUAUCCGACAUGGCAGUUCGGCCACAUUGGUACUCGACCCAAUUAUCAACGGAUUUCAUAUGACACGAGUCCUAAUGGACGGUGGCAGCAGCCUCAACCUGCUCUAUCAGGAUACAGUACGCAAAAUGGGUAUUAAUCCCUCACGAAUCAAGCCCACGAUAACUACCUUUAAAGGAGUCGUACCAGGCGUAGAGGCCCGUUGUACGGGCUCAAUCACGCUAGAGGUGGUCUUCGGUUCCCCGGAUAACUUCCGAAGCGAAGAGCUAAUCUUUGAUAUCGUCCCCUUCCGCAACGGCUACCACACACUGCUCGGACGAACCGCGUUUGCUAGAUUCAACGCGGUGCCACAUUAUGCUUAUCUCAAGCUCAAGAUGCCCGGUCCACGCGGCGUCAUUACAGUAAAUGGAAACACGGAACGUUCCCUCCGUACUGAGGAGCACACCGCAGCCCUAGCAACAGAAGUACAGAGCGGCCUUCUAAAGCGGCACCAUAAUCCGGCCGCCGAGCCCCCGGACAUCGUUAAGAAGGUCCGGACUACACUGCAACAGGGCAGCUCGGUUCGUCAAGAGCUGAAUUAAUAAUUCGGCCUCCGUCCCAACCCCGAUGAGGAAAUGGCAUUCGUACCGCGCGUACAUAAUUAUGCACUCAAAACCCCACGGGUACUGACGGAGGCAUAACUCGCUCGCGAUCCACAGUGCGGCUUGACCGACCCUGGGAUUAGCACACCUUUACUUUUUCUCUUUAUUACGGGGUUUUUCUCUUUUCGAGGUCUAUGCCGACGACCCGCUUGUAGAACACACCAAGGAGGCGAGGAGCUCUGGCGUACAAGGGAAUCCCCAGGUGGUCUCUAUUAAACGAUUGUCAUACCUGUUUUACAUACCCGCACGCAGCUCACCCUUGGUUGUGGCAUUUUAAAUAGCUUUACUUGCUUAUCGCAUUACUUGCACAAAGUACGCCUCGACGUACUAAUUACAUCACAACAGUGAAUACAUGGUGGGGUCAGCUUAUUACUUAAUUUUCCUGUUUCCUCACCUUUGUAUAUAUUGCUUAUCGCACGCGUACACCAUUAUACGUAUCAUUACGCCAAGGGCUUCAUCACACCUCACAUUACGGCAAUAAAAGUCCGAACACUUUUACAGUAUAGUUCGGCACCCCGAACUUAUAGCAUUAUAUGCAUCGGUUCUGAAUCAUGUCUUGGGUCAAUAGUUGGGUUGCCCGACUCCUGUGCUUGCUACCUUACGUUCCGCUAUAUCGGCUAGGGUAGUAAAGGGAGAACUACUGCGAUUGUGUCCCGGUUCUUCCGGACGAGCACCUCAGUAGAGAAAGCCGAAAACUGACUGUCAUGAUGCGGCGAGAGCUGGUCAGCUGUUCGAGAGGUUCCAAAUCGUUAGAGAUUUUUUCCGCUUCUCGCGAAGAAUUGGUUCCCCCGAUUAGGCGUGUACAACGCCCCUAGUUCGGCCUUCCGAAUACCAGGGGCUUCGCCAAGUUUCUUAAUUGUCAAACUCCUAUGGCUAAGUGAGGGCGGUAAAGGCCGCAUAGUCUGAUUGCCUUGUUCGUUGCGCUAAACACCUCCUUUAUGGACCAGAAUGUGGAGUAAAGAGUGUUUCAAUUUAUUCUGAACACCCCUGUACUAUCUACGUGGGGGCAGAAGCCGACGACUGGUCAACCCUUAGAUUUCAUAAACGGCCGCACAGGAGGUAAAAUAUAAAUCGCAAGCAUUAUAAUACAUAACAUCAUUGUUCCAUAUUACAGGACAGGAUAAUACAAAUGUUCUCAUGGGAAUAUGACAUCCUUCGAACAUUGCUCCGCCACAAGGCGGGACCCCUCCAGGACACCAUCAAAAUAGAGCUCGGGUCGACGGUGCUCCUUGCCCUCCGGCGGUCCCUCGGUCAUCAGCUUCUUGGCAUCCAGCUUUGCCCAAUGCGUCUUGACGCAGGCAAAUGCCAUACGCGCACCUUCAAUACAGACCGACCGCUUCACGGCUUCGAGCCGCGGACAGGCACUUACAAGCCGCUUAACAAGACCGAAGUAGCUGCUAGGUAUAGGCUCGACAGGCCACAACCAGACUAUCAGGGCCUUCAUGUCUAGCUCUGCCGACCUGUGCAGCUCGACCAACUGCUUUAGUUGGUCGCUGAAGGGCACCGGAUGUUCGGGUCCAAGAUAUUGGGACCAGAAUAGCUUCUCCAUAGACAUCCCUUCUUCGGCUCUAUAAUGCUCGGCAGCAUCUGAUAUACUGCACGGCAGAUCCGUAAACGCCCCUGAAAAACCAAAAUUCGGAUAAGUACAAGGAACGUUUCUUUAAAUACUUGCUUGGCACGGUGAAAGACUUACCCGCCGCAAUCUUCUUGGCCGCCUGAAUUUCCUGGAGGGCGUUCUGCGCUUCGGCUCGUGCAUCCUGUGCACUCUGGCGGACCUUCGCCAGUUCGGACUCUUGCGCCUUACAAUCGCACUCCAAGGACUCAAAUCUCUCGAUCGCGCCCUGGAGCUGUUGCUCGCCUCGCCCACCUGGGCCUCGUGCUUCUCGCGCGCGGCGCGCUCCUUGGCUGCUUUGUCCUCUGCCUCGACUAACGCCUUUUUGAGGGCCGCCACCUCGGUCGUGGCCCCUAAUAAAGUUCAGGACACUUUAGUCAGCUUGAACAAUUUACUCUUCAAUAUACACGCAGGUUACUGCAUACCUUGGCUAUCCUCCAGCUGCUUCUUCACGCGGCCGAGCUCUUCCUCGGCCCACUCCAGUUUCUGCUUCAGUCCAGAGACCUCCGCAAUUUGAGCGGUAGCAGCCAGCAAUGAGGCCUGCUUAUUCACAUAGACACUUUAUGUUAGACUCCUACGAAAAUUAAUUUUGAUCCUCUGUUCGGCUUUUCUUUCCGGACACCGAACAGAGCAUUAGGGGCUACUAUCUACGCUGUGAUAUUCUUCUUACAAUCAUGUACUCACCUCAAAGCCUACUAGAAGGCUAGCACAGGCUUCGAUUAGCCCAUUUUUGACGGACCGGACCUUUUCAACCACCGUACCCAUAUGGGCACGGUGCUCAUCCACGAUGGAGGCGCCUUGCAGCGCCUCCAGUAGAUGAUCCAGUGCCUCUGGUCGGACAGAGGACACUGGUAGCACGCCCCCUCCUUUCGGGAAGGGCCGUUUGUCGGAUUCCGGAGCCGUAUAGGUCUCCGGAAUAGAAUCCGGGUGAGGAUCGGAUAGAACUCGGCCUGCACCAUCCGUCUCCGUAGGGGCUUUUCCCCCCAUGUAUCUGGCGGUCCUGGAGUCAUCCUGGGGCGCCGCCCUGAUGAUCUCCGGAGUCUUCCCCGGUCCAAGGAGGCCCUUCAAGACGCCUCCUCAUCGUCACCCUUGGCCGAGGGGGAGUAAGCGGGCGGCGGCGACAUGCUGGCCCUCUCCUUUGGGUCCAGCGAACCUUCCGAUGAAGAUAGCGGAGAGCUGUCCCGAGCCGGACUGCAAUAACACGAUUCAAACAUUGCAAGGCAGAAAGGACGGACGCUCGGGCGUGCGUAAGGAUUUUUGAUACUUACGAUUUAGCCCGAGGCUUGGCCCGGGAAGGCCGCUCCGGACUGCUAUCGACAUCCCACGCGGAGUUAUCCGUGGGGGAGCCUUUUCUCCUUUUGGGCGACUUCGCCUCCAGGUUCUUGGAGGCCGCCCUCUUCUUCCUCCCCGCUUCAGGUGGUGAGUCAUCUUCUUCUUCCUCCUCUUCGUCAUCGUCUCCGGCGGACGAAGAGUGAGUCUCGUCUUUGGACAUCACGUCCGAAGCUCCUUUCCGGCGAAGGCCACUCCUGGUCCCCUUUGCGCUUUCUUGGCCUUCUUCUCCGGCACGUCAUAAGGCGCCGGAAACAACAUCUUCGUCAUAAGUGGGAAUUCUUGCUCCUCAGGAAGCGGAGCUGGACAGUUAAUCUGCCCCGCUGAUGUCUACAACACGACCUUCUUCUUGUAGACGUUGUUGGGCCUCCAAGUGCAGAGGUUUGUAGGGCAGUAGCAAAUUUCCCUCAAGUGGAUGACCUAAGGUUUAUCAAUCCAUGGGAGGUGUAGGAUGAAGAUGGUCUCUCUCAAACAACCUUGCAAUCAAAUAACAAAGAGUCUCUUGUGUCCCCAACACACCCAAUACAAUGGUAAAUUGUAUAGGUGCACUAGUUCGGCGAAGAGAGGGUGAUACAAGUGCAAUAUGGAUAGUAGAUAUAGGUUUUUGUAAUUUGAAAUUAUAAAAAUAGCGAGGUAACUAAUGAUAAAAGUGAGAGUAAACGGUAUUGCAAUGCUAGGAAACAAGGCCUAGGGUGCAUACUUUCACUAGUGCAAGUUCUCUCAACAAUAAUAACAUAAUUGGAUCAUAUAACUAUCCCUCAACAUGCAAUAAAGAGUCACCCCAAAGUCACUAAUAGAGGAGAACAAACGAAGAGAUUAUUGUAGGGUACGAAACCACCUCAAAGUUAUUCUUUCGGAUCGAUCUAUCAUAGAGUUCGUACUAGAAUAACACAUUAAGACACAAAUCAACCAAAACCCUAAUGUCACCUAGAUACUCCAAUGUCACCUCAAGUAUCCUUGGGUAUGAUUAUACGAGAUGCAUCACACGAUCUCAGAUUCAUCUAUUCAAACCAACACAAAGAACUUCAAAGAGUGCCCCAAAGUUUCUACCGGAGAGUCAAGACGAAAACGUGUGCCAACCCCUAUGCAUAGGUUCAUGGGCGGAACCCGCAAGUUGAUCACCAAAACAUACAUCAAGUGGAUCAAUAGAAUACCCCAUUGUCACCACGGGUAUCCCACGCAAGACAUACAUCAAGUGUUCUCAAAUCCUUGAAGACUCAAUCCGAUAAGAUAACCUCAAAGGGAAAACUCAAUCCAUUACAAGAGAGUAGAGGGGGAGAAAUAUCAUAAGAUCCAACUAUAAUAGCAAAGCUCGUGAUACAUCAAGAUCGUAUCACCUCAAGAACACGAGAGAGAGAGAGAGCGAGAGAGAGAGAGAUCAAACACAUAGCUACUGGUACAUACCCUCAGCCCCGAGGGUGAACUACUCCCUCCUCGUCAUGGAGAGCGCCGGGCUGAUGAAGAUUGGCACCGGUGAGGGUUCCACCCACUCCGGCAGGGUGCCGGAACAAGGUCCCGAUUGGUUUUUGGUGGCUACAGAGGCUUGCGGCGGUGGAACUCCCGAUCUAUUCUGUUCCCCGAUGGUUUUAGGGUAUAUUGGUAUAUAUAGGAGGAAGAAAUACGUUAGGGGAGCCACGAGGGGCCCACGAGGGUGGAGGGCGCGCCCCCCUACCUCGUGCCUUCCUCGUUGCUUCCCUUACGUACACCCCAAGUUUUCUGGAUUGCUUCCGUUCCAAAAAUAACUCUCCCAAAGGUUUCAUUCCGUUUGGACUCCGUUUGAUAUUCCUUUUCCGCGGAACACUGAAACAAGGGAAAAACAGAAACUGGCACUGGGCUCUGGGUUAAUAGGUUAGUCCCAAAAAUAAUAAUAAUAAUAUAAAAGUGUUUAAUAAAGCCCAUAAACAUCCAAAACAGACAAUAUAAUAGCAUGGAACAAUCAAAAAUUAUAGAUACGUUGGAGACGUAUCAGCAUCCCCAAGCUUAAUUCCUGCUCGUCCUCGAGUAGGUGAAUGAUAAAAACAGAAUUUUUGAUGUGGAAUGCUACCUAACAUAUUUAUCAAUGUAAUCUUGUUUAUUGUGGCAAGAAUAUUCAGAUCCAUAAGAUUCAAGACAAAAGUUUAAUAUUGACAUAAAAAUAGUAAUACUUCAAGCAUACUAACAAAGCAAUUAUGUCUUCUCAAAAUAACAUGGCCAAAGAAAGUUCAUCCCUACAAAAUCACAUAGUUUGGUCAUGCUCCAUUUUCGUCACACAAGAAUGUUCUCAUCAUGCACAACCCCGAUGACAAGCCAAGCAAUUGUUUCAUACUUUAGUAAUCUCAAACUUUUCCAACCUUCACGCAAUACAUGAGCGUGAGCCAUGGAUAUAGCACUAUGGAUGGAAUAGAAUAUAAUGAUGGGGGUUAUGUGGAGAAGACAAAAAGGGAGAAAGUCUCACAUCAACGUGGCUAAUCAAUGAGCUAUGGAGAUGCCCAUCGAUUGAUGUUAAUGCAAGGAGUAGGGAUUGCCAUGCAACGGAUGCACUAGAGCUAUAAAUGUAUGAAAGCUCAACAAAAGAAACUAAGUGGGUGUGCAUCCAACUUGCUUGCUCACGAAGACCUAGGGCAUUUGAGGAAGCCCAUUGUUGGAAUAUACAAGCCAAGUUCUAUAAUGAAAAGUUCCCACUAGUAUAUGAAAGUGACAAAACAAGACACUCUCUAUCAUGAAGAUUAUGGUGCUACUUUGAAGCACAAGUGUGGUAAAAAGGAUAGUAACAUUGUCCCUUCUCUCUUUUUCUCUCAUUUUUUGGGCCUUUUUUAUGGCCUUUCUCUUUUUUUAUUUCUUUUUUAUUUUUUAUUUUUUCCUCACUUGGGACAAUGCUCUAGAAAAUGAUGAUCAUCAGACUUCUAUUUAUUUACAACUCAAUGAUUACAACUCGAUACUAGAACAAAGUAUGACUCUAUAUGAAUGCCUCUGGCGGUGUACCGGGAUAUGCAAUGAAUCAAGAGUGACAUGUAUGAAAGAAUUAUGAAUGGUGGCUUUGCCACAAAUACUAUGUCAACUACAUGAUCAUGCAAAGCAAUAUGACAAUGAUGAACGUGUCAUGAUAAACGGAAUGGUGGAAAGUUGCAUGGCAAUAUAUCUCGGAAUGGCUAUGGAAAUGCCAUAAUAGGUAGGUAUGGUGGCUGUUUUGAGGAAGAUAUAAGGAGGUUUAUGUGUGAUAGAGCGUAUCGUAUCACGGGGUUUGGAUGCACCGGCGAAGUUUGCACCAACUCUCAAGGUGAGAAAGGGCAAUGCACGGUACCGAAGAGGCUAGCAAUGAUGGAAGGGUGAGAGUGCGUAUAAUCCAUGGACUGAACAUUAGUCAUAAAGAACUCACAUACUUAUUGCAAAAAUCUACAUGUCAUCAAAAACCAAGCAUUACGCGCAUGAUCCUAGGGGGAUAGAUUGGUAGGAAAAGACCAUCGCUCGUCCCCGACCGCCACUCAUAAGGAUGACAAUCAAAGAACACCUCAUGUUUCAAAUUUGUCACACAACAUUUACCAUACGUGCAUGCUACGGGACUUGCAAACUUCAACACAAGUAUUUCUCAAAUUCACAACUACUCAACUAGCACAACUUUAAUAUCACUAUCUCCAUAUCUCAAAACAAUCAUCAAGUAUCAAACUUCUCUUAGUAUUCAAUGCACUUUAUAUGAAAGUUUUUAUUAUACCCAUCUUGGAUGCCCAUCAUAUUAGGACUAGUUUCAUAACCCAAGCAAAUUACCAUGCUGUUUAGGACUCUCAAAAUGAUAUAAGUGAAGCAUGAGAGUUCAUCUAUUUCUUCAAAAUAAAACUACCACCAUGCAACAAACUACUCCGAAAGAUAUAAGUGAAGAUCAAUGAGUAGUCGAAUAAUUAUGCAACUAUGUGAAGACUCUCCCAUUUUAAGAAUUUCAGUUCUUGAUACUUUAUUCAAACAGAAAGCAAAACAAAAUAAAAUGACAUGACGCUCCAAGCAAAACACAUAUCAUGUGGUGAAUAAAAAUAUAGCUCCAAGUAAAGUUACCGAUGAACGAAGACGAAAGAGGGGAUGCCAUCCGGGGCAUCCCCAAGCUUAGGCUCUUGGUUGUCCUUGAAUAUUACCUUGGGGUGCCUUGGGCAUCCUCAAGCUUAGGCUCUUGCCACUCCUUAUUCCAUAGUCCAUCGAAUCUCUACCCAAAACUUGAAAACUUCACAACACAAAACUUAACAGAAAACUCGUAAGCUUCGUUAGUAUAACAAAAUAAAUCACCACUUUUGGUACUGUUGUGAACUCAUUAUAAAUUCAUAUUGGUGUAAUAUCUACUGUAUUCCAACUUCUCUAUGGUUCAUACCCUCCGAUACUACUCAUAGAUUCAUCAAAAUAAGCAAACAACACAUAGAAAACAGAAUCUGUCAAAAGCAGAACAGUCUGUAGUAAUCUGUAUCAAACGUAUACUUCUGGAACUAAAAAACUUCUACCAAAAUAGGAAGACCUAGAUAAUUUGUUUAUUGAUCUGAUUCAAUUGGAAUCAGUAUUUUAUCACGUUCUGGUCAUUUUUAACAAUUGUUUUCGUGAACCGAAAGUUUCUGGAAUUUUCAGCAAGAUCAAAUAACUAUCAUCCAAGAAGAUCCUAUAGGUCUUACUUUUAACAAACACUAAUUAAAACAUAAAAACACAUCUAAACAGAGGCUAGAUGAUUUAUUUAUUUCUAAACAGAACCAAAAAGCAAGAAACUAAAAUAAAAUUGGGUUGCCUCCCAACAAGCGCUAUCAUUUAACGCCCCUAGCUAGGCAUGAUGAUUUCAAUGAUGCUCACAUAAAAGAUAAGAAUUGAAACAUAAAGAGAGCAUCAUGAAGAUAUGACUAACACAUUUAAGUCUAACCACUUCCUAUGCAUAGGGAUUUUGUGAGCAAACAACUUACGGGAACAAGAAUCAACUAGCAUAGGAAGGCAAAACAAGCAUAACUUCAAAAAUUUAAGCACAUAGAGAGGAAACUUGAUAUUAUUGCAAUUCCUACAAGCAUAUAUUCCUCCCUCAUAAUAAUUUUCAGUAGCAUCAUGAAUGAAUUCAACAAUAUAACCAGCACCUAAAGCAUUCUUUUCAUGAUCUACAAGCAUAGAAAAUUUACUACUCUCCACAUAAGCAAAAUUCUUCUCAUUCGGGAUAGUGCGAGUAUCAUAAGAGACUUGAAUACUAUAAAUUGUUUCCACAUUUAAAGAGUAAUGUUCAGAAAAAGGGGAAUCAUAAUCAUGACAAGUUUUAUAAAUAUAAUCAUCACUACUUUUUGUAGCAUAAGUUUCAUCACAAUAAUAAUCAUAAGUAGCAACUUUGUUCUCAUCAUAAUAAAUUUGCUCAUCAAAACUUGGGGGACUAAAAAUAUCAUAUUCAUCAAACAUAGCUUCCCCAAGCUUGGACAAACAUUAAUUGCAGCAAAUAUAUUCUCAAAAACAUCAUCUUCUUCAAACAUAGCAUCCCCAAGCUUGGGCCUUUUUAUAUCAUAAGCAUAAUCACUCUCAUCAUUAAUAGUAUGGAUAGCACCAAUAGUAUAGCAAUUAUCAUAUUCUUCCAAGCAAGUGCCAAAAAGAUUUUCAAGAUCAUAAGAAGUAUCAUUAUCUUCCCAAUCAUAAUCAUCACAACAAGCAAUAGGCAUAACGAGAUCAUCAUCAAGUGCAUCAUCUUCCACAAUUAUUUUUGAUUCAUUUUCAUGAGGCACAACAAUAAUAGGAGCAACAUUAUUUGGGAGAGAUAUCUUUUUACCUCUCUUCCUUUUUCUUUUCUUCUCCUUCACCACAUCAUGUGUGGGUUCAAUCCUCUUUUUGGAGUUCCUUAUUAAUGAGAUUGGUUGAAUAGAAGGCUCCUCCUCGUUACCUGAUUCAUCAUAAGAAAUAAUAGGAGGAUAUUGGGAAGUCUCUUCCCUUUCAUUAGUAUUCUCUUCAUCUUCUAUUUGUUUUCUUGUCUUUAUGUAAUUGUCAAUUUAAGGAUUUUCAACGCAAUUCACCGCACAGUACAUAAAAAUUUCUUCUAGAUCAAAAUCAAGAAGUUUAUACCGGGCAAAUUCUGGAAGAUGCUUAGUUAUACGUUUCAUUUCUUCGUGACCCAUAAGCAAACUAAGUUCAUUAUAAUGUGCAAGGGAAAUCAAGUAAUCACAAUUUUUGGACACGAUUAGAUCAUGAAACAAUUUGCAUCGGAUAGUUAAAUGACCCCUUUCAUUGCAAAGUUCACAAGUACGGCUAAGAAAAUUUAAAUUUUCAGCACAAACAUCUAGCCUUUCUUGCAACAAUUUAGUUCUAAAUGCUUAUGCCUCUUGCAAUAUCUAUCUUCCUUAUUUGGUGUGUACUUGCAAACCCAAUGCACUCCACAAAAAUUGACAUGUUUAUAGGAGACAUUUUCAUCAUAACUAGUGCAAUCAUCAUCAGUACUAAGGAUAUUCAAGGAGUUCAUCCUAACAACAUUGCAAUCAUGCUCAUCAUUCAAAGAUUUAGUGCCAAACAUUUUAAUGCAUUCUUCUUCUAACACUUUGGCACAAUUUUCCCUUCCAUCAUACUCACGAAAGAUAUUAAAAAGAUGAAGCAUAUGGGGCAAACUCAAUUCCAUUUUUUUUGUAGUUUUCAAGCACUCACCUCCCCGGCAACGGCGCCAGAAAAGAGCUUGAUGUCUACUACACAACCUUCUUCUUGUAGACGUUGUUGGGCCUCCAAGUGCGGAGGUUUGUAGGACAGUAGCAAAUUUCCCUCAAGUGGAUGACCUAAGGUUUAUCAAUCCGUGGGAGGUGUAGGAUGAAGAUGGUCUCUCUCAAACAACCCUGCAACCAAAUAACAAAGAGUCUCUUGUGUCCCCAACACACCCAGUACAAUGGUAAAUUGUACAGGUGCACUAGUUCGGCGAAGAGACGGUGAUACAAGUGCAAUAUGGAUAGUAGAUAUAGGUUUUUGGAAUCUGAAAUAAUAAAAACAGCAAGAUAACUAAUGAUAAAAAUGAGCGUAAACGCUAUUGCAAUGCUAGGAAACAAGGCCUAGGGUUCAUACUUUCACUAGUGCAAGUUCUCUCAACAAUAAUAACAUAAUUGGAUCAUAUAACUAUCCCUCAACAUGCAACAAAGAGUCACUCCAAAGUCACUAAUAGAGGAGAACAAACGAAGAGAUUAUUGUAGGGUACGAAACCACCUCAAAGUUAUUCUUUCUGAUCGAUCUAUUCAAGAGUUCGUACUAGAAUAACACCUUAAGACACAUAUCAACCAAAACCCUAAUGUCACCUAGAUACUCCAAUGUCACCUCAAGUAUCAGUGGGUAUGAUUAUACGAUAUGCAUCACACAAUCUCAUAUUCAUCUAUUCAAACCAACACAAAGAACUUCAAAGAAUGCCCCAAAGUUUCUACCGGAGAGUCAAGACGAAAACGUGUGCCAACCCCUAUGCAUAGGUUCAUGGGCGGAACCCGCAAGUUGAUCACCAAAACAUACAUCAAGUGGAUCAGUAGAAUACCCCAUUGUCACCACGGGUAUCCCACGCAAGACAUACAUCAAGUGUUCUCAAAUCCUUAAAGACUCAAUCCGAUAAGAUAACUUCAAAGGGAAAACUCAAUCCAUUACAAGAGAGUAGAGGGGGAGAAACAUCAUAAGAUCCAACUAUAAUAGCAAAGAUCGCGAUACAUCAAGAUCGUAUCACCUCAAGAACAUGAGAGAGAGAGAGAUCAAACACAUAGCUACUGGUACAUACCCUCAGCCCCGAGGGUGAACUACUCCCUCCUCGUCAUGGAGAGCGCUGGGAUGAUGAAGAUUGCCACCGGUGAGGGUUCCCCCCUCCGGCAGGGUGCUGGAACAGGGUCCCGAUUGGUUUUUGGUGGCUACAGAGGCUUGCGGCGGCGGAACUCCCGAUCUAUUCUGUUCCCCGAUGGUUUUAGGGUAUAUUGGUAUAUAUAGGAGGAACAAAUACGUCAGGGGAGCCACGAGGGGCCCACGAUGGUGGAGGGCGCGCCCCUGCCUCGUGCCUUCCUCGUUGCUUCCCUUACGUACACCCCAAGUCUUCUGGAUUGCUUCCGUUCCAAAAAUAACUCUCCCGAAAGUUUCAUUCCGUUUGGACUCCGUUUGAUAUUCCUUUUCUGUGAAACACUGAAACAAGGGGAAAACAGAAACUGGCACUGGGCUCUGGGUUAAUAGGUUAGUCCCAAUAUAAUAAUAAUAAUAAUAUAAAAGUGUUUAAUAAAGCCCACAAACAUCCAAAACAGAUAAUAUAAUAGCAUGGAACAAUCAAAAAUUAUAGAUACGUUGGAGACGUAUCACCCGCCACCUCGAUCCAGGCCUGGCAAAGUGGGUAGGAGAGCUUAGAAUCCAUCCUCAAAAUAUGCCGGUGAAGGGUAUACCUUGAAAACAUUAAAAGACUUACCGGAUUGGCCUAGCGCUUUAAGCUAAGCCCGCGAUCUUUCGUCGUGGGCGGUGGCGUCUCGCCAGCCUUGAAGAGCGCUUUCCAGAUACCUUCGUGUGUCGCGCCAAAGAGCUCUAGUAGCAUCUGGUGCUUGGCUGGGUCAUACUCCCACAAAUAGCAAGUCCGACGUUGGCACGGAAGGAUCCGGCGAAUGAGCAUAACCUGGAUCACAGUGACAAGCUUGAUCUUCUUGGUUAUCAUGUUCUGGACGCAUGUCUGGAGCCCAGUUAUCUCAUUCGAAGAUCCCCAAGUCAGGCCCUUCUCUUGCCAGGAAGUGAGCCGCAUCGGAACUCCGGAUCGGAAUUCGGGGCCGCUACCAAAUUGGUGUCACGCGGCUCGGUGAUGUAAAACCACCCCGGUUGCCAUCCCUUCACCGUCUCCACAAAGGAGCCUUCGGGCCAAGUGACAUUGCGCAUCUUGCCCACCAUGGCGCCUCCGCACUCUGCUUGUUGACCGCUCACCACCUUCGGUUUCACAUUGAAGGUCUUCAGCCAUAGGCCGAAGUGAGGUGGGAUGCGGAGAAAGGCCUCGCACACGACGAUAAAUGCCGAGAUAUUGAGGAUAAAAUUGGGGGACAGAUCGUGGAGGUCAAACCCAUAGUAAAAUAUCAAUCCGCGGACAAAUGGAUGAAGAGGGAAUCCCAGCCCGCGGACAAAGUGUGUGAGAAACACAACCCUCUCAUGGGGCUCGGGGGUAGGGACGAUUUGCCCUUUUGCCGAGAGUCGGUGAGCAAUCUCCUUGGCUAAAUAUCCGGCCUCCCGGAGCUCCGUGAUGUGCUUCUUCUUGACGGAGGAGGCCAUCCACUUGCCUCCAGCUCCAGAUCCAGACAUGUUUGGAGUGCCUUCUCGAACGAGGAAAAGCUAAAGCUUGGGCGCUGGAGCUCACAGACGGAAGGACUGAAGGAGAGAAAGGGUGUGGGUGAAGGAAGAGAAUCCUUAUCCCCUUAUAAAGGCCGCGAAUAUCAAGCGCCUCCCCACUCGCCCUAAAAACUCUCCUAUUCCCAAGGGCUGUAUAAAUGGCACGGUUGGGUUACCCAUGCCCGCAUUGAUGAGAAUCCCGCGAUAAGGGGACACGAUCUCUGCUUUGACAAGACGUGCCGAUGGCAACCGCGUCUCAAAACAUGGACCGAGACGAAAAACGGUUCGAAAUUAUGACCGGACAGACGUGACGUCGUGUUGUAAAAAGCUAUCAGGAAGUAGCCAUUACGAUCUUGUGGUAGAUCAACUCUUGUAAUACUCAUAUUCAUCAAGAUCAAUCAAGCAGGAAGUAGGGUAUUACCUCCAUAGAGAGGGCCCGAACCUGGGUAAACAUCGUGUCCCCCGUCUCCUGUUACCAUCGAUUCUAGACGCACAGUUCGGGACCCCCUACCCGAGAUCCGCCGGUUUUGACACCGACAGUUACUAUGAACACUAGUAAAGUACACAUCAAUAACAUGUAUAUCACAUAUACCUUUGUUCACUUUGCCAUCCUUCUUAUCCACCAAGUUUUUGGGGUAGUUCUGCUUCCAGUGACCAUUUCCUUUGCAGUAGAAGCACUCAGUUUCAGGCUUGGGUUCAACUUUGGGUUUCUUCACGGGAGUGGCAACUUGCUUGCCAUUCUUCUUGAAGUUCCCUUUCUUUCCCUUUGCCCUUUUUCUUGAAACUAGUGGUCUUGUUAACCAUCAACAUUUGAUGCUUUUUUUGAUUUCUACCUCCGCCGAUUUCAGCAUCACAAAGAGCUCGGGAAUCGUUUUUGUCAUCCCUUGCAUAUUAUAGUUCAUCACGAAGUUCCAGUAACUUGGUGAUAGUGACUAGAGAACUCUGUCAAUCACUAUCUUAUCUGAAAGAUUAACUCCCACUUGAUUCAAGCGAUAGUAGUACUCAGACAUUCUGAGCACAUGCUCACUGGUUGAGCUAUUCUCCAUUUUAUAGGCAAAAUACUUGCCAGAGGACUCGGGCAUGAGUAUGAAAUACCAAUUUCAGCUCUUGGAACAUCUUAUAUGCUCCGUGGCGUUCAAAACAUUUUUGAAGUCCCGGUUUUAAGCCGUAAAGCAUGGUGCACUACACUAUCAAGUAAUCAUCAUACCGAGCUUGCCAAACGUUCAUAACGUCUGCAUCUGCUCCUGCAAUAGGUCCGUCAUCUAGCGGUGCAUCAAGAACAUAAUUCUUCUGUGCAGCAAUGAGGAUAGUCCUCAGAUCACGAACCCAGUCCGCAUCAUUGCUACUAUCAUCUUUCAACUUAUAUUUCUCUAGGAACAUAUCAAAAAAUAAACAGGGAGCUACAUCGCAAGCUAUUGAUCUACAACAUAGAUAUACAAAUACUAUCAGGACUAAGUUCAUGAUAAAUUUAAGUUCAGUUAAUUAUAUUACUUAAGAACUCCCACUUAGAUAAACAUCCCUCUAGUCAUCUAAAUGAUCACGUGAUCCAUAUCAACUAAACCAUGUUCGAUCAUCACGUGAGAUGGAGUAGUUUUCAAUGGUGAAUAUAUCUAUGUUGAUCAUAUCUACUAUAUGAUUCACGUUCUACCUUUCGGUCUGAAUGUUCCGAGGCCAUAUCUGCAUAUGCUAGGCUCGUCAAGUUUAACCUGAGUAUUCUGCGUGUGGAAAACUGGCUUGCACCCGUUGUAUGUGAACGUAGAGCUUAUCACACCCGAUCAUCACAUGGUGUCUCGGCACGACGAACUGUAGCAACGGUGCAUACUCAGGGAGAACACUUGUACCUUGAAAUUUAGUGAGAGAUCAUCUUAUAGUGCUACCGUCGUACUAAGCAAAAUAAGAUGCAUAAAAUAUAAACAUCACAUGCAAUCAAAAUAAGUGAUAUGAUAUGGCCAUCAUCAUAUUGUGCUUUUGAUCUUCAUCUCCAAAGCACCGUCAUGAUCACCAUCGUCACCGGCUUGACACCUUGAUCUCCAUCGUAGCAUCGUUGUCGUCUCGCCAACUAUUGCUUCUACGACUAUCGCUACCGCUUGGUGAUAAAGUAAAGCAAUUACAUGGCGUUUGCAUUUCAUACAAUAAAGCGACAACCAUAAGGCUCCUGCCAGCUGCUGAUAACUUUUACAAAACAUGAUCAUCUCAUACAACAAUUUAUAUAUCAUCACGUCUUGACCAUAUCACAUCACAACAUGCCCUGCAAAAACAAGUUAGACGUCCUUUACUUUGUUGUUGCAAGUUUUACGUGGUUGCUGCGGGCUUCUAGCAAGAACCGUUCUUACCUAUGCAUCAAAACCACAACGAUUUUUUGUCAAGUGUGUUGUUUUAACCUGCAACAAGGAUCGGGCGUAGUCAAACUCGAUUCAACUAAAACUUGAGAAACAGACACCCACUAGCCACCUGUGUGUGAAGCACGUCAGUAGAACCAGUCUCAUGAACGCGGUCAUGUAAUGUCGGUCUGGGCCACUACAUCCAACAAUACCGCCGAAUCAAAGUAAGACAUGCUGGUAAGCAGUAUGACUAUUAUCGCCCACAACUCAUUGUGUUCUACUCGUGCAUAUAACAUCUACGCAUAGACCUGGCUCUGAUACCACUGCUGGGGAACUCAGUAUUUCAAAAAUUUAUGUACGAUCACGCAAGAUCUAUCUAGGAGAUGCAUAGCAACGAGACGGGGAGAGUGUGUCCACGUACCCUCGUAGACUGAAAGCGGAAGCAUUUAGUAACGCAGUUGAUGUAGUCGAACGUCUUUGCGAUCCAACCGAUCCAAGUACCGAACGUGCGACAUCUCCGCGAUCAGCACACGUUCAGCUCAGUGACGUCCCUUGAACUCUUGAUCCAGUUAAGGCCGAGGGUUAGUUCCGUCAGCACAACGGCGUGGUGAUGGUGAUGAUGAAGUUACCGGUGCAGGGCUUCGCCUAAGCACUACGACGAUAUGACCGAGGUGUGUAAAUGUGGAGGGGGGCACCGCACAUGGCUAAAAGAUCAAUUUAUGUGUUCUAGGGUGCCCCCCUGCCCCCGUAUAUAAAGGAGGGAGGAGGAGGCCGGCCGGCCCUAGGGGCGCGCCCAAGGAGAGGGAGUCCUACUAGGAUUACCAAUCCUAGUAGGAUUUCUCUACAAGGAAGAGAGGGGGAAGGAAGGAGAGGGAGAGGGAGUAGGAAAGGGGGGGCGCCGCCCCCUUCCCUUGUCCAAUUCGGACUGCAAGGGGGGGGGGCUGCCCUAGCUCCCAUCCUCUCUCUCCAACAAGGCCCAUGGUGGCCCAUUAGUUCCCCCGGGGGGUUCCGGUAACCCCUCCGGCACUCCGGUUUUACCCGAAACUAUCCGGAACACUUCCGGUGUCUGAAUAACAUGGUCCAAUAUAAAUAUCUUUAUGUCUCGACCAUUCCGAGACUCCUCGUCAUGUCCGUGAUCUAAUCUGGGACUCCGAACAAUCUUCGGUCAUCAAAUCACAUAACUCAUAAUACAAAUCGUCAUCGAACGUUAAGCGUGCAGACCCUACGGGUUCGAGAACUAUGUAGACAUGACCAAGACACCUCUCCGGUCAAUAACCAAUAGUGGAACCUGGAUGCUCAUAUUGGCUCCCACAUAUUCUAUGAAGAUCUUUAUCGGUCAAACUGCAUAACAACAUACGUUGUUCCCUUUGUCAUCGGUAUGUUACUUGCCCGAGAUUCGAUUGUCGGUAUCAUCAUACCUAGUUCAAUCUCGUUACCGGCAAGUCUCUUUACUUGUUCCGUAAUGCAUCAUCCCGUGACUAACUCAUUAGUCACAUUUCUUGCAAGGCUUAUAGUGAUGUGCAUUACCGAGAGGGCCCAGAGAUACCUCUCCGAUACACGGAGUGACAAAUCCUAAUAUUGAUCUAUGCCAACCCAACAAACACCUUCGGAGACAUCUAUAGAGCAUCUUUAUAAUCACUCAAUUACGUUGUGAUGUUUGAUAGCACACAAGGUGUUCCUCCGGUAUUCGGGAGUUGCAUAAUCUCAUAGUCAGAGGAACGUGUAUAAGUCAUGAUGAAAGCAAUAGCAAUAAAACUAAACGAUCAUUAUGCUAAGCUAACGGAUGGGUCUUGUCCAUCACAUCAUUCUCUAAUGAUGAGAUCCCGUUCAUCAAAUGACAACAUAUGUCUAUGGUCAGGAAACAUAACCAUCUUUGAUUAACAAGCUAGUUAAGUAGAGGCAUACUAGGGACACUCUGUUUUGUCUAUGUAUUCACACAUGUACCAAGUUUCCGGUUAAUACAAUUCUAGCAUGAAUAAUAAACAUUUAUCAUGAUAUAAGGAAAUAUAAAUAACAACUUUAUUAUUGCCUCUAGGGCAUAUUUCCUUCAGAAACGCGCCAGCCACAAGGGGCUAGUGCGCCCCCACAUGGGCCGGCCUAGGAGGAGAAGGAAAGAGGGGAAGGCAAAGGAAAGAGAGGAAUAGGAUUCCCCCUUCCUUCCCUCUCACCCUUCUUUCCUGCCCCCCCCCCCCCCGACAAGGCAGGGGGGCGGCCAAGGGGAGGACCCCAAGUAGGAUUCAGCCUACUUAGGGCGCCUCCUGGCAGCCUCCCCUCUCCCUCCCACCUAUAUAUAUGUCGGGGGCGCCGUAGCACAGACCAGACAAUUGCAUAGCCGUGUACGGUGCCCCUCCACCAUUUACACCCCGGUCAUAUUUUCGUAGUGCUUAGGUGAAGCCCUGCGGAGAUCAGUUCACCAUCACCGUCACCACGCCGUCGCGCUGACGGAACUCAUCUACUACCUCGACAUCUUGCUGGAUCAAGAAGGUGAGGGACGUCACCGAGCUGAACGUGUGCAGAACACAGAGAUGCCGUGCGUUCGGUACUUGAUCGGUUGAAGCGCGUAGAAGUUCGACUACAUCAACCGCAUAGUGAAACGCUUCCGUUUACGGUCUACGAGGGUACAUAGACACACUCUCCCUCUCGUUGCUAUGCAUCUCCAUGGAUAGAUCAUUGCGUGUGCAUAGAAUUUUUUUGUUUUUCCAUGCAACGAUUCCCAACACAUUGUACAUGCCCUCAUGAUCUAUAUUUUCUUAUAUGCAAAAAAUAGGCAUUGUCUCAAUGUUCCUUAAGUGUGGAGCUGGUUUGCAUCUAAUGAAUGUUUGAUUCAUGAUAUAUUUUUGUUUGGAUAUGAAUAUAGAUAAUUUUUUCAUCAAUUUUUAUUUCUUAAUGGACUUGAUUGAUACUUCCUCCGUUUAACACAUAUACUAGUUGAGUUAAAGAGAGUCUCCAUGUUAAUUGCAGGAAAAUUGGGCUAAUGUUAAUAUUACAACACCUAUAGACAUGGGACCAUUGGCUGACCUAGCUACAAAAAUAUACUAUAUGUACCCCGUUGACAAUACCCAUUUGCUGGAAAACUCACAAAUUUCAUCAUUCGCCAUUCAUUGACUACAAUCUAUGGCCACGACAUCAAGAUGAUCCUCACGAUCUCACAACGACGACACCAAGCCCAAAUGCUUCCAAAGAUUUGCUAAUAUAUUGCGAAUAGAACAUCUCCAUUUUCAAAGUCAAACAUCAGUGAAAACAUAUCUAUCCAUUUUGAAGUUUAAUUGUGUUUAGUAAAAAAGAUUAAUCUACUAAUAGUUGUGAUUAAGGAAAACUCCAUGUGUUUCUUUACGUGUAGAAAUACAUGGAGCCACAAAAGACGCGCCGAUCAGGCAGAAAACUUGGAGUGACCAUAUCUUGUAGGUGGUCGAAAGUAGUCAUGGAGAUUGACCAGCUCCCAGGGACUUUGGGCUUUGCGGCCGUUCCAGCGGAGCAAGAAGAAUGACAAAUCAUGGUACCUUCUGUUGUGGCGUUCCGGCCCUCGAGGCCAACAGUUGCGUCACUCCUGCUUGCCAUCACCGUCGCGUGUGACUCUAGAUCUGCGCUUCCCUGUCGACGACAAUGAAUGAGUUGCGGGGAAUCACGGGAAGAAGUUGCACAACGUACAAUUUCCCCUAUGGUCUUAUAAAGACAUGUGUGGAGGGCGAAACAGUAGCACGUCCCUCGAGAAUUACGCCGGUGACAGGGCCAUGCGUGGAGUUCUAGCAUGAGAAACAAGGGCAUGCUUUUCACUGUAAAAACUUUUUUAGAAGGAUCCAUUGUAACAACUUUGGGCCCAUGCCUGACGCGAAGGGCUUCCACGACAUCGUUGACAAGGCACGACCCGACCCGUUUAAUAGGCUUUUUUUACUCAUCCUACAUCCGUUUCUUCGGCCGUUUCAGGUCUCCCGUCUAGACAUUGGGCCGUUUUCGGGCCAUCAUUUUGUGUGGUGUAGACUACUUCAGCCCAUCGUAAUUGUGAGGUCCAUCACGGGCACCAAAUCAUAGAGCCUGGCACGCACACACAGUUGACUAGAAUUGCCUUCACCAAGCGCGAGAGCUAUAUCACAACGGAUGUAUGUCGCUCUUUGCUAGCGUUACGACGUCAAUCACCUACAGGCGUGUCCAGCGGGCCAGUCCAUUGAGCGGAAGCAUUCCCAAAAGUUUUGGGAAGCUUCCAAAUGUUCUUUUUCUUCUCUCUGUUUUUUGCUUGUUUUUUUGACCCGGUUUCUAUUUCUAUUUUUUUCUUUUUCUUCUUUGGUUUCUUUAUUUUUCGUUUUCCGUUCUUCUCUUUUACUUUUUCCUUUUUAAAUACAGGAAUUUGAAAUAAUAGUUUUAUUUUCUACUAUUUUUCCUCCCAGUUUUUUUACCUUUUAUGUUUAAUUUCAUUUUAUUGUCUAAUUUCAAAAUUUUCAAUAAAUGUUCAGAUUUUAUAAAUUGUUCAUGUUUUUAUGAAAAAAUCACGUUUUUCAAAUCAUUUUUUCAUUUUACCAAAAUAUGUUCAAAAUUUAAAUUUUUUAUCACAAUUUCAAGAAAUUUUCAAAAAGUUUUCACAUUUCUAAAAAAUUGUUCGAGACAUAAAAAAUUAUUUUGGAAUUUUAAAUAUUGUUCACCAUAAAACAUAAAAAUUAUCAGUGUAAUUAAAAUUUAUUCACCGUAUAUUAAGUAAAUUUCAUUGUACACAAAUAAAAUGUUGAUUGCAUAUUCAAUAAUUCUCCAGUGUGUGUUUUGUAAAAUUGUUCACCAUAUAUAAAAUGUUCAUUUUCUAUAAAUAAAAUUUUCAUCAAAAUAUAUAAUUAAUUGUUAAGUGUGUAUUCUAUCAAAAUGGAAGUUGAAAAUUGUUCAUUUUUUCAAAAUUUGGAUAGAAUUUCGAUCUUUUGCUUGGAUUUAAAAAAAAUCAUGUUCUCAACAUUUAUUCGUGUUUUCAAAGAGUUCACUAUUUAAAAAAAUUCAAAUUUCUUAAAGAAUUUAUCAUUUCUAAAAAUAUUCAGAAUUUUGAAUUCGCAAACAUUAAAAAGUUGCAAUUUUUGGACAAAAAGAAAACAACCCAUACACAAGCUCGCGCUGGCUCGCUGGUGCCACAGCGCUAGCGCUCGCUGACGGGUCAGACCUAUUCAAGGGUGACCAGCGAGGGACUCGUACACUAGCCCUCGCUAAAAGCGAUGGAUAGCAGCCCUAGAGCUAUGCAUUUCAAAUGCUCUACUUUUUUUUGUGUACACACUGAAUAUUUUUCAAAUGCAUGAUGAACAUUUUAUAAAAUACGUCUUUGAACAUCUUUUUGAACACAUGUUAACCAUUUUUCAAGUACAUGUUUAAUAUUUUUCAAUACAUGUGAAACAUUUUCAGGAUACACCUUGAUAAUUUUGUAAAUGCAUGAUGAAUAUUUUUUAAAUACACAUUGAAUUCUUUCUGAAUACGCGACAUUUUCCAUAUACUUGCGAACAUUUUUAAUUAUAUGUUGACCAUGGACAAACUUGUUUUUUGAAAUUUCAUGAACAUAAUUUUGUUAAAAGUGUGAACAUUUUACAAUGUCACAAACAAAUUGUACUGCAUGAAAAUUUAUUAAACUCAUGAACAUUUUUCUGAAUUGUAUGAACAUUUUUUAAAACCACGAGAACAUGAUUUUUUACAUUCCCCGAAACAUUUUUAUAUUACACGUUGAACAUUCUUUAAAAACUACCUUUUUAGGGAUUUUUUAGGAACUACUGGUAAACCACGGCACUUAUUUUGGAAUGGAUGAUUUUUUCUAUAUAUCUACGUAUCUAUAGUAUAUUUUGCAUAAGUGAAAAAAAAGCCUCACACCCGCGAGAAAGAAAGAAAGCCGACUGGCGAGCGACUGCGGUGUCUGCUCGUCGGCAAAGCCACCGACCACGUCCGCCAGCUCUUCUCCCCGCUACUCCCUUGACCCCCAGUACUCACAGCCUCAGGUCAGUAGGUGUUGCGUUUCCGCCGCCUAGUGCUCUCUCCUUCUACCAAAUCCUACAACUUCCGUUGAUUGAUGCCAGGGAUGAAGAAAAGUGUUGAUUUUGGUAGUUUGAGCACCGAUUUCAGGGGCAGGACGAGGAAUCGGAGGAGAGAGGCGACCAAGGCCAUAAAGAUCAUCCCCGCACACCACAUGUUCGAUGAAAUGCCCAAAACGCGCCGCGGCGACGUCUUCUUCUCCCCUCUUCGCAGUCGCUCGCAGGUCCACGCUACCACCCAUCGAUGUUGACUUGUCAGGGAUUGUCCAAGAAGGUAUAUAUAUAGCUGAAUCCCGAAUCUGGUUGAUGUGCUCUCAUACACCUUUAGAUUUUUUCCCCUUCUAUACAAUAAUAGGCCAUUUUUGUGUAGUUUCAAAACUUCCUUAUAGGUAAAAAAAAGCCUGCGUUCUUAUCUAUAGGUUACUUGUUAUAGAAACUGCUGAUUUCAAACAUGCUAUUAAUCUAGUUCCAUGCUCCCGGCCUUAGUAAAAUUAACGUGUACCUGAUGAUUAUCCCGUAGCAUUUAAUCAUUCUUUUCUGUGGCACCAACCUAUUAAGCUAGUUCUAGUGCUCUAAUCUCUGUAUUCCACAUGCUUUCUCUGCAGGUAUGGAGGGCAGUGUGACAUGCUGUACAACCAAAAAUACAAUCUUGACCAAGUUUCUUUGGCAUCAGAGAGAAUUAAUGAUGCUCAACAGACUGUACGUUGCCUUAGUUUCCUAUCGAGUUCUUGGUUGCUAGAUUCUGAUACCUAGCUCUCAGAUUUAUGUUGAAGUGUCUUUCAUUUAACAGAUGACUGCAAUGAAGGCUGCCAAUAAAGAGCUAAAAGGGAUGAUGAAGACUGUCAGGAUUGAAGAUAUAGAUUUACAAGGAGCAGAUCAGGAAGAUCGGGCCCGGCCCACACAGGAGGCCGUCAAGGCGCAUGUCAUGAGGAUCCUCAAGCAGCGCAAGAUGUAUAUAAUCCAUACGUUCAUCCAUAACCUUAUAGGUAAAUGUUGCGUCCUUGUAGGAAGUGUUGAUUUGGAAAGCUAGCAAGUUCUUACCAUGGAUAAGAGAGAAAGCGAAUGUUAUUGGUUCUCCAUGAUUAUCCUGGAGCAUUUAAUCAUUCCUUUGGUGGCAGUAGCCUAUAUUAGUUUAGUGCUCUCGUUUGAUUGCUUUUCUUACGUUACACUUGAAUCGAUACCUGCUCUUCAAAUCUGCAGGGCAUGCAAGACGAGAUGAUAGAUCUUAUGGAUGUGAGCAAUGAAAUACAAGAAACCAUUGGUAAAAGCUACAAGGUCCUAGAUGCCACCGACGAGGAGGAACUUAUGGAGGGUAUGGCUCUUAUGCUGUAGUUGGUUAUUCUCAGAUAAUUCAAAAGCUUAAUUGGCCAACUAGUUUUCCUUACCAGUUAUAUACUUCUAUCAGUUUUAGGUCUAAGAUUUAAUCUGAAGCGUUUCUUUGGCACUUUGGUUGUAAUCCCUGUACUGAUUUUGUGUAUCGUUCAUUUGCUUAUUUAUAGACAAGACUGUUCUCUGUUUGUUGUUCUCAUUUUGUAUGUUGGAAAAUGCAGAGCUUGAUGCUUUGGAAGCUGGUAUGGACUUUGAAUUAAAUUCAGUCCCUUCGUAUCUUCAAUCACACGAGGAGAUUCUUGAUUCUGAGCUUAACUUACCUGCUGCGCCAAGUGGUCAUGCAGCAGUCCCGGCAAACAGGCAGCAGGUAUGUCAAUUGCAAGACUGACUAGUUUCUGUUCAUACUGAUUAUGACGCUGAUAUCCCUAGGAAGAAAUCGAUGGGUGUCACAAGUGGGUGUUACGUCUGAACAAAUAUAAGCAUAGGCACCGCAUACAUUUUUUUACAAACAACCCACAAAACAAAUUAUAUUUAUGCAUUGUUAGAAAUCGGCAAGCGGACAAACAGGAAAAUACCAAGAACACAUGACAAUCAUUUUUACGUGGAAAACCCUUGCGGGAAAAACCACGGGCACACGGUGGUGCUUUCACUGUGCCAGGAGUGUCUGCAAGUACAUAGACUUACAAUGGGUCAUCAACUCAUCCCGUGUGGCAUACAGGAGGUAUAUAGGUGGCAUAUGAGUGACUCGGGUCAAAAACGGAAACCUAAAUCGGCAUCCACUACGAUUACCCUGGAUUCUCACUAGAAUUCGGAUCAUAUAUCAACAUGCAUCGCUUGCUGUAAUGUAAGUGCACUGAAAGGCACGAGGCAGGAGCUAGAAGAGGGUCGCUGGAUGAGUGUUUGGUAUGCCUCCCGCAUGGUUGGCCUUUCUUGUGGAGAAGAUUCCAAACAAGAAAUUGCCACCUUGAUGACCAGAGCUAAGCUACUCUCGUCUGUUGUUGUUGGCGUAUUCGGCCGUUGGUCCAGAAUAUCUUUCACCGGCAUGCCUUGUUCCCCGCUUGAGAAACUACCAUCUAGUAGAUCUCUUGGAUGCUUCCCCAUCAGUAGCUCCCGCACAACCACCCCAAAGCUGUAGACAUCACAUUUCUCUGUCACAACAGAUGUGUACGCCAGUUCUGCAUGAAAUCAGAACAUCAGAAUUAAGAACAAAUUGUUAGAGGUGAAUGCUCGUGACGUGAGAAGUAAGGUUAUACUAGUACAUACCAGGAGCUAUGUAGCCAUACGUUCCUGCUAGUGCACUCCAGUUUGACGAAUCAGGCUUAAGAACCCUUGCUAUGCCAAAAUCCGAGACAAAAGCCUUGAAGGAUGUAUCAAGUAAAAUGUUGUUGCUCGUGACAUCUCGAUGGAUUAUAGGUGGACUGCAUUUGUGGUGCAAAUAAGAUAUUGCCUGAGCCACAUCAGUUGCAAGAGUAAUUCUCUUCUGCCAAUCUAAUUCCUUUGCUAGCUCGUCAUUUUCCAAUGUCCCGUGGAGGCUUCCCUGCUUAAUGUACUCAUAGACGAGAAAUUUAUACACUGGAUGGGAGCAGAAUCCAUACAUUUUGACAAUGCUUCGUUGACGGAUGUGUGAUAAAAUUUCCAUUUCACUGUGAAAUCUUCUUUCAUCAUCCAACCCUUCUUCGGUCUGAUGAAGCUUCUUCACAGCAACCAGCUGCCCGUCUUGGAGUUGUGCCUUGUAGACUUUGCCGUAUCCUCCUGUUCCAAUGAUGUACUUAUCAUCGAAGUCUUCUGUUGCCCUUACAAUAUCGUCAAAUGCUAAUCUUCCAUCAAAAUUCCAAACAAAGAAUAGGUCCCUUGCUUCAGCAGUGACACCUUCUUGUGGUUUUCUCUUGUUACAACUAAACAUUAUUAUGACACCAAUUGCAGCAACAAUACUGAACCCCACCACAAGAGCAAUUGGUAAAAGCCAACCAAUUACCUUCCGUUUAUGGUGAGCAGCUACUAGAGUUGAAUAACAAGGUGGCAGGUCAGAAAGGUUACCACACAGACCUUUAUUGAAAAGAAACCAACUUGUUGAAGCAUUUUGGAGUAGCCGUGCUGUUGGGACUGGCCCUUCCAAGUCAUUGUAGGACACGUCAAGUGUUGAAAGGCUCGCCAUGCUUGCAAAGGAGGAUGGAAUGCUGCCACUGAAUUGAUUAUGUGACAAAUUCAGAAAUUCUAGCAUCUCCAACUUCCCAAGUUGUUGUGGCAACACGCCACUGAGGUUAUUGUUGCUCACAUCAAACAUGAUCUGCAUGCCUGCUAAAUUUCCAAUCGCUCCAGGCAAACUCCCACCGAAGUUGUUAUUGUUGAUCUUCAAGGACCUUAGUUUCAUGCAGGCCCCUAGUUGCUCAGGUAUUGAUCCACUCAGUAAGUUUGCGGAUAUAUCAAGGUAUUCUAGACUGCUUAGCUUUUCUAUCUGUGUAGGUAUGGAUCCAGAUAACUGGUUUGUUGAUAAGUUCAGGCUAUAUAGAUUUGUUAAAGUGGAGAUAUCUUGUGGGAUCUCACCACUGAGAUUAUUAGAAUUGAGUGUUAGCUCUACUAGGUUGGGCAGUUUAGAAAGGAUUGGAGGUAUGGAACCCGUGAUCACAUUUUCCCCCGGAUCCAGUACUAUUAGCAGGGAAGAUGCACCUAGAUUUGGUGAGAUCUGCCCAGACAGUCUAUUUGAUGCCAAGCGCAUCUCUGUGAGUUGUGGAUACACACCAAAAUGCUGAGAUAUGUCGCCUGUUAGUUGGUUUGACUCAAGGUGAAGUUGAACCAAACCUAUACAUGUCUUUAAACUCCUUGGAAUGGGGCCAUUGAACAUAUUAGAAGAGACCAUGAGAUAUUGAAGUCUGCCACCUGAACAUAUAUUUGCGGGUAAAGGUCCUGAAAGUGAGUUGUUAGACAUCCCAAGUACAACAAGGUUUAUGAGAUCUCCAAAUUCUUGAGGAAGAGAACCUGAUAAUUUGUUACUAAAGAUUUGUAUUUCUUUGAUGCUUUGCAACUUCCCAAAAGAUUUUGGUAUUGAGCCGGUUAUCUGAUUUUCCCAGAGUUGUAGUACUACUAGCUUGGAAGUAUUUCCUAAGCUGUCAGGAAUAGAGCCAGAUAUUUGGUUGUCGGACAAGUCAAAAUUUUGGAGAUUCGACAAGAUGCCCAAUUCUGAAGGUAUUGUGCCUGUGAUUUGAUUUGUAAACAGAGAAAGUUCACUGAGCAUAGUGAGGUUGCCUAUUGCCGGUGGGAUGGAGCCUGUGAUUUGAUUUUCACAGAGAGUUAGAAUGUCCAUCUUUGUGAGAUUUGUGAUGAAGAUUGGAAUUGGACCUGAAAAAGCAGUUGAACAAAGCUCACUACUGCAGGAUGCUGCUAACGCGACACUACAAUCAGAGACCCUUCGAGAAACUGUGUGCGAUGCCAUAAUCGCAAACGGUGCUGUAUGUAAACCGUGAAAUGCAUAAAACGUUUGCGAUGACGGAUGCAUCAAACACGGUUCAGGUUUUAGUUGCGUGUGCGAUGAAGGGCAUAGGGUUCAGUUCAAUUAACUGUUUGUGAUGAGGAGGAACAAAAGAAACGGGCAGCCAAAUGAAGGCGUGUGCGAUACACAGCAUACGGUUCACUCGGAUGAACUGUUUGUGAUUAGGCAACACAAAAGGAAUGGGCAGCCAGAUGAAGGUGUGUGCGAUAUACAACAUAUGGUUCACUCGGAUGAACUUUUGUGAUUAGGCAACACAAAAGAAACGGUCAGCCAGAUCAAGGUGUGUGGGAUAUACGGCAUGCGGUUCACUCAGAUGAACUGUUUGCGUUGACACAAGAGUACAGAAACGGUUCAACUUAACAAGACGUGUGUGUUGUGCAAUGGGAUUGCAUGCGGUUCACUCGGCCCUUGUCGUCAGUGUGUGACCUCCGUGGCAACCGUUCGCUCGCAACCGUCCACCGACUCUUCGCCUUUCCCUCUCGAUUUGGAACUGCUGUCGCAUGCUAGCUCUUCCUCCCUCCUCCAUUUGCCUUCACCCUUCCUUCCGCCAUUGUUUGAUCGUCUUCUCCAUGGAGGGAACAAGCCGGAAACGACCCUGUUAUUCUUGCCCCGAUCUGAAUGAUGACGCGAUGGAGGAACUCAUUGAUCGGUGCCGGUUAGCAUGGCAGGUUCGUUCAAGACCAUUCUCGACUCAACUAAUAACAUCAUUACAAGGAACCCAAGGGUUCAGGAGCGGUUUGAUCUCCCCUAUCUUCUUUGCCGUGACCUUGCUGACCGGCGCGGGGACGAGGGAAGCCUCGCCUUGUGUAAGUUGAUGCCGCUUGAUAAUGAUACUUAUGAUGUUAAGAUGCCAUCGCUUGAGGGCAAGGCUUGGGCAGGCACAAAUGGAGAUUGGGUUGUUUAUAUUGGGUACAACUGCGAGUGGGAACUUGUGAAUGUGUACACUCGUCACCGGGUUCCACUUCGAAAAAUCUCAGACGACUGCCCAGAGGUUGAGUACACCGGUAUUCUACGUGAGUUCAAAUACGAUCAUGCUAACUGUCAUCUACGCAAGAUAGCAAUUUGUUGAGUUCCCAACCGCUCUUGGGGUUAUAGGAAUGCUUAUGUUGUCGCUAUCUUCGACAAGCUUGUUGCCGUCCUUCAUGGUUCGACUCGAUGGAUAUUGCUCAAAAAUCAGUUUCUAUACACGGAUGAGUACUGUGAUGCAAUUCAAUACGAGGGUCUUGUGUUUGCUGCCACCACUCGUGGCAUUGUUUUUGCAUGGAAUCCUCAUGAUUUCGGUACGUUUAUCUUCCACCGUAAUUAUAAUUGUUUCAUCCACAUGCAUGCGGGUUAGCUAGUUUCCCUUUACUAAUUAACCUCCUUGUGUUUCCAAGGUCCUGUGAAUAUUCCACCACCUAUACUUGAGAAUUUUAUUCACGAGCAUGAGGACGAGCAGGACCCAUAUACUCAGUGGCGCCUGGCAACUUAUUCCGAUAGAUCACCUCUUCUUGGGGCACUGCUGAUGUUACUAAGGAAGCAUGUGUUGUCUCGUAUGGUCGCACUCUCCGGACCUAUUCCAACAUCCGUCGCAGGGUAUUCGGGAUGGAUACUCGUGUACUAGCGCCAACACCUUCUCCCUGGUUCAGUAUUGAAAGUCUUGGAGAAAACUCGCUCUUCCUUGGACAAAACUAUCCAAUGAUGGUGGAAGGCGAUCCAGCGGCUGUUGACAUAACGUUACUAUCAUUUAUGAGAAGCAACUGUAUCUAUACCUCGGACAUUACUAUGCUUCCCUACCGUCCCAAUUUGGGUAUUGAGAUAGGCCGCUUCAGCCUGAAUGAUCAGUCCUGCGUUGGUCUCGAGAUUGACAGUAGCUAGCCCUUCCCAGAGAAUCACUUCUGGUUCAAAGCAAGCGUUUCCAAUGCCGACGAGUGGUUGAGCUGAAGUUCAUUUCAUCGCUUUGUUAUUUGUUGUGUGAGAAAAACUUUACUAGAAUGUUUUGUUGGAAAUGAUCUAUAACCCAACGUGUAUCCUCGUUGUCGUUGUGGGUUGAUGACUUGUUGUAUGUAAUCAAUGGUACAUUUGCAUAUGCGUCCAUGAACUCACGCCUGCUAGUGGUGUCCAUAUGAACAGUGCUAGUGAUUUUAGUUGCAAAAAUUUGAUAGUGCUAGUGAUUUGUAGCUGCAUAUUUUGACAAAUCACAGUGUUACAAGGUUGACAAAUGGCAAUGUUACUAGAUAAACAAAUGUCAAUCUUUUCAGUUUGACAAAUGGCAACAUACCCAAAACAAAUCUUACCCAAUUGUUUGUACGUGGUUGCACACGGGUCAUGCAACACAACCGUUUGUGUUGAAGGGAUGCAGAAAUCCUGCUCGGCACAUUUUCCCUUGGCUUCCUGGGGAAGCUGUCGGUUUGCAUACGGGUGUUCUAACGAAAACGUUUGUGAUGAGUGUUUUAUAUUUAAAAACCAUUGAAGUUUUUUUCAAAAGAAAAUCGUUCAAUAAGUCUGUACAUUAAGAGAGAAAAACGCAAGUUCGUUCAAACCAUAUCUUUCAUUCAGCCACACUGCGAAUUUAUAUUCAUAUGAUCGAGAAUUCGAGAUACAGUAUUAAACCCCAAAAAAACUAUUUCCGGCAGCGGCGGAGGCGGCGUGACGCGCCGUCGUUGUUGUACUCCGGGACGCUGUUGUUGAAGUCUUCAAGGCAGCACAAAAUGUUCUUCACUUGUAAAUCAAACAUCAUGUCGUCGCCCGAUCGAUGGGCGAGGCGCGGGAGGACGGCAACUGGCACCGCUGAGAGGUAGCGGUCGACGGCAGCGUCCCAUGCCNNNNNNNNNNNNNNNNNNNNNNNNNNNNNNNNNNNNNNNNNNNNNNNNNNNNNNNNNNNNNNNNNNNNNNNNNNNNNNNNNNNNNNNNNNNNNNNNNNNNNNNNNNNNNNNNNNNNNNNNNNNNNNNNNNNNNNNNNNNNNNNNNNNNNNNNNNNNNNNNNNNNNNNNNNNNNNNNNNNNNNNNNNNNNNNNNNNNNNNNNNNNNNNNNNNNNNNNNNNNNNNNNNNNNNNNNNNNNNNNNNNNNNNNNNNNNNNNNNNNNNNNNNNNNNNNNNNNNNNNNNGAGCACGGGCAAGGGCGCUGGCGCUGGCAUGUACACGAGCUCGCGCGGGUCCGCGGAGACCUCGCUGACGCCCGCGGCUUCCAGCUCUGCGAUAGUGCUCGGCGACCAGCCCGUCAAUGCUACGGGGAUGGUGGCUGGUGCGGGCGCGUGGAUGGGAGCUGGGACGUGAGCGGGGGCAGAAACCGCCACGGCCAGCUCGUUCUGGGCCAUGUCCAUGAGGCCCCAUUCCUCCUUAUUUUCUAUCUCCUCCGGCUCGGAGUCGACUUCACCAAACUUGAAGACUAGUGGCAGAUGAUCAUUCUGCGCCAUGGCGAUGGAGGUCUGUGGGGGGGAGGGGAAUGGGACGCGAACAGUAAGGCCGCCCGUAUUAAACAGCGGCUCGGGCGCCAUUAAUGGAGAGGAAGGCGGGCGGCCAUGGAAGUCAAAGGGCUCGCUUCCCAGUGAGCCUGCGUAGCGUAAAGCUCGCACGCUUCCCGGUGAGCCUGCGCAUUGGAGGACAGCUUGCACGCCUCUCGGUCAGCCUGCGCACCGGACUGCGCUUGCACGCCUCCCGUUUAGUCAAGGUCAAGCAGCUGUCCGCACGACACCUCCUACAGCCAUUAAAACCAAGACACAUGGCGUCACGUGAAUGGUUAACAGAACGCACACGUUUUGAAUUAUACAAACGUUUGAGAUAUUAAGUGGCAGCUAUUUUUUCAAAUUGACUUUGUUGGCUGUCAUUAUUCGAGUGUGCCUUCUCUCAAAAUGGACACGAAAAAUACCACAUCAUGUCGGGCGCCAUUCCAUGAUAGCAUGCCAAGUUUCAUGAAUUUCAGACAAGUUUUGGAUUUACUAGAAUUUAAAAACCAGGCAUCUCAAUGUUUUGUCGGUAAUCAACGGUGCCCUGGUGUUUGAAAUUCACUCCCAUUUAUUGCAUGGGACCUAAGCAUGCACCCAAGGACACAUAUUCGAUUUUUCAACCAAUUUAUAUGCACUGGAGCAUGUGCAUGUAGUUCAAAUUUGAAUUAUGCACAUAAAUGCAUUGAAAACUCAGUUAAUGCAUAAAAAUGUCCAAAAGAACCCUAAAAAAAUCACAAAAAUUGACACAACACUCUUGUUGUUCUAUGUUGACACGAGAAAUUUUUUGGAAGCAAUAAGAGGCAGUGGAUAUCGUUUCGUCCCCAAAGGUGGGACGUUCCCUACCGAAACCAUGAUGCUUGUUGUGAGAAGCUCUGGUUUGUGAGAAGCAUAUACCCAAACCUGCCCCAAACGGGACAAUUUUUUUACCACGACAUGUUGAUGCCGCUCCAUGAAAGCAUGCCAAGUUUCAUGAAUUUCAGACGAGUUUUGGAUUUACUAGAAUUAAAAAAUGAGGCAUCUCAAUGUUUUGCCGGCAAUCAACAGUGCCCUGGUGUUUCAAUUUCAUUCCCAUCUCUUGCAUGGGACCUAGAAAUUCACCCAAGGACACAUAUUAGAUUUUUCAACCAACCUUAGUGCAUUGGAGCAUGUGCUUGUAGUUCAAAUUUGAAUUAUGCACAUAAAAUGCUUAGAAAACCCAGCUAAUGCAUAAAAAUGUCCAAACGAACCCCGAAAAAUCACAAAAAUUGACACAACACUCCUGUUGUUCUAUGUUGACACUAGAAAAUAUUUGAAAUCAAUAAGAGGCAAUGGAUAUCGCUUCGUCCCCAAAGGUGGGACAUUCCCUAUCGAAACCAUCAUGCUUGUUGUGAGAAGCUCUGGUUUGUGAGAAGCUUAUACCCGAACCUGCCCCAAACGGGACAAUUUUUUUACCAUGGCAUGUUGAUGCCGCUCCAUGAUAGCAUGCCAAGUUUCAUGAAUUUCAGACGAGUUUUGGAUUUACUAGAAUUUAAAAACCAGGCAUCUCAAUGUUUUGCCGGCAAUCAACAGUGUCCUGGUGUUUGAAUUUCAUUCCCAUCUCUUGCAUGGGACCAAGAAAUUCACCCAAGGACACACAUGUGAUUUUUCAACCAACUUUAGUGCAUUGGAGCAUGUGCUUGUAGUUCAAAUUUGAAUUAUGCACAUAAAAUGCCUAGAAAACCCAGUUAAUGUAUAAAAAGGCCAAACGAACCCCGAAAAAUUCCAAGAUUGAACACAACACUCCUGUUGUUCUAUGUUGAUACUAGAAUUUUUUUGAAAGCAAUAAGAGGCAACGGAUAUCGUCUCGUCCCCAAAGGUGGUACGUUCCCUAUCGAAACCAUCAUGCUUGUUGUGAGAAACUCUGAUAUGUGAGAAGCUUGUACCCAAACCUGCCCCAAAUGGGACAAAUUUUUUAGCAAGGCAUGUCGGGUGCCGCUCCAUGAUACCAUGCCAAGUUUCAUGAAUUUCAGACGAGUUUUGGAUUUACUAGAAUAUAAAAACCAGGCAUCUCAACGUUUUGCCGGCAAUCAACAGUGCCCUGGUGUUUGAAAUUCAUUCCCAUCUCUUGCAUGGGACCUAGAAAUUCACCCAAGGACACACAUGUGAAUUUUCAACCAACUUUGGUGCAUUGGAGCAUGUGCUUGUAGUUGAAAUUUGAAUUAUGCACAUAAAAUGCCUAGAAAACCCAGUUAAUGUAUAAAAAAGUCCAAACGAACCCCAAAAAAUUCCAAGAUUGAACACAACACUCCUGUUGUUCUAUGUUGACACUAGAAUUUUUUUGAAAGCAAUAAGAGGCAACAGACAUCGUCUCGUCCCCAAAGGUGGUACAUGCCCUAUCGAAACCAUCAUGCUUGUUGUGAGAAGCUCUGAUUUGUGAGAAGAUUAUACCCAAACCUGCCCCAAAUGGGACAAAAUUUUCACCACGGCAUGUUGAUGCCGCUCCAUGAUAGCAUGCCAAGUUUCAUGAAUUUCAGACGAGUUUUGGAUUUUACUAGAAUUUAAAAAUCAGGUAUCACAACGUUUUGCCGGCAAUCAACAGUGCCCUGGUGUUUGAAAUUCAUUCCCAUCUCUUGCAUGGGACCUAGAAAUUCACCCAAGGACACACAUGUGAUUUCUCAACCAACUUUAGUGCAUUGGAGCAUGUGCUUGUAGUUCAAAUUUGAAUUAUGCACAUAAAAUGCCUAGAAAACCCAGUUAAUGUAUACAAAAGGCCAAACGAACCCCGAAAAAUUCAUUCCCAUUUCUUCCAUGGGACGUAAGCAUGCACUGAAGGACACAGAUUUGAUUUUUCUACCAAUUAUGCACUGGAGCAUGUGCAUGUAGUUUAAUUUUGAAUUGUGCACCUGAAAUGGCUAGAAAACCGGUUUAAUGUAUGAAAUGUCCAAACAAACCCUGAAUAAUUCCAAUUCAUUUACGACACACAUACAGUUGCAUGUUCACUGCAGAUAAAAGGUCUAGCAAUUCAAACACCGUCCAUUGCCGCUGUGACCCUAUUUUGUAAUUCAAAUCAAGUAGAUCCCACACAGUUUAUUCUCACCAACCGUGUGAGAUGUAGUACAAAAUAUCUUGUAGCACCGUCGGUGUAUAGUACGCCUAUGGCUUACGCGAGAAGGUGCAUCGGCUAUAGUCCACAGCCGGCGUGUCAAGCACACUAGCUCCCUCCCCCAAAACUUCCGCCUCUGCAUCCCUCUCUGCUUCAGUCCCUUGAUUCAAAUUUUCAGUAGCCCCGGCAUUUUACUCCCGCCUCUGCAUCCCUCGUAAUCUCAAAAAUAUCUGCUCGCCCUUGAUCCAAAUUUUCAGUAGCCCUGCCUUGUUACUCCCGCCUAGUAAAAAUUUUAGUUGCCGCAGUAUUUCCUCAAACACAACCUCCGCUCACACAGACACACACAACCCCCGAAACCAUUAGUAGGUCGCCGCCAUCGCCGGCGCCUCCAUCCUCCACCUCUGCCUGUGUGCCGGGGAGCUCGAGUAGCCAAUGGCCAAAAGGAGGUUUAUCGCGGCCUUUUCGCCUGACGCCGGCGAGGUGGCCGCCGAGGUGUCCCUGUCGUCCUCCGCGGGCCCGAUCCACCGUCGCCGGUUGUUGGAAAUAUGCCCUAGAGGCAAUAAUAAAAUGGUUAUUAUUGUAUUUCCUUGUUCAUGAUAAUUGUCUAUUGUUCAUGCUAUAAUUGUAUUAACUGGAAACCGUAAUACAUGUGUGAAAACAUAGACCACAACAUGUCCCUAGUAAGCCUCUAGUUGACUAGCUCGUUGAUCAAUAGAUGGUUAUGGUUUCCUGACCAUGGACAUUGGAUGUCAUUGAUAACGGGAUCACAUCAUUAGGAGAAUGAUGCGAUGGACAAGACCCGAUCCUAAGCAUAGCACAAGAUCGUGUAGUUCGUUUGCUAAGAGCUUUUCUAAUGUCAAGUAUCGUUUGCUUAGACCCUGAGAUUGUGCAACUCCCGGAUACCGUAGGAAUGCUUUGGGUGUACGAAGCGUCACAACGUAACUGGGUGGCUAUAAAGGUGCACUACAGGUAUCUCCGAAAGUGUCUGUUGGGUUGGCACGAAUCGAGACUGGGAUUUGUCACUCCGUAUGACGGAGAGGUAUCUCUGGGCCCACUCGGUAAUGCAUCAUCAUAAUGAGCUCAAUGUGACUAAUGAGUUAGCCACGGGAUCAUGCGUUACGGAACGAGUAAAGAGACUUGCCGGUAACAAGAUUGAACGAGGUAUGGGGAUACCGACGAUCGAAUCUCGGGCAAGUAACAUACCGAUUGACAAAGGGAAUUGAAUACGGGAUUGAUUGAAUCCCCGACAUCGUGGUUCAUCCGAUGAGAUCAUCGUGGAACAUGUGGGAGCCAAUAUGGGUAUCCAGAUCCCGCUAUUGGUUAUUGGCCGGAGAGGUGUCUCGGUCAUGUCUGCAUGGUUCACGAACCCGUAGGGUCUACACACUUAAGGUUCGGUGACGCUAGAGUUGUUAUGGGAAAUAGUAUGUGGUUACCGAAGGUUGUUCGGAGUCCCGGAUGAGAUCCCGGACAUGACGAGGAGCUCCGAAAUGGUCCGGAGGUGAAGAUCGGUAUAUUGGACGAAGGGUAUUGGAGUCCGGAAUUGUUCCGGGGGUACGAGGCUAUGGCCAGCAUGUCGAAAGGGGUUUCGGAGGCCCCGACAAGCGUUGGGGGGCCUUAUGGGCCAAGGGGAAGGGGCAAACCAGCCCACUAAGGGGCUGUGCGUCCCUCCCAACCCCUCUCACGUAACCAAGAGAGGUGGGGGCGCCACCCCAAGGGCAGCCGCCCCUCCCGGCUUGGGGGGCAAGUUUCCUAGGGGGUGGGGGCGCCCAAACCCAUCUAUGGUUUUCCCUGGCCGCCGCCUCCUCCUCUAGAUCCAUCUAGAGGGGUCGGCCCCCUCUCCCCUUCCCCCUAUAUAUAGUGAGGGGGUGGGAGGGCAGCCACACCCUUCCCUUGGCGCAGCCCUCUCGUCCUCCAACUCCUCCUCCUCCUCCUCCUCCGUUGUGCUUAGCAAAGCUCUGCCGGAGAACCACGAGCUCCAUCGCCACCAUGCCGUCGUGCUGCUGGAGUUCUCCCUCAACUUCUCCUCUCCCCUUGCUGGAUCAAGAAGGAGGAGACGUCCCCGGGCUGUAUGUGUGUUGAACGCGGAGGCGCCGUCCGUUCGGCGCUAGAUCGGAUCUUCCGCGAUUUGAAUCGCCGCGAGUACGACUCCAUCAACCGCGUUCUUGUAACGCUUCCGCUUAGCGAUCUUCAAGGGUAUGAAGAUGCACUCCCUCUCUCUCGUUGCUAGCAUCUCCUAGAUUGAUCUUGGUGACACGUAGGAAAAUUUUGAAUUAUUGCUACGUUCCCCAACAGUGGCAUCAUGAGCUAGGUCUAUGCGUAGAUUCUAUGCACGAGUAGAACACAAAGUAGUUGUGGGCGAUGAUUUGUUCAAUUUGCUUACCGUUACUAGUCUUAUCUUGAUUCGGCGGCAUUGUGGGAUGAAGCGGCCCGGACCGACCUUACACGUACUCUUACGUGAGACAGGUUCCACCGACUGACAUGCACUUGAUGCAUAAGGUGGCUAGCGGGUGUCUGUCUCUCCCACUUUAGUCGGAUCGGAUUCGAUGAAGAGGGUCCUUAUGAAGGGUAAAUAGCAAUUGGCAUAUCACCGUUGUGGCUUUUGCGUAGGUAAGAAAAGUUCUUGCUAGAAACCCAUAGCAGCCACGUAAAACAUGCAACAACAAUUAGAGGACGUCUAACUUGUUUUUGCAGGGUAUGCUACGUGAUGUGAUAUGGCCAAAAGGAUGUGAUGAAUUAUAUAUAUGUGAUGUAUGAGAUUGAUCAUGUUCUUGUAAUAGGAAUCACGACUUGCAUGUCGAUGAUUAUGACAACCGGCAGGAGCCAUAGGAGUUAUCUUAAUUUAUUGUAUGACCUGCGUGUCAAUGAAAAACGCCAUGUAAUUACUUUACUUUAUUGCUAACCGUUAGCCAUAGUAGUAGAAGUAAUAGUUGGCGAGACAACUUCAUGAAGACACGAUGAUGGAGAUCAUGGUGUCAUGCCGGUGACGAAGGUGAUCAUGCCGCGCCUCGAAGAUGGAGAUCAAAGGGCGCAAGAUGAUAUUGGCCAUAUCAUGUCACUUUAUGAUUUGCAUGUGAUGUUUGUCAUGUUUACAUCAUAUUUGCUUAGAACGACGGUAGCAUAAAUAAGAUGAUCCCUCACUAAAAUUUCAAGAGAUGUGUUCCCCCUAACUGUGCACCGUUGCGAAGGUUCGUUGUUUCGAAGCACCACGUGAUGAUCGGGUGUGAUAGAUUCUAACGUUCGCAUGCAACGGGUGUAAGCCAGAUUUACACAUGCGAAACACUUAGGUUGACUUGACGAGCCUAGCAUGUACAGACAUGGCCUCGGAACACAAGAGACCGAAAGGUCGAACAUGAGUCGUAUAGUAGAUACGAUCAACAUGGAGAUGUUCACCGAUGAUGACUAGUCCGUCUCACGUGAUGAUCGGACACGGCCUAGUUGACUCGGAUCACGUAUCACUUAUAUGACUAGAGGGAUGUCUAUCUGAGUGGGAGUUCAUUAAAUAAUUUGAUUAGAUGAACUUAAUUAUCAUGAACAUAGUCAAAAGGUCUUUGCAAAUUAUGUCGUAGCUUACGCUUUAGUUCUACUAAGAUAUGUUCCUACAGAAAAUUUAGUUGAAAGUUGAUAGUAGCAAUUAUGCGGACUGGGUCCGUAAACUGAGGAUUGUCCUCAUUGCUGCACAGAAGGCUUAUGUCCUUAAUGCACCGCUCGGUGUGCUGAACCUCGAGCGUCGUUUGUGGAUGUUGCGAACAUCUGACAUACACGUUUUGAUGACUACGUGAUAGUUCAGUGCGUAAUGUUAAACGGUUUAGAAUUGAGGCACCGAAGACAUUUUGAAACGUCGUGGAACAUAUGAGAUGUUCCAAGAGCUGAAAUUGGGAUUUUAGGCUCGUGCCCACGUCAAGAGGUGUGAGACCUCCGACAAGUUUCUUAAGCCUGCAAACUAAGGGAGAAAAGCUCAAUCGUUGAGCAUGUGCUCGGAUUGUCUGAGUACUACAAUCGCUUGAAUCGAGUGGGAGUUGUCUUCCAGAUGAGAUAGUGAUGGUUCUCCAAAGUCACUGCCACCAAGCUACUAGAGCUUCGUGAUGAACUAUAACAUAUCAGGGAUAGAUAUGAUGAUCCUUGAGCUAUUCGCGAUGUUUGACACCGCGAAAGUAGAAAUCAAGUAGGAGCAUCAAUUGUUGAUGGUUAGUAAAACCACUAGUUUCAAGAAGGGCAAGGGCAAGAAGGGAUACUUCAUGAAACGGCAAAUCAGUUGCUGCUCUAGUGAAGAAACCCAAGGUAGAAUCCAAACCCGAGACUAAGUGCUUCUGUAAUGAGGGGAACGGUCACUGAAGCAGAACUACCCUAGAUACUUGGUAGAUGAGAAGGCUGGUAAGGUCGACAGAAGUAUAUUGGAUAUACAUUAUAUUAAUGUGUACUUUACUAGUACUCCUAGUAGCACCAGGGUAUUAGAUACCGGUUCGGUUGCUAAGUGUUGGUAACUUGAAAUAAAAAGCUACGGAAUAAAUGGAGACUAACUAAAGGUGAGAUGACGAUAUGUGUUGGAAGUGUUUCCAAGGUUGAUGUGAUCAAGCAUCGCAUGCUCCCUCUACCAUCGAGAUUGGUGUUAAACCUAAAUAAUUGUUAUUUGGUGUUUGCAUUGAGCAUAGACAUGAUUGGAUUAUGUUUAUCGCAGUAUGGUUAUUCAUUUAAGGAGAAUAAUGGUUACUCUGUUUAUUUGAAUAAUACCUUCAAUGGUCUUGCACCUAAAAUGAAUGGUUUAUUGAAUCUCGAUCGUAGUGAUACACAUGAUCAUGCCAAAAGAUAUAAGAUAGUAAUGAUAGUACCACAUACUUGUGGCACUGCCAUUUGAGUCCUAUUGGUAUAAAACGCAUGAAGAAGCUCCAUGUAGAUGGAUCUUUGGACUCACUCGUUUUUGAAAAGAUUGAGACAUGCGAACCAUGUCUAUUGGUAUAUAUGCAUGAAGAAACUCCAUGCAGAUGGAUCGUUUGGACUCACUUGAUUUUGAAUCACUUGAGACAUGCAAAUCAUACCACAUGGGCAAGAUGACUGAAAGGCCUCGUUUUCAGUGAGAUGGAACAAAAGAGCAACUUGUUGGAAGUAAUACAUUUGAUGUGUGCAAUCCAAUGAGUGCUGAGGCACGCAGUGAAUAUCAUUAUGCUCUUACUUCAUAGAUGAUUUGAGUAGAUUCUAAGUAUAUUUACUUGAUGAAAUACAAGUCUGAAGUAAUUUCAGAGUGAAGUAGAAGAUCGUCGUGACAAGAGGAUAAGAUGUCUAUGAUAUGAUCAUAGAGAUAAAUAUCUGAGUUACGAGUUUGGUACACAAUUAAGACAUUGUGGAAAUAUUUUCACAACUAAUACCGCCUGGAACACCAUAGUGUGAUGGUGUGUCCGAACAUCAUAAAUGCACCCUAUUGGAUAUGGUGCAUACCAUGAUGUCUCUUAUCGAAUUACCACUAUCGUUUAUGGGUUAGGCAUUAGAGACAACCACAUUCACUUUAAUAGGGCACCACGUAAUUCCGUUGAGAUGACACCGUAUGAAAUAUGGUUUAGAGAAACCUAAGCUGUCGUUUAUUAAAAGUUUGGGGCUGCGACGCUUAUGUGAAAAAGUUUCAGGCUGAUAAGCUCGAACCCAAAGCGGAUAAAUGCAUCUUCAUAGAAUACCCAAAACAGUUGGGUAUACCUCCUAUUUCAGAUCUAGAAGCAAAAGUGAUUGUUUCUAGAAACGGGUCCUUUCUCGAGGAAAAGUUUCUCUCGAAAGAAUUGAGUGGGAGGAUGGUGGAGACUUGAUGAGGUUAUUGAACCGUCACUUCAACUAGUGUGUAGCAGGGCACAAGAAGUUGUUCGUGUGGCACCUACACCAAUUGAAGUGGAAGCUUAUGAUAGUGAUCAUGAAACUUCGGAUCAAGUCACUACCAAACCUCGUAGGACGACAAGGAUGCGUACUACUUCAGAGUGGUACGUAAUCCUGUCUUGGAAGUCAUGUUGCUAGACAACAAUGAACCUACGAGCUAUGGAUAAGCGAUGGUGGGCCCAGAUUCCGACGAAUGGCUCGAGGCCAUAAAAUCCGAGAGAGGAUCCAUGUAUAAAAACAAAGUAUAGACUUUGGAAGAACUAUUUAUGGUCGUAAGGCUGUUGGGUGCAGAUGGAUUUUAAAAGGAAGACGGACAAUGAUGGUAAGUGUCACCAUUAAGAAAGCUCGACUUGUCGUUAAGAUGUUUUCCGACAAGUUCAAGGAGUUGACUACGAUGAGAUUUUCUCACUCGUAGUGAUGCUAAGAGUCUGUUGGAAUUAUAUUAGCAGUUACUGCAUUAUUUAUGAAAUCUUGCAGAUAGGAUGUCAAAAACAUUGUUUCCUCGACGAUUUUCUUGAGGAAAGGUUGUAUGUGAUGCAACCAGAAGGUUUUGUCAAUCCUGAAAGAUGCUAACAAGUAUGCAAAGCUCCAGCAAUCCUUCUAAGGACUGGAGUAAGCAUCUCAGAGUUGGAAUGUACGCUUUGAUGAGAUGAUCAAAGAUUUUGGGUUUUUACAAAGUUUAUGAGAAACUUGUAUUUCCAAAGAAGUGAGUGGGAGCACUGUAGAAUUUUUGAUGAGUAUAUGUUGUUAACAUAUUGCUGAUCAGAAAUGAUGUAGAAUUUCUGGAAAGCAUACAAGGUUAUUUGAAAAGUGUUUUUCAAUGGAAAACCUGGAUUAAGCUACUUGAACAUUGAGCAUCAAGAUCUAUAAGGAUAGAUAAAAAACGCUUAAUAGUACUUUCAAAUGAAUACAUACCGUGACAAGAUUUUGAAGGAGUUCAAAAUAGAUCAGCAAAGAAGGAGUUCUUGGCUGUGUUACAAGGUGUGAGUAUUGAGUAAGACUCAAGACCUGACCAUGACGGAAGAGAGAGAAAGGACGAAGGUCGUCCCCUAUGCUUUAGACGUAGGCUCUACAGUAUGCUAUGCUGUGUACCGCACCUGAAGUGUGCCUUGCCAUGAGUUAGUCAAGGGGUACAAUAGUGAUCCAGGAAUGGAUCACAUGACAGCGGUCGAACUUAUCCUUAGUAACUAGUGGACUAAGGAAUUUUGUCGAUUAUGGAGGUGGUAAAAGAGUUCGUCGUAAAGGGUUACGUCGAUGCAAACUUUGACACUAAUCCGGAUGACUCUGAGUAGUAAACCGGAUUCGUAUAGUAGAGCAGUUAUUUGGAAUAGCUCCAAGUAGCGCGUGGUAGCUGCAUCUACAAGAUGACAUAGAGAUUUGUAAAGCACACACGGAUCUGAAAGGUUCAGACCCGUUGACUAAUAACCUCUCUCACAAGCGAGAUAUGAACAAACCCCAUGGGUGUUGGAUUCAUUACAAUCACAUAGUGAUGUGAACUAGAUUAUUGACUCUAGUGCAAGUGGGAGACUGUUGGAAAUAUGCCCUAGAGGCAAUAAUAAAAUGGUUAUUACUGUAUUUCCUUGUUCAUGAUAAUUGUCUAUUGUUCAUGCUAUAAUUGUAUUAACUGGAAACCGUAAUACAUGUGUGAAUACAUAGACCACAACAUGUCCCUAGUAAGCCUCUAGUUGACUAGCUCGUUGAUCAAUAGAUGGUUAUGGUUUCCUGACCAUGGACAUUGGAUGUCAUUGAUAACGGGAUCACAUCAUUAGGAGAGUGAUGUGAUGGACAAGACCCAAUCCUAAGCAUAGCACAAGAUCGUGUAGUUCGUUUGCUAAGAGCUUUUCUAAUGUCAAGUAUCGUUUCCUUAGACCAUGAGAUUGUGCAACUCCCGGAUACCGUAGGAAUGCUUUGGGUGUACCAAACGUCACAACGUAACUGGGUGGCUAUAAAGGUGCACUACAGGUAUCUCCGAAAGUGUAUGUUGGGUUGGCACGAAUCGAGACUGGGAUUUGUCACUCCGUAUGACGGAGAGGUAUGUCUGGGCCCACUCGGUAAUGCAUCAUCAUAAUGAGCUCAAUGUGACUAAUGAGUUAGCCACGGGAUCAUGCGUUACGGAACGAGUAAAGAGACUUGCCGGUAACAAGAUUGAACGAGGGAUGGGGAUACCGACGAUCGAAUCUCGGGCAAGUAACAUACCGAUAGACAAAGGGAAUUGAAUACGGGAUUGAUUGAAUCCCCGACAUCAUGGUUCAUCCGAUAAGAUCAUCGUGGAACAUGUGGGAGCCAAUAUGGGUAUCCAGAUCCCGCUAUUGGUUAUUGGCCGGAGAGGUGUCUCGGUCAUGUCUGCAUGGUUCCCGAACCCGUAGGGUCUACACACUUAAGGUUCGGUGACGCUAGAGUUGUUAUGGGAAAUAGUAUGUGGUUACCGAAGGUUGUUCGGAGUCCCGGAUGAGAUCCCGGACAUGAUGAGGAGCUCCGGAAUGGUCCGGAGGUGAAGAUCGGUAUAUUGGACGAAGGGUAUUGGAGUCCGGAAUUGUUCCGGGGGUACCAGGCUAUGGCCAGCAUGUCCGAAAGGGGUUUCGGAGGCCCCGGCAAGCGUUGGGGGGCCUUAUGGGCCAAGGGGAAGAGGCAAACCAGCCCACUAAGGGGCUGUGCGCCCCUCCCAACCCCUCUCACGUAACCAGGAGAGGUGGGGGCGCCACCCCUAGGGCAGCCGCCCCUCCCGGCUUGGGGGGCAAGUUUCCUAGGGGGUGGGGGCGCCCAAACCCAUCUAGGGUUUCCCCUGGCCGCCACCUGCUCCUCUAGAUCCAUCUAGAGGGGCCGGCCCCCUCUCCCCUUCCCCCUAUAUAUAGUGAGGGGUUGGGAGGGCAGCCACACCCUUCCCUUGGUGCAGCCCUCUCCUCCUCCAACUCCUCCUCCUCCUCCGUAGUGCUUAGCGAAGCUCUGCCGGAGAAUCAUGAGCUCCAUCGCCACCAUGCCAUCGUGCUGCUGGAGUUCUCCCUCAACUUCUCCUCUCCCCUUGCUGGAUCAAGAAGGAGGAGACGUCCCCGGGCUGUCCGUGUGUUGAACGCGGAGGCGCCGUCCGUUCGGCACUAGAUCGGAUCUUCCGCGAUUUGAAUCGCCGCGAGUACGACUCCAUCAACCGCGUUCUUGUAACGCUUCCGCUUAGCGAUCUUCAAGGGUAUGAAGAUGCACUCCCUCUCUCUCAUUGCUAGCAUCUCCUAGAUUGAUCUUGGUGACACGUAGGAAAUUUUUGAAUUAUUGCUACGUUCCCCAACAGUGGCAUCAUGAGCUAGGUCUAUGCGUAGAUUCUAUGCACGAGUAGAACACAAAGUAGUUGUGGGCGAUGAUUUGUUCAAUUUGCUUACCGUUACUAGUCUUAUCUUGAUUCGGCGGCAUUGUGGGAUGAAGCGGCCCGGACCGACCUUACACGUACUCUUACGUGAGACAGGUUCCACCGACUGACAUGCACUUGAUGCAUAAGGUGGCUAGCGGGUGUCUGUCUCUCCCACUUUAGUCGGACCGAAUUCGAUGAAGAGGGUCCUUAUGAAGGGUAAAUAGCAAUUGGCAUAUCACCGUUGUGGCUUUUGCGUAGGUAAAAAACGUUCUUGCUAGAAACCCAUAGCAGGCACGUAAAACAUGCAACAACAAUUAGAGGACGUCUAACUUGUUUUUGCGGGUAUGCUAUGUGAUGUGAUAUGGCCAAAAGGAUGUGAUGAAUUAUAUAUAUGUGAUGUAUGAGAUUGAUCAUGUUCUUGUAAUAGGAAUCACGACUUGCAUGUCGAUGAUUAUGACAACCGGCAGGAGCCAUAGGAGUUGUCUUAAUUUAUUGUAUGACCUGCGUGUCAAUGAAAAACGCCAUGUAAUUACUUUACUUUAUUGCUAACCGUUAGCCAUAGUAGUAGAAGUAAUAGUUGGCGAGACAACUUCAUGAAGACACGAUGAUGGAGAUCAUGGUGUCAUGCCGGUGACGAAGGUGAUCAUGCCGCGCCUUGAAGAUGGAGAUCAAAGGGCGCAAGAUGAUAUUGGCCAUAUCAUGUCACUUUAUGAUUUGCAUGUGAUGUUUGUCAUGUUUACAUCUUAUUUGCUUAGAACGACGGUAGCAUAAAUAAGAUGAUCCCUCACUAAAAUUUCAAGAGAUGUGUUCCCCCUAACUGUGCACCGUUGCGAAGGUUCGUUGUUUCGAAGCACCAUGUGAUGAUCGGGUGUGAUAGAUUCUAACGUUCGCAUACAACGGGUGUAAGCCAGAUUUACACAUGCGAAACACUUAGGUUGACUUGACGAGCCUAGCAUGUACAGACAUGGCCUCGGAACACAAGAGACCGAAAGGUCGAACAUGAGUCGUAUAGUAGAUACGAUCAACAUGGAGAUGUUCACCGAUGAUGACUAGUCCGUCUCACGUGAUGAUCGGACACGGCCCAGUUGACUCGGAUCACGUAUCACUUAGAUGACUAGAGGGAUGUCUAUCUGAGUGGGAGUUCAUUAAAUAAUUUGAUUAGAUGAACUUAAUUAUCAUGAACAUAGUCAAAAGGUCUUUGCAAAUUAUGUCGUAGCUUACGCUUUAGUUCUACUAAGAUAUGUUCCUACAGAAAAUUUAGUUGAAAGUUGAUAGUAGCAAUUAUGCGGACUGGGUCCGUAAACUGAGGAUUGUCCUCAUUGCUGCACAGAAGGCUUAUGUCCUUAAUGCACCGCUCGGUGUGCUGAACCUCGAGCGUCGUUUGUGGAUGUUGCGAACAUCUGACAUACACGUUUUGAUGACUACGUGAUAGUUCAGUGCGUAAUGUUAAACGGUUUAGAAUUGAGGCACCGAAGACAUUUUGAAACGUCGUGGAACAUAUGAGAUGUUCCAAGAGCUGAAAUUGGGAUUUUAGGCUCGUGCCCACGUCAAGAGGUGUGAGACCUCCGACAAGUUUCUUAAGCCUGCAAACUAAGGGAGAAAAGCUCAAUCGUUGAGCAUGUGCUCGGAUUGUCUGAGUACUACAAUCGCUUGAAUCGAGUGGGAGUUGUCUUCCAGAUGAGAUAGUGAUGGUUCUCCAAAGUCACUGCCACCAAGCUACUAGAGCUUCGUGAUGAACUAUAACAUAUCAGGGAUAGAUAUGAUGAUCCUUGAGCUAUUCGCGAUGUUUGACACCGCGAAAGUAGAAAUCAAGUAGGAGCAUCAAUUGUUGAUGGUUAGUAAAACCACUAGUUUCAAGAAGGGCAAGGGCAAGAAGGGAUACUUCAUGAAACGGCAAAUCAGUUGUUGCUCUAGUGAAGAAACCCAAGGUAGAACCCAAACCCGAGACUAAGUGCUUCUGUAAUGAGGGGAACGGUCACUGAAGCAGAACUACCCUAGAUACUUGGUAGAUGAGAAGGCUGGUAAGGUCGACAGAAGUAUAUUGGAUAUACAUUAUAUUAAUGUGUACUUUACUAGUACUCCUAGUAGCACCAGGGUAUUAGAUACCGGUUCGGUUGCUAAGUGUUGGUAACUUGAAAUAAAAAGCUACGGAAUAAAUGGAGACUAACUAAAGGUGAGAUGACGAUAUGUGUUGGAAGUGUUUCCAAGGUUGAUGUGAUCAAGCAUCGCAUGCUCCCUCUACCAUCGAGAUUGGUGUUAAACCUAAAUAAUUGUUAUUUGGUGUUUGCAUUGAGCAUAGACAUGAUUGGAUUAUGUUUAUCGCAAUAUGGUUAUUCAUUUAAGGAGAAUAAUGGUUACUCUGUUUAUUUGAAUAAUACCUUCAAUGGUCUUGCACCUAAAAUGAAUGGUUUAUUGAAUCUCGAUCGUAGUGAUACACAUGAUCAUGCCAAAAGAUAUAAGAUAGUAAUGAUAGUACCACAUACUUGUGGCACUGCCAUUUGAGUCAUAUUGGUAUAAAACGCAUGAAGAAGCUCCAUGUAGAUGGAUCUUUGGACUCACUCGUUUUUGAAAAGAUUGAGACAUGCAAACCAUGUCUAUUGGUAUAUAUGCAUGAAGAAACUCCAUGCAGAUGGAUCGUUUGGACUCACUUGAUUUUGAAUCACUUGAGACAUGCAAAUCAUACCACAUGGGCAAGAUGACUGAAAGGCCUCGUUUUCAGUGAGAUGGAACAAAAGAGCAACUUGUUGGAAGUAAUACAUUUGAUGUGUGCAAUCCAAUGAGUGCUGAGGCACACAGUGAAUAUCAUUAUGCUCUUACUUCACAGAUGAUUUGAGUAGAUUCUAAGUAUAUUUACUUGAUGAAAUACAAGUCUGAAGUAAUUUCAGAGUGAAGUAGAAGAUCGUCGUGACAAGAGGAUAAGAUGUCUAUGAUAUGAUCAUGGAGAUGAAUAUCUGAGUUACGAGUUUGGUACACAAUUAAGACAUUGUGGAAAUUGUUUCACAACUAAUACUGCCUAGAACACCAUAGUGUGAUGGUGUGUACGAACAUCAUAAAUGCACCCUAUUGGAUAUGGUGCAUACCAUGAUGUCUCUUAUCGAAUUACCACUAUCGUUUAUGGGUUAGGCAUUAGAGACAACCACAUUCACUUUAAUAGGGCACCACGUAAUUCCGUUGAGAUGACACCGUAUGAAAUAUGGUUUAGAGAAACCUAAGCUGUCGUUUAUUAAAAGUUUGGGGUUGCGACGCUUAUGUGAAAAAGUUUCAGGCAGAUAAGCUCGAACCCAAAGCGGAUAAAUGCAUCUUCAUAGAAUACCCAAAACAGUUGGGUAUACCUCCUAUUUCAGAUCUGGAAGCAAAAGUGAUUGUUUCUAGAAACGGGUCCUUUCUCAAGGAAAAGUUUCUCUCGAAAGAAUUGAGUGGGAGGAUGGUGGAGACUUGAUGAGGUUAUUGAACCGUCACUUCAACUAGUGUGUAGUAGGGCACAAGAAGUUGUUCGUGUGGCACCUACACCAAUUGAAGUGGAAGCUUAUGAUAGUGAUCAUGAAACUUCGGAUCAAGUCACUACCAAACCUCGUAGGACGACAAGGAUGCGUACUACUUCAGAGUGGUACGUAAUCCUGUCUUGGAAGUCAUGUUGCUAGACAACAAUGAACCUACGAGCUAUGGAGAAGCGAUGGUGGGCCCAGAUUCCGACGAAUGGCUCGAGGCCAUAAAAUCCGAGAGAGGAUCCAUGUAUAAAAACAAAGUCUAGACUUUGGAAGAACUACUUGAUGGUCGUAAGGCUGUUGGGUGCAGAUGGAUUUUAAAAGGAAGACGGACAAUGAUGGUAAGUGUCACCAUUAAGAAAGCUCGACUUGUCGUUAAGAUGUUUUCCGACAAGUUCAAGGAGUUGACUACGAUGAGAUUUUCUCACUCGUAGCGAUGCUAAGAGUCUGUUGGAAUUAUAUUAGCAGUUACUGCAUUAUUUAUGAAAUCUUGCAGAUAGGAUGUCAAAAACAUUGUUUCCUCGACGAUUUUCUUGAGGAAAGGUUGUAUGUGAUGCAACCAGAAGGUUUUGUCAAUCCUGAAAGAUGCUAACAAGUAUGCAAAGCUCCAGCAAUCCUUCUAAGGACUGGAGUAAGCAUCUCAGAGUUGGAAUGUACGCUUUGAUGAGAUGAUCAAAGAUUUUGGGUUUUUACAAAGUUUAUGAGAAACUUGUAUUUCCAAAGAAGUGAGUGGGAGCACUAUAGAAUUUUUGAUGAGUAUAUGUUGUUAACAUAUUGCUGAUCAGAAAUGAUGUAGAAUUUCUGGAAAGCAUACAAGGUUAUUUGAAAAGUGUUUUUCAAUGGAAAACCUGGAUUAAGCUACUUGAACAUUGAGCAUCAAGAUCUAUAAGGAUAGAUAAAAAACGCUUAAUAGUACUUUCAAAUGAAUACAUACCGUGUCAAGAUUUUGAAGGAGUUCAAAAUAGAUCAGCAAAGAAGGAGUUCUUUGCUGUGUUACAAGGUGUGAGUAUUGAGUAAGACUCAAGACCUGACCACGACAGAAGAGAGAGAAAGGACGAAGUUCGUCCCCUAUGCUUUAGACGUAGGCUCUACAGUAUGCUAUGCUGUGUACCGCACCUGAAGUGUGCCUUGCCAUGAGUUAGUCAAGGGGUACAAUAGUGAUCCAGGAAUGGAUCACAUGACAGCGGUCGAACUUAUCCUUAGUAACUAGUGGACUAAGGAAUUUUGUCGAUUAUGGAGGUGGUAAAAGAGUUCGUCGUAAAGGGUUACGUCGAUGCAAACUUUGACACUAAUCCGGAUGACUCUGAGUAGUAAACCGGAUUCGUAUAGUAGAGCAGUUAUUUGGAAUAGCUCCAAGUAGCGCGUGGUAGCUGCAUCUACAAGAUGACAUAGAGAUUUGUAAAGCACACACGGAUCUGAAAGGUUCAGACCCGUUGACUAAUAACCUCUCUCACAAGCGAGAUAUGAACAAACCCCAUGGGUGUUGGAUUCAUUACAAUCACAUAGUGAUGUGAACUAGAUUAUUGACUCUAGUGCAAGUGGGAGACUGUUGGAAAUAUGCCCUAGAGGCAAUAAUAAAAUGGUUAUUACUGUAUUUCCUUGUUCAUGAUAAUUGUCUAUUGUUCAUGCUAUAAUUGUAUUAACUGGAAACCGUAAUACAUGUGUGAAUACAUAGACCACAACAUGUCCCUAGUAAGCCUCUAGUUGACUAGCUCGUUGAUCAAUAGAUGGUUAUGGUUUCCUGACCAUGGACAUUGGAUGUCAUUGAUAACGGGAUCACAUCAUUAGGAGAGUGAUGUGAUGGACAAGACCCAAUCCUAAGCAUAGCACAAGAUCGUGUAGUUCGUUUGCUAAGAGCUUUUCUAAUGUCAAGUAUCGUUUCCUUAGACCAUGAGAUUGUGCAACUCCCGGAUACCGUAGGAAUGCUUUGGGUGUACCAAACGUCACAACGUAACUGGGUGGCUAUAAAGGUGCACUACAGGUAUCUCCGAAAGUGUAUGUUGGGUUGGCACGAAUCGAGACUGGGAUUUGUCACUCCGUAUGACGGAGAGGUAUGUCUGGGCCCACUCGGUAAUGCAUCAUCAUAAUGAGCUCAAUGUGACUAAUGAGUUAGCCACGGGAUCAUGCGUUACGGAACGAGUAAAGAGACUUGCCGGUAACAAGAUUGAACGAGGCAUGGGGAUACCGACGAUCGAAUCUCGGGCAAGUAACAUACCGAUAGACAAAGGGAAUUGAAUACGGGAUUGAUUGAAUCCCCGACAUCAUGGUUCAUCCGAUAAGAUCAUCGUGGAACAUGUGGGAGCCAAUAUGGGUAUCCAGAUCCCGCUAUUGGUUAUUGGCCGGAGAGGUGUCUCGGUCAUGUCUGCAUGGUUCCCGAACCCGUAGGGUCUACACACUUAAGGUUCGGUGACGCUAGAGUUGUUAUGGGAAAUAGUAUGUGGUUACCGAAGGUUGUUCGGAGUCCCGGAUGAGAUCCCGGACAUGACGAGGAGCUCCGGAAUGGUCCGGAGGUGAAGAUCGGUAUAUUGGACGAAGGGUAUUGGAGUCCGGAAUUGUUCCGGGGGUACGAGGCUAUGGCCAGCAUGUCCGAAAUGGGUUUCGGAGGCCCCGGCAAGCGUUGGGGGGCCUUAUGGGCCAAGGGGAAGGGGCAAACCAGCCCACUAAGGGGCUGUGCGCCCCUCCCAACCCCUCUCACGUAACCAGGAGAGGUGGGGGCGCCACCCCUAGGGCAGCCGCCCCUCCCGGCUUGGGGGGCAAGUUUCCUAGGGGGUGGGGGCGCCCAAACCCAUCUAGGGUUUCCCCUGGCCGCCGCCUCCUCCUCUAGAUCCAUCUAGAGGGGCCGCCCCCCCUCCCCUUCCCCCUAUAUAUAGUGAGGGGGUGGGAGGGCAGCCACACCCUUCCCUUGGCAUAGCCCUCUCCUCCUCCAACUCCUCCUCCUCCUCCUCCGUAGUGCUUAGCGAAGCUCUGCCGGAGAACCACGAGAUCCAUCGCCACCAUGCCGUCGUGCUGCUGGAGUUCUCCCUCAAGUUCUCCUCUCCCCUUGCUGGAUCAAGAAGGAGGAGUCCCCGGGCUGUACGUGUGUUGAAUGCGGAGGCGCCGUCCGUUCGGCGCUAGAUUGGAUCUUCCGCGAUUUGAAUCGCCGCGAGUACAACUCCAUCAACCGCGUUCUUGUAACGCUUCCGCUUAGCGAUCUUCAAGGGUAUGAAGAUGCACUCCCUCUCUCUCGUUGCUAGCAUCUCCUAGAUUGAUCUUGGUGACACGUAGGAAAAUUUUGAAUUAUUGCUAUGUUCCCCAACACCGGUCCUCCGAUCCGCCCGCCGCCGCGCCCCUACGCCGGUUCGAGGACUUCCCUGUCCUCCCCCGGACCCGGCAGCCGACGAAGUCCUACCUCGGGGUCCGGCAGCGGCGGUGGGGGACGUGGGUCGCCGAGAUUACAGACCAAGAGACCCACACCCGCCGGUGGCUCGGUAGCUUCACACGGCCAAGCUCGCGGCCAUGGAGUACGACCGCUGGAAGGUCCGCUACCACAGGGCGGCGGGUAGGCUCAAUUUCCCCUUCGGCACACGUCCGGUCCACCUCGUUCCGCCGGAGCCAGGGGUGGUGAGCUCGGGUAUGGCGCGGGAGGACCGCGAGGCGUGGGAGCGUUUCGAGGCCGAGGCCGCCGCCGAGGCCUACAUGCAAGAGCUCCGCCGGCAUCACCCGGAGCUCGUGGAGGCGGAGCGGGCGAUCUUUGCCGGUGCGGAGGGCGGCGAGGUUAUCACGCUCUCCUCUGAUGACGAGGUCGAAGGCAGCGCGGAGGGCGUCGAGGUGGGCCCCCAGGACGAGGAGAUCGACAUCGACGAGUGGAGGAGUGCCUUCCCCAUCGACCUCGACGACGGUACUGGCCCGGACCCGGCUCGCGGCACACCGUACAUGACAAGAAGGAUUGGCUCGACCUCUACUUCGACCGAAAGUAGUUUAGCUUAGUUAAAAUUUAUGUUUUAUGUUCUGUUAUGCAAAAAUAUCUAUGUUUAUGUUUGAAUGCAUGCUACUUUCGGUUGAACCUGCUUUGAACUUGAUCAAAUUGAAGUUUACAACCUUAAGUUUAGGGGAUCAACUAGAAAAGGCCAAAAAUUGCUGGAGUAUAUAUAUAUCCACUAAGGGUUUUAGUCCUUUAAACUUUUUAAGGACCGCCUAGAGAUGUCCUUAUGACUUGUUUAUUUCAGUUCUUCACAAUGUGAUGCUCUAUAUGUGCAACUAUUUGCUCUGCAGUUCAAUUUCAUCAAUAACAGUUUCAACAAUACCACUAUGAAUUACGAUAUUUGGUUGCUGUUAAGGAUAUUGCAGUUAACAUGCCUUUUCGUUUUUCAAUUGUUGUUUAGCAACAUGCAUUGUAGUGAAUGACUAAAUAUGCAAUCCCAGGCUACAUAGCAACAAGGAAGAGUGUUACCUUAAUGUUCUGAUGAUGUCUAGAUAUACAUGUAAUAAAAUCUUAUAUAAUGGGAUGGAUGGAAUGUUGUACUACAUCAUUUUUCAAUUGUUGUUUAGCUUCUAAUAUUAACUUGGUGCUUUUAGGUACAUAUAUCAUUGCCAAAGAUCCACACUUCGACCCUUUCUGCGCAUGGGGCAAUGAGAUAUUCAUGAACCAGCAUCUAGUGAGGAAACUGAUAAAGAUUGUAACUAAAAUGGGUCAAAAGAUGUCAAUCGAACUAUUUGUUUACACUUUAUGCAAGACAACAGUGAACUGCAGGAUGGUAAGUAAGAACCCUGUAGCCUUCUUUUUACUGCCCGUAAUGAGUUGUGUUAGGUGACAAUAUCUGAAUCUUUUUUCUUUUGCAGUGGAUCCUGAAGCAGUUUACUCAAGAUUACCUCUCAAACUACAUGAUUGGCGGCCGACCAUCACAAGGGGUUGGACUAGAGUCCUGCAUGCCGCAUCCAGGAGAGCACAAUAGGGCCAUUCCGCUUCACCUUGUUCAGCAACUGGAAUGUCUGUCGCCUCUUUCUUUACCAUCUGUAAUAGUACAAGUAUAGAACCUUGGUACAUCAUUCUUUAUUUGGUGCUUCUGUAAUUAUUAAACAUAUGUACCUGUGAAUUGAAUAAUGCAUUGGUUGUUUGAACCUGAUGGAUAUGAAUAAAGCUAUAGCCUACUUUCAAGUUUAAAUUAGGUACAAUUUUAAAUAGCAGCAAUUAAAUUAGCGCGAAAUUACGUAAUGCAGGUCAUUACGGCACACACGGUUGGUAAAACACAAACGUUUACGAUAUACACCAUAAUCCGAGAUGGUUCACAGAGAGGAAACGUGUGCAAGCAUGCACACAGUUGCCGUUCGCAAAGCGUGUGUGAUGUCAGACACUAUCACAUACGGUGCGGGAAAACUAAAUGUGUGUGAUUGUCUACCUAUCGUACACGGUUUAUAAUCAUGGACUGUUUGUGAUGUGCCAGACAUCGUAAAUCUCCCAUGCUUGGAAUCUGCCUAGAAUCUGCCUGGAAAGCACCGUGCCUAGAAUCUGCCUGGUUUUAGGCAGAACCACAAAACUCCGACUGCGAUGGCAAUGCGAGCACAAACGAGUAGCAAUGAUGAAGUGUUUGGGAUAUUCGAGAUAUCGGAAACGGUUAUAUAGGGACAACUGUAUGCAUCAAGGCUCCCUAUCCCCGACGGUUUCUGGGUCGUGUGGGAAGGACCCCCCUAUCGCCCACACUCACUUGGCGACGGUUCCAAAUGCCGUCGCGGAAAGGGGUAAAAACCGUUUGUUUAGGACCGACGCGCACCAGUGGCUGAAGAAUUUGCAAACGAACUAGCCUGCCUAGUUCUUGGGGUAUUGGCCCUGAAAGUUGAUUACCAAACAGGCACAAAGUGUUUAGUCGGGUCAGAUUUCCAAUGGUUUUUGGUAUCAAACCGCUUAAGGUGCUGUUGCCCAGCUGUAGAAUUUGUAGGUUGACAAGGUUUCCUAUCUCCUCAUGAAUGGGCCCUGAUAUCAUGUUUUGGUGAAUGAGAAGAUAAGUUAACAUUGUUAGGUUACCCAGAGACGCAGGGAUAUGUCCUGUGAGUCUGUUAAAUGAGAGCUCAAGCAGCCUGAGACUUUGUAGGUCACCAAUCUCGUAAGGAAUUUUGCCUGUGAUCUGGUUGUGGUGAAGGUUAAGUACCGAAAGUGCUGUUAGGGAGCCGAUACUAGCGGGUAGUGCACCACGGAGACUGUUAUUAUGCAGGUCAAUCUGUGGGAGGAAUGGAAGAGCCGAGAAGUUUGAGCUCACCAAGCUGGCCAUGGAUGCCAGCAUCCGGCAGGGAGAUGUUGGUCACCACCCAGGGCAUGCGGCGGCCAUGCCGAAUAGCCGUGCACACGAUGCCCGUCUAGUUGCACGGGCUGGUGUUUUCCUGCCAAGAGCUCAUCUGCAGUGGUGGGCUUGCAAGUGUAGCUUUCCAGUGGAGGAGGGCCAUGUGUUGAGACCUCAGUGAGAUCCCUCCAUGGCUCGCCGCAUGUGCUUCUUCCAAUAGAAGAAGGCAUGGCACCAGCAGUAGGCAGAGGUACAACAUAGGUCUCAUUUUGCUGCCUAGUGUUUGCAUCUGGAAUUCGAGAAUGUGUUUGGUUGGGGGAUGUGAUUCAAUACAUAAUGCAACUACAUUGAUGAGUAUAUAACCAGCAUGUCUCCCAAUUUUAAGAGCUCCCCAGUCAACACACACCAGUUGAGUGGAGACGUUUUUUCGAAAAGAAGUUGAGUGGAAGCUGCACAACAGCUGAGUGGAGGCUAUUUUUUUCCCAAAAAGGAGUUGAGUGGAAGCUUUUUUUUUCUUUACUUUGGCAGCUGCUGCCGGGCUACCUGUUUUUCGUCUUCAGUGUCGCCUCUUUUUCUUUCCUCAUGGCCGUGGAAUUUAUUUUGAAAGCAUUUGAAGGCAGGUGUAUAAGGGUACCCACAGCGUACAUAUACUGAUAAUACCUUUCCGAAUUCUCCUCCGUCUACAACUUAUGCACUCAAUGAACUUGAGUUAACAUUGCAGUAGAGUUUUCAUUUGAUAGUAUCUCCUGUGAUUUGUUUGACAGUAUUUCUUUGUUUAUUUGAUCAUGUAACUUGUAACUGCUUCAGUUAUGGCCACUCCAUGAAGACAUUGGACCAGCUUAUCUUGAGCUAUAUAUUCUCUAAAGUUUAACUCUUAUUCGCUUUUCAGCUAGUAUAUAGAACGUAAGAUUUAGCUCAAGGAUUUGUGGCGCAAUGCAAAUUGGGGGGAAAUUUCCGUGCUGGAAUUUUAUCGAUGUUAAAAAUAAAGGUUUGUAUGUUGAAUUUUGGUCAAUACAAAUCCUGGACCCCAAGUCUUGUUGGAAGUCAUACAUCUGAGUAAAAAAUGAGGUACAACCAAGCAACAUCAUGGCCACACUGACUGAAGAAAAGUUCCAGGCUCAAGUGGGUUGAUUAGCUAAAUUUCUACUACUAGCGCUUUCUGUACGUGAUUGCCGUGUAACAUCCAACACGCCCAUAUGCCCAGGCAUGUACCCCUUGUAAUUUACAAGUAGUGAAAACUGUGCAAAUUAUUACUGUUGCUUCCAUACUUCUUUGGUAGCUCAUAGCAGUGCAUAAAGAUGUACAGUACAAGAUAGCAGAAAAGGCAGUAGGCACUUAUGCAUGCGGCGAAGAAGCACAGUAAUUCGAGGGUAUCUUCAAUGCACCUCUCAUAACUUUGAAAAGGAUACUUCCAUCUAUUAAUCAUUAGACAAUAUGUUGUUCCAGGUCAGUCAGUCUCUUAUGAGUAUACACAUAUAUGGAACCUUGUCUCAGAGCAAAUGACAACUUUGUCUCAGACACGACUAUUAUUAUGUUUAGCCUGGUGGACUGCAAGUCUUGUUGGAAGUCAUGUCUCGCAGGAAAAUAAGCAAUUCAUGGCCUGUACAACCGGGCAGCAUCAUGAUCACAUUUGACUGAAGAAAAGUUCCAACGCGCUCGAUUCGGUAAACUUCCACCACCGGCGCUUUCUAUGGGUGUUCAUAACAUCCAACACGCGAAUAUACCCAAGUAUGCCCCUUUGUAAUAUACGAGUAGUCCAUAGUUUGCAGAAAGCGGCGUGAUCCAAGUAUUGAUCUCGGCGUUAUAUUCUGAAAUAUCUAGGGUUCUAGUAGCUGUAGAUUGCAUAACCUCCUUACGGGCAACUGCCAGCCAUAUAUAGCCCCGGUAUGGCAAUACCCAUGUCGGUACAUUCAUCAUUCGGGGGAAGGAGUUUGGACCGAGUUGGUGUGCAACAUUUUGGCCGCCUCCCACUUAUCCCACAUGGAUUCCUAAUUCAUCAGAUGGAUAAUAUACCACCUUGGUUGGUAGUGUUCUACUUCUACCUAGGUUCCCUUCCCCAUACUUGGGCCGAUACGGGUCCGAUCAUAUGGUCUUUGCUUCUUUGAGGUUUCAUUAAUUUGAUUUACUAUCGUCACCUAGCUCCUGUCAGAAGUGUACGUGUUGGGAAUGACUUAAGUGCGCGCACUAGUGCAGAACCGGGCUUUAGUACCGGUUCGUAAGGCCCUUUAGUGCCGGUUCUGCAACCGGCACUAAAGUGUGGGGACUAAAGCCUCCCCUUUAGUACCGGUUCAACACGAACCGCCACUAAAGGGCCACCACGUGGGACUAAAUGAUUUUUUUUGAAAUAAAGCAAAAACAGCCCACCUACUGGGCCGGCACGGCCUGCAUACGACUAGAAACCCAACCUCUAGUUGGGCCAGGAUGCAGGCCCGUACGGCCCAGUAGGCCCCACAGGGCAGAAGACUUGCAAUAGGCCCACAAAGGCCUGCUUAGAGAGGAGCUCGACACGGUAGCCGCGGCGGGGCUUAUAAACCGGUGCGAGCUCCUCUCAACUAGCGAGGUGGGACUAAACAUUGUGCACUAUGGGUGGCAGCGCACCCCUUUAGUACCGGUUGGUGGCACGAACCCGUACUAAGGGGGGGGGGGGGGUCUUUAGUACCGGUUGGAGCCACCAACCCGUACUAAAGGCCACCACCUCUUUAGUACCGAUUCGUGGCACGAACCGGUACUAAAGGUUCGUCACGAACCGGUACUAAUGAGCGCCGCCCGCCUAGCCAUUGGAACCGGCACUAAUGGUCACAUUAGUGCCGGUUCAAUUACAAACCGGGACUAAUGAGCUUCACAUUAGGCCCUUUUUCUACUAGUGGCGGUGAAAACCAAUAAUUUAAUAAACUAGGGACGAUGGUGUAAUCAACAUCAAGACCAAGUUGGAACAAAAUGAAUGAAAUAAGGUACAGUAUUUGACAAUUAAGUAACAUAUGUUCUAUUUAUGAUUCCAAAUGGCGACACAACUUUUGUUAUCAACCAACACAACCACUUGGUCCACCAUAGUUGAACAUAUAACCCUUCUUAUAUUGGAGAAAUAAAUUAUUUGCUCUAUAACAAUCUGGCCUAUCAACUAACUUGACCAUGGGAAUGCCAAAGAGGUCGGAAGAAUGACCAUUUGGAUUGUAAUUCUGAAUGUGCUUGAAGUACGCAGAUUUCUUAUCGUCAUAAUCGGGGAAGUGGCCGCUACCCAUUGGUGGACCAUGUGCAUUCUUGAAGUAAUUCACGAAUCCAGUCAACACUACUAGAAAAACGGCUAUAGCUAAUAUGGACAUUAAUGGCGCACCAUGUAUGUGGUGCGCCACUGAUAUAUAGCAGUGGCGCACCAGAUACAGGUACGCCAUUAUUGACAUAUGGCGCACCUGGUGUGUGGUGCGCCAUUACUAGUUUUGAAAAAAAAAAUUGUUAGCAGUGGCGCACCAGGGGAUAGUGCGCCAUUACUAGUUGACAUAGUAAUGGCGCACCUGUACAAAGUGCGCCAUUACUAUGUGUAUGACUGGGUCAAACCUUGGUCAAACUUAGUAAAGGCGCACUUUGUGUAGGUGCGCCAUUACUAAGUGCGCCAUUACUAACUUUGACCAAGUCAUACACAUAGUAAAGGCGCACUUUGUGAAGGUGCGCCAUAACCAAAUGCACCCCCCUUGACCGCCUUUUCAGUUUAAAAAUAAAAUAAAAGAAAAUGAUGAAAAUGUCAAAAAACUAAAAGAAAAUAAGUUUCCCACGUGAUAUGUGGUCUAGUUAUUGGGAAAAUUUACAAAUAUGAAUUUUGACUUUAUUUGCAAAAUCUCUCUGGAAUUUAGUAAAAUGGGCAUAACUUUUGCAUAUGAACUCGGAUUAAAAAGUUUUUAUAUGAAAAAUCAUCUACUCGACAAGUUUUUUAUAUGGAACCCCGUUGAAGAUUUUCAGAAUCCCCAAAAACCUAACAGAAUAAAAGAUACGGGGCUUUUAAGAUCUAGAGGGGGAAAAAUGGAAAAAAAAUUCAAACUUAGUAAUGGCGCACCAUUUGCUAGGUGCGCCACUAGUAACAGAAAAAAAUUGGUUUCGAUUUUUUUUUGAAAAAUGUUCAAAAUAUGAUACGUAAUAUGACCGGGAAGUUUGAAAUAUUUUUUCAAAAUUUCAUCACACUCAUGAACAUGAACAAAGUCAUAGACAUCAAUAAGGUUUAAUAGGAUUGAUAUGAUAGAUAUAUCAACAAGUGCCUGUUAAGUGAGCUGGUCCUGGGGUUGGAUAGAACCGAGAAGUUAAGCGUGCUCGGGCUAGAGUAGUGUGAGGAUGGGUGACCUUCCGGUUGUUUGACCAUGGAGUGCGAUUUGACUCGAGAUUAAGCCAUAGUGACCCGAUAUUAAGAAAAAAACGAAAUUUUUUUUGUUUUUUUUUUAAAAUUGAAAAAAAAAUUCUGGAAAAAAUUUGAAUUUUUUUUUAGUAAUGGCGAACUUCUAUGUGGUGCGCCAUUACUAAGUCAGAUAGUAAUGGCGCACUUCUAGGCAUAGUAAUGGCGCACCAAAUGUGCGCCAUUACUAUUUGUUACUAGUGGCGUGGUAAUAGUGGCGCACCUAUAUUGCGCCAUUAAUGGCAAAAAUAGGUGCGCCACAUUUGGUGCGCCAUUACUAUUUGUUACUAGUGGCGUGGUAAUAAUGGCGCACCUAUAUUGCGCCAUUAAUGGCAAAAAUAGGUGCGCCACUAACAGGCCUUUUUCUAGUAGUGCAAGGCUUGUAUACGUGGUGUUCCGGGGCAAAGCUUAUUUGAAGAAUGUCCCAAGAAUGAUGGUUUUUGUAAAUCGUGACGGUACACAACCCAAUCUCUGGAAUUUCGAUCCUGUAGUCAACAACGGAUUGAUCACAUCAGUGAACAAUAAAUUUCAUGUACGAGAAGAGUAGAGAACAUGUUAUUUGCAAGAAUCUUUGGUGGCGUACAAUUUCCUAGAUUCCAAUGUUCCAUAUUUUCUUAAUAAAUACAAAGCAUGGUACUUAGUAAACAUGUGAAUUUAUGCCUAACUAAUUUUAACAUUCAUAAAAUCUAUCUUUGUUAAUUUUAAUCCUCUAUUCUUAAAUAGUUGCAAUCCACUACCUAUUUUUCCUAUUCAAGCAGCCAUGCCACGUCAAUAAGUCAUACAUGUUAGUUAUAAGUGUACUUUCCUUUUCUAUGUGUGCUUGUUUUUCCUAUCCAUGCAGUCCUGCCACGCCAGCAAGUCAUGCAUGUCCAUCAUAAAUUACUGUUUUUGCAUUUAUUUUUUGUUGUCAUGAAUGGAUUAUAUGUUGGAUACUCUGAGGAUACCUUAUGCAGUUCAUGUUUCACAUUUUUGUUAGAAAAAUGGAAUUCUGUUAACUACAAUCCAACCUUUUUCUCUUUUGUAGUUGCUCUUAUAGCAUCUAUUUACGUGAUUCAUUCGAUGAGGUUGCUGCAGGAACGCGCAUGUAUCAUCUACUUAUUGUAGAAGUAGUAGCACAUUUGUGAAUUUUUAUAGAUAUGGUAAUCUCCAGAAUUGGACAAAUGGUGCACCUUGUUGAGGCUAAGCCUAACGUAGUGGUCUUGUUCGCCAUAAAUUGAUGGAGGAGCCAUGGCUUGUCCACGCACUAGAUUAGCUCGACUUGCAGGAACAAAUCCUGGGCACUGCAAGUUGUAGCAUCUCUUCGAUUUUGUUUUUUGAUAGAAAGACUGUAAGGGAACCCCCUACAGUAUAAUUGGUGCAACAAACCCAAAUUGCAAGUACUAUGCCUUGAACCUGGGUGGGUGGGAAGGCAUCAACCCCUCCCCACAACUAGGCUAUGCCUUAGUCUGCCCCCUUCGAUUUUGUUAGGGCAUAUUUCUCCCUUAAUGAUUUUGGUGAUUGAUGACAAUGCGUUUACGGACUAAUCAUGUGCAUUGAGCAUUUCCGAUAUUCAUCUAUAUGGCACGAGAUGAUUUCUACCCCACGUUGUUUAAAGUGAAGACGGUGUAGUUCUCUUUCGUUUCAGUUUUGGUGGACUUGAGUCGUAGGAGAUACCGUACUAUCAAGAGGGGGUUCGUAUCGAAAAGGCUAGGGUGGAAUCAACACGUACACAUCCCCUUUGCACCCCCUAAUCUUUCCUGCAUCUUUGGAGGAUCCUCCGUUAUCUUGGAAGUGGGCAAGAUAGGGAAACCGCGGUAGUAACGCGGCUCCGAGCGGCAGUACCGCCUAGAACCACAUGAGGUAGUACCGCUCUGUCACAACGGUACUACCGCCCAGGGCUCCAGGCAGUAGUACCUCUCUGGUGCCGUGCUAGUGCCGCCUCGAUUCGAGAGCGCCGCUUAUCGUGUCGGGAUGGGCGAUAGUACGAGCGGCAGUAGGGGCGGUAGUACCGCUCGUAAGCGGUAGUACCGCCCUACCACCGCUUCUAGUACCGCUCAGGGGCUCUCUCUCCCGCCCCUUCUCCUCUCUCUCUGUGCGCAGCACCAGCGGUACUACCACUGGGCCAAGCGGCAGUACUACUGCCUCGAGCGGUCGUACCGCUCCCAUGAGCGGUAGUACCGCUCUAUGCGGGCUGAGUUGUGGGAUAACGGUUGAAUUUGAUUCCCCACUAUAUAAGGAGGUCUUCUUCUCCAAGAAGACUUACCUCUCCCAUUCCUAAACUCUAUUGUUGCUCCAAAGCUCAUUCUCGCCCGAUCUCUCUCCCUAGCCAAUCAAAUUUGUUGAUUUUCUAGCGAUUGGUUGAGAAGGCCUCGAUCUACACUUCCACCAAGAGAAAUUUGAUCCCCCCACUAAUCCAAGCACUACAAGGAUUCCGGUCUAUUGCAACAAAAUUUAUUGCUACAACUACGUUUUGUUGUAAUAAAACACAAUAUUACCACAAAUUCUCCGCUUGUGGUAAUAGGCUGCACAUUUUGCCAUAACUUAGCUUCGUCGCGAUAAAUACUAACUUUGUUGCAAUACAGGCCUCAUAUUGCAACAAACUGUAUCGACGUUGCAAUAUGGUAGCGGUAUUGCGACAAACAAAUUCUGUUGCACGGGGGCGGUCAUUUUGUUGUAAUAGAGACUAGGUAUUUCAACAGAAUAACUAUUCGUGGCAGUAUUCGAAAAGAUAUUGCAACACCGGCGUGACGUUGCAUUAGUUACAAAUAUUGUAGCAAAAAAGUGGCUACCUAUUGCAACAAACUGCAUCGGCGUUGCAAUAUGGUAGCGAUAUUGCGACAACCAAAUUUCGUUGCGCGUGGCAACCAUCUUGUUGUAAUAGAGACUAGGUAUUUCAACUGAAUAACUAUUUGUGGUAAUAUUCAAAAAUAUAUUGCAACAUUAGUGUGACGUCGCAUUAGCUACAAGUAAAACAGUGGAAAAAUAUAUUAUUCAAAUUUAUAGAUAUUAAGUUAUGAUUUUUGCAAGCUUUAAGGAGUAAUUAAAAUAUAUUUUAAUUGCACCAAUUUCAAUUAACCAAAACAAUGGGAAAAGUUUACAAAUGGAUAGAACACACUUUCUUGAUAGGAAUAUAUAUUUAAUUUGUUAAAUUUGGAUUUGAAAUGACCAAGUUGUUGCCAUUCUAAAACUAGGGUGUUUUCUGCCAAAACAGGGACUUGUCAGAUCAAAACCAAAAAUAGAGGGGGCCUGGUGUGAAAAUUGCCAGAUCCAGAUCUGUAGCUGAAUCUGAUCGAGGACUUCUAUAGCCGCAACCGCUGACCUGCGGGCCCAUGACCUCGCUGGGGCUGACUGGCGCGGGAGGCAUCCACGGUGACCUCCAGGGGCGAUGACAAGUGGGGCCGACCACCGCGCAGUAACCAAAAAAAUGUGGAGGACUUCGCUUGCGCAGGGAUUCGAACGCUCGUCCUCGGUGUUGCAAAUGUUGGUGGACGCACUGGGGUCUCAUGUAAAUAGCUGGUACCGUCCCUAUCAAGAAUUCAGCUACCGGUGAGUAGUGUCUCUUGUCCAUUUAGUGGUUUGUGUCAUUAAGUUGAUUUUAAAAGGCUGAAUCAUAUGGUUCGCUAUACUCUGAAUAAAUUCUAUGAGUAUGGUAUACUUAUUUGGUUAUUCAUUGCAACUUGGGAAGGCUCAAUCAGGGCCGGUUCUAUGUUUUGGAAGGCCCUAGGGCAAACUCAGACGACAUGGCCCCGAAGUCCUAAAAUUACACAUUAGAACCCUAAUCAUCUGCAUUGAAUCUAGCGAUGGAUGAAUUACUUGUGAAAGGCUGGACAAUGAACUCGUGGCCGUAGUCUCGCGGAUGGCCGGACGUGAGGGCCAACGCAGCGCGACGGCGGCACUCCAGGUCGCCGGCAAGGGCGCAUGGCAGCGGCGCAAGACCUAGCCAACGAAGAAUCCCGAGCGACGGCCGACGGUUGAGGAAGAGACGAAGGCAUAAAGCGAUGCGAUUGAUGCGUGCGGCCGGCCGACUUCACCUUUUUUUUGAGGGGUAGAACUAAAUUUUAUUCAUCAAACUCCACAACAUGUGAGAUACGGUUAAGAUCAUGGGAUUGGCCAAACCAGAAGUGGCGUCCCGGAUCCAAAGACAAAGAAAAUUUAGCUAAGCUCUGAGCUUCUACAUUCACUUCCCUACGUUCAAAAGUAAAGAAACAUUGAAAAGGUUCUGCUUGACUACGGAUCUCACUAAUGAUAGCACCGUAUCUUCCCCGAGCGUCCUUGUUGAUGUCUGAGAUAACUUGUUUUGAGUCCGAGGCCACGAUGAAGCUUUGUAGAUGCAAGUCCUCAGCGAGUGCAAGGGCCUCGCGGCAUGCGAUCACUUCGAGGGUGGCUGGAUCGUCAAGCCCUGGGAUCACCAAAGAUGAGCUUGCUAUGAAGUUCCCUUGUCUGUCCCUGCACACUGCUGCAGCUGACCCUCUUUUGCCCGGACGAACUCCCGCGUCCACAUGAAUCUUUGCGAAACCCGGUGGUGGGAUCUUUGGUAGUCGUCUAGGCUCUCUUGGGGGCACAACAGAAACUGAUGGGCGGCUUUCCUUGCACAUGUCAAGCUCAGCUAUGAAUCUUCUGAUGAAUAAAUGAGUCGCUUGAGGUGAGUGAAACAUGCCCUCGUGUAUCGCUUGGCGCCUAGAUGACCAUAUUGCCCAUAAAGUUACAGCGAUGAGCACGGACUGGUGAUGCUGCAAGGAUUCCAUGAGGAUAAAUAGCCAUUGCUUUGCAUUCGGUUCUGUCGUGCUAAGCAGCUGCUGCGCUAGCUCCUCAUCCACCAGUGCCCAAGUACAUCUCGCGACGGUGCAGUUGAUGAGAGAGUGCCUCCACGAGUCCUCCGCCCCGCAAAGUCCGCAGCAAGAAGAGUCCGUCAUUUUUCUGUGGGAACACACAUCUUCCGUUGGGAGGGAAUGCUUCGACAGGCACCAGAGAAACAUGCUUAUCUUGGAAGGAACAUGUGUCUUCCAUAAAAUUUUCCAGGAGCUUUCUUCAGCCGACGUACUCGAGGAGGCAGGACGUUCUUCAAGCCAUGCUUCCCUAAGUUGGAUUGUUGAGACCAGCAUCCGGUAGGCUGAUCGGACCGAGAAGUUUCCUUUGUUUUCAAAAUGCCACGACCAGAAAUCGCUGAUAUUUCGGGUGCAAAUAGGAAUCUGAAUAAUUGCCUGGAUGUCCAUCGGCAUGAAAACCUGCUGCAGCCUUUGCAUGUCCCAUGAUGCAUUUGUGGAGUUGAUCAGCUCCGAGACAUGCACCAGAGGGUUAGGAAUCAGACUUCCGUAGGGUCUAAGCAUGUGAUCGCGAGGGACCCAAUUAUCCGCCCAUAUGUCAGUCGUUUCUCCAUUGCCGAUUCUUCUGAUCAGACCCUGUUUCAAGACGUCUCCGCCUUCUACAACAGCUCUCCAAAUCUGACUCGGAUGUGAGCCCAAGGGUGCAUGCAAUAUAGAGGUGUUAGGAUAGUACACACUUUUUAGAAUCCUUGCACUUAGAGAUUCCUGGUUCUGUAGCAGCCGCCAGGCCUGCUUGGCUAGCAGCGCCAGGUUGAAGAUCUCAAUAUCUUUGAAACCCAGUCCCUCAUUCCUUUAGGAUGUGUCAUAGUUUUCCAAGAAACCCAAUGUGGUUUCCUUUUACCUUCCUUGCUUCCCCACCAGAAUUUUCUUAUCAACAUGUUCAAGUGUUUCGCACAAACCUCUAGGUAAUUUGAAGCAUGACAUCGAGUAGAUCGGGACUGCUUGGGCCACAGCUUUAACUAGUACUUCCUUCCCUGCCAUCGACAUGGUGUUCUCAAACCAGCCCUGGAUUUUAUUCCAAAGGCGGUCCUUCAAAUAUUUGAAUGCUCCGUUUUUUGAGCUCCCAACAUCAGAUGGCAACCCCAAGUACUUUUCGUUGAGGGUCUCAUUGGGACAUUCAAAACAGACUUAAUAUCAUUCCUUGUGCUUUCAGGCACACCCUUGCUGAAGUAGAUAGAAGAUUUUGCAUAAUUCACCCGCUGCCUCGUGGCUUGACAAUAUGUGUCCAAGAGCUGGUUCACCUCAUUAGCACCCGUACUAUUUGCCUUAAAAAACAGCAGGCUGUCAUCAGCGAAUAAUAGAUGGUUCACAUGCGGUGCAGAAGCUGCCACUUGUAGACCACAUAAGUUGGAUGACUCUCUUUGAGAUUUUAAGAGGCACGAAAGGCCCUCUGCUGCUAGCAAGAACAAGUACGGGGAAAUGCGGUCCCCCUGUCUGAUUCCUCGUGAUGGUGAAAGUUCUUCGAGCUUUGUCCCAUUAAACAUAAUUGAAAAUUUGACCGUAGUCACCAGGCUCAUUAUAAUACUCACCCAUCUUUCCGUGAACCCGAGCUUUAGCAUGAUCGCUUUCAGAUAGGGCCACUCAACCCGAUCAUAUGCUUUCAUCAUAUCAAGUUUGAGUGCACAUGACUGGUGUUUCUUAGCCUUGUUUCUCUUCAUGAAGUGCAGACAUUCGUAAGCUAUGAUGAUAUUAUCCGUGAUCAACCUUCCUGGGACAAAAGCUGAUUGCUCCUCUGAAAUUAUCUCCGGUAAAACUAGCUUGAGACGAUUGGAGAUUACCUUAGAUGCUAUUUUGUAAAGAACGUUGCACAAACUUAUUGGUCGGAACUGUGACAGUUGUGCCGGGUUCUUCACUUUUGGAAUUAGGACCAGUAUGGUGUCAUUGAUGCAUGAGGCUGACUCUCUGCCAUCAACUAUUCUUAGUACUGCCUUGGUUACAUCUGAACCACACACUUCCCAAUGACGCUGGAAAAAGUGGGACGGAAACCCGUCAGGCCCCGGUGCCUUAGUGUGGAACAUCUGAAAUAGAGCACAUUUGACCUCCUCUGCAGUGUACGGUGCAUUAAGCUGGGUAUUCAUGGCUGCUGUCACCUUGCACGGAACCGUAGACAAGACCCGGUCCAUAUCCGAGACGCCUUCAGAGGUAUACAUAUUUUUGUAAAAGUCCCUGGUCAUAGUCUCCAUUUCAACUGGGUUGUCUGUCACCUCGCCAUCCGGUCUUUCCAAGCUCUUGAUUUGAUUUUUUCUCCUCCGCUUGCUAGCACGUAGAUGAAAGAAGUAAGUAUUUUUAUCCCCGUGCAAUAACCAUUCUAAUCUUGCCCUUUGGCGCCAGAGGAUUUCCUCGCGGUGGUACAGUUCCACCAGGCGGUCCAAGAUUUUUGUCUCUUCUCUGCAUGGUCCAGAUCGUCCUUGGAUCUCCCGCAUCGCCUGUAGCUCCUUUCACAGCUUCGCUAUCUCCUGGCGUACGUUGCCGAACUGGGUUCUGUCCCAUGUAGUGAGAUUCCCCGACAAUGCAUGCAUUUUUUGUCGCAACUCGUCAACUGUUUCCCCGGGAGUCUGGGCCCAGCCGGUCUCUAUCACCGUGGACAACGACGGUUCCCUCUCCCAGCAAAGCUCGUACUUAAAUGGCCGGGGGACCCGCCUGCAUGUGGAGUCAUGCAAACGUAGAUGGAUCGGUACGUGGUCGGAAGUAGCUGCAAUUUUGUGCUCAAGGAUCGCGCCGGGGAAAGCAAGCAUAGCUGCUGGGCUGGCCACACAACGAUCCAGUCUCACUCUUGUGUACGAUCCGCCUGCCACCUUUUUUCAAAAGUCCAUGGGGUUCCCUUGUAGCCGAUGUCCGUAAGGCCACAAGUAUCCAGCGCGUCCCGAAAAGCAUCCAUCUGCGCCUGACUGCGAUUCCCCACACCGUCAUGUUCGUGCAAGUGUAGCACUUCAUUAAAAUCUCCCAAAACAAACCAAGGCAGAUUAUUUGCUCCAACUAUCCCUCUCAGCGUGUCCCACGUCUUGUAUCUCUCGGGAACUUGUGCUUCCCCAUAGACAAAGGUUAGCCUUGUUUUUGUUUCAACCAUAUCAUCCACCGUCACAUCAAUAUGAUACUCUGAGUAGCUCACAACUUCAAGAUUUAUUUCUUCAUUCCAGAAAAUACCAAGACCCCCACUUCUACCACUACUACUCACAGCAAAACUUUUAUUAAAACCAAGUGAGCCUACCAAAUUCUCAACUCUCGAUCCCUCUAUUUGGGCUUCAAGGAUACAAACUAUAGAGGGGGCAAGUUGCCUCGUCAUAUCACGAAGCUCGCGAAUUGUCGCGGGCUUGCCGGCCCCGCGACAAUUCCAACAUAGAAGACUCAUUGCGCUAGGCGCGACUCCCCUAGGGAGCCCGCCAAACGCGCAUCAAGAUUGUUGGUGGUAGCUGUGUUCUUCGUCGGGGUCGGUGGACUUGGUUUGUUUCUCUUUGGGUCCUGCUUCGGCGGAGGGCUGCUGGGGUUCUCAGUUGGCAGCAGGAGCAACAUAAUGUUUCCCUGCUUAGCAGAAACUGGGACAAUCUGGUUGUUCUUCAGGUCUACCCCUGCCGGUGCUCCCCUUUUCUUGCUCCCAUCUGCAUCAUCCAUUGCCACAUCCCUGCCUGUGUAUUCGCUGCUCUCUUCCUCAUGAUCAUAUGAGUUGAACUGGGAGCUUGUGCGUCCACCGCCUCUACCCCCAUGGCCUCUGCCUCGUCCACCCCUUGUUCCACUUCCUUCUCCCGGCCCUCUUCCUGGACCUCUGAACCAUGUAGCCCUUAGGUCCUUGAAGACCAACGCUUUCGGGGUGUGAACCCCGUCUCCACACUCCUUGAACAGAUGCCCAAGGUUUCCACAAACAGCACACCAAUCCGGUAGCCUUUCAUACUUGACUCUGAAAAUUACUCGUUCUAUUGAAUCCUUCUUUUUAACCACUAGCGAAACCGCGCUCUUGAGAGGCUUGGUGACGUCAAUCCUCACCCGGUCACGAACAAAAUUACCUUCAAAGUCCUGAGAUUUUGGUUCCGCAAAUAUGAAUUCUCCCACUGUUGAUGACAGGGCUUUAACCUUUGAGAAGAAACCAUCAGGAAUAUCAUGGAUUUGGAUCCAAAUAUCAACCUUGUUGAGCUCCACGAGCGAUGGUUUUGUGAAUCCGUCAUAUGCCUCCAGAACGACUGCCUUCCCUUUCUACUGGCAUGGUCCUUUCCCAUCACCCGUUCCCAGUCACCUAGGCAUGCAAAUUGGAGCGUAUUGAGAUUAUCCUCAAGGGGUCUGAACUUCACCUCUUGUGCCAGAUCCCAAGCCACCCUCAUGUAUCUGAAGAACCAAUAUUGACUGUAGGGUUUGUCGGUGUGAACCCUAGCGAGGGCCAUCCAUCUAGUCGCCUCCUUAGGCAACUCGUCAUCCUCCACUACAACAUCCUGUAGAUCUUCUUCCUUCAAUCCUAGCUCCUCCAUCAUUGCUUCGAGGUCGGUGAUGGCCUGUCCCGAGCUCGACGCAGACUUGUCCAUGGUUUCCUCUGGCCCGGGGGGUGUUGCGUUCCAUGGGCGGUGCUCGUUCCGUAGCGAUCCCGAUCCCCGCGGCUCGCCGGCGGAGAGAGGGGCAGGGGAGAUCAGAUCUCUACGGCAAGGGCGUCGCCGUCGCCGAGAGGAUACAAAACCCUAGCGAGAGGGGAAAAAAUGCGUGCCGGCCGACUUCACCUAGCGCUAGCAAUCAGCCAAAGGCAAUUGGGCCUCCUUUUGUUCGUUUCCUCCCUUAUAUUUUUCCUACCUAUUUGCUUGCUGGGCUAUACAUUACAUGCAUAGCAGAUUAUGGGCCCCUCCCCAGGCCUGGGCCCUGGGCGGUCGCCUCUCUGGCCAUACGCCAGCGGAAACCCUAUUUGCCGUUCUCUGCAUCAAAAAUAGGCGAAUCCUAUUGGACGCCCGUGUGCGGCAAGCUGUUUCCGUUCGCGUGCAUGUUGGGCCGGCCCACUACGGGUUCGCUGCUGUUUCUUUCGUUAGUUUUGUUUCUUCCACGUUUUGGUUUUCUUUGUUGUUUUUUUUUCUGGUUUUGUUCCGGUUUUCUUCUUAUAGUUUUGUUUUUGUUUCUUCUGGUUUGGUUUUCUCUUGUUUCUCUUCUGGUUUUUGGUUUUUGUCCUGUUUUCCUCUUUUGGUUUUGGUUUUUUUCUUUCGGUUUUGUUUUUUUCAACGAAUAUACAAAUGCUCAAUAUGUUCCUUAAUUUUGUUCAAUGUUUAUAUAUUACAUAAUGUUCAGUGUGUAUUCGUAAAUUGUUCAACGUUCUUUUACAAAUGUUCAGUGCGUAUCAGAAAAUUGUUCAGCGUGUAUAUUCAUAUUUUCAAAAAUGUUCAUCGUAUAGGAGCUCUCUCAAAAAUAGUCGGGGUUACGCACAGGUUAUCCGCCGAGCGCUCCGGAGUGGGCUGACCUGUUUAGCGUUUAACUCAUACCGGUUUUGGGAAACUUCUAUGCUACUCCUAGCCGGUUUUUCCGAUUUUGCGAACCAUCUAGAAGGUUUCUAAGUCGGUUUUCUCUUUUUAUAUUUCUUUUUCGUAUUUUAUUUUUGUUUUUUGUUUCCUUUUUCUGUUUCUUUUUUCUUUUAUUUACUUUUUAUUUUCUUUCUUCUUGCCAAUUUGUUUUUAACAAAAUCUUUCAGAAAUUUUAGAAAAAAUAAUUUCCAAAAAAAGUUCAAUCUUUUAGAAAUUUUCCUAUUUUCAAUUUUUUUGUUCAGAAAUUUCAUAAAAGUUUACAAUUAUAAAAAUUCUUUGCUUAAUUUUGGAAAUAUUCUAAGUUUUAAAAAGUCAUCUCAAUUUUAAGUUUUGUUCACAAACAAAUGUUCGGUUAAAAAAAUAUGUUCCCAUUUUCAAAAUUUGUUGAUAAUUUUUAAAAUUUGUUCACAAAUUCAAAAAAUGUUCGUGUUUUAAAACUAUGUUCACAAAUUAGAAAUUGAUCAGGAAUUAAUUCUUUCCUCUUUUUUGAUAUUGUUCACAAAAUUCGAAAAAUGUUCUUGUUUUCACAAUUUGUUCAGAAAUUCAGAAAGGGGAAUUCUAAAAAUUUGUUCCUGUUUUCUAAAAUUAUUCACAAAUUUAACAAAUGUUCAGGUUUCCAAAUUUGUUCACAAAGUAAAAUACGUUCAAGAAUUUCAUAAAAAUGUUCCUGUUUUCCAAAUUCGUACAGAAAUUCCGAAUUUUUUUCAAUUUUUAAAAAAUAUUACAAAGUUGAAAUUCGAAGAGCGGGCCGUAGCGCCGGAAGGUCCUCCACGCACGGGACUUGGAUCCGGUGCUGCGAGACUUGGCACCGCACUUGCGUGUGCACCUCCCGUUGCCUGUCCGACACGCAAAAUUAUACAACACAGACACCUACAUCUAUUUUGAAUGCAAAACUUGACGAGCACUAUGCAAGGCUUAUGCAUUUGAGCCUGAUAUGUUUACCACCUUUGAUAUUCGUCCCGAAGAUGAUAUUGAAGGUAAUAAAGACAUCUGGGUCGAUGUGCAGACGCCUCCAGUUAUACCAUUAUGUGAGUUUCUCAACCAUAUUUAUGUCUUCGAUAUUGUUUAUUCAAAAAUAGUUGACAACUAAUUUCUAUUGACAGCUUAUUUCCAUUCAAGCAAACAUAUCAGGCGCUUGGUAUACAUGACCGUCCACUGUCCCGGGGCUGAACUAAACUGCGAGGAGAUAGGUCAUUAUGUUUCAUGGCUUGAGGAUCUUCAUAUUGUGAAGACAAAUUAUUUUUCUGGACAUAAAAAUCUUAGUACUCAAAACGUGCGACCAAUAGUGUUCGUACUGAACUAUGGCAACAUCUAUUUAGGAAAGAUGGUAAGAUUUUUACUAUUUGUCCUUACUGCAUCUUUUGCAUACAUUAUUUUUAAGCUAAACUUCAUUGCUAAGUAUGUUACUAUACGAUGUUCGUCAACGGGGACUCCCCAUGAAUGUUGUGCCUCAUUGGAUCGAGACUAAAGGUCGCAUGGGAAUUGUUAGCUUACGGCCAUGAUAUCCUACAAUGCACUUAGUGCAUACAGGAUUUCUAAUAGCGAGUAAUGCUUAAUAGUGAAAGACUGGAGCAAAAUUGUGAACGAUCGCAGAGAAGUACUAGGGGCAGCAAUCAGAAGCGCAGCCCAUGAUUAGGAGACAGGUUCGUCUGCAUGCUCCAACUUGAUGAAGCAGGAGUGCUACACAUGUUUUAUGCUAUUUUACCUGAGAGAGAGAGAGAGAGCAGCAGGAGUGAUUAGCUAGCUAGAAAUGAGUUAUGAUGAUUAAAUAGGUAGUGUUGGUGGUAAUGACUAUGAUGAUUAUUAUUAGCUAGUGUUGGUGGUGAUUAGAUAGCUAUCGCAGCUAGUGUUUGGUGGUGAUUAGCUAGCUAGAAUGAGUUUGAAGAUGAUGAUGUGUAGUGUUGGUGGUAAUGACUAUGAUGAUGAUUAAAUAGCUACUGUUGGUGGUAAUGACCAUGAUGAUGAUUAAAUAGCUUGUGUUGGUGGAUUAGAUUCAAGUGGAGGCAACAUGUGGUGCACAUCGAAAGUAUUACUAGUCCGAACUAGAUCAAGUUUGGAUUAGUAGUAUACUUUUGACAUGCACCACAUGUUCCCUCCACUUAAACCUAAUCCACCUUCGUUUGACACACUGUUAUGGACAUAUUGAUAUAACAACCUCAUAAUUGGUAUUGUACCAAAAUUUGUAUAACGACGUAUAAAUACACUAAAAAUAAAAAAAAUGAGAAAAAGAAUACUAGUAGCGAUGGAGAGUAAACACGCUACUACUAGCUAUAUUAGCAAUAGCGCUGGGGUGAACAAACGCUACUGCUAUAUGUCUUAGCAGCAGCGCGUGUAGCACGCGCUACUGCUAAGGAAUAGCUGUAGCGCCUUAUCAGUAGCGCGUCCUCCCGCGCUACUGAUAGGCAAAAUACCCACGCUACUACUAGGGUUUUCCCUAGUAGUGACCAGAAGAGUAUGGUUGACGACGGGGGAAAUGUGGAUGAAGCGCCCGAGGCCGUGGAGUUGACUUCGAUCACUCGAGAUGACUUAUAUGAAGCUAUGGCCUCACUUAAGACCUCUAUGACGACCGAAGUCAAGUCCAUGCUUAAAGAAUUACUUGAGGGGUUGAAAACCACUCCUGAUCCAUGGCUUAUGGUUAAUCCUACCGCAUCGGAGUCGGAGGCCAACUUCGGCAAGGAAGCGGCUAAAGGUGCUCAAACUUCUUCCCCUCUUGACAAGAAUGGGAUGGGAACCUUUGCGUCGGUUCCCCCUCCCCCGGUCUAUUGGAGGACCGGUCCCGACAUCGCAUAUUAACAACCUUGGUCCUCCUCCUAAACUUGUAAAGGGUGAGUUUGCUAAUUGGGUUUUUCAUAUCAAGUCUCAUUUGAAUCACAGCUCAACAAACCUUUGGAGAAUCAUUGAUCAAGGCUUCUACCCUCAUGAUCCAAACAACUUUACUCCAAGAGAAGAAGUGGACAAUCAAUACAAUCACUCCGCAUUGUUCAUUCUCCAAGCCGCAGUGCAAAGGAUUGUUGGGAUCACAUUAUAGCCAUGUACAAGGGAAGCUCUAGCAUUCAACGGUCAAACUUUGAAGUGGUACUUGAUGAGUGCCAUGAGUUUGUGAUGCUAGAAGAUGAGGAUCCUCGUGAUCUCUACCGGAGGGUGACAACUCUUGCAGUGUCUCUUUAAGAUCAUGGGAGCAAGGAUGUGGAUGAUAUUUGGAUCAACGCAAGUUUCUCAAGGCCAUCAUGCCAUUCAACAAGGCCAUGUCCUCAGUGAUUCAUCAACGGCCGGAUUUCCACACUCUUUCCUCAAGUGAAGUGUUGGAUGACUUUAUUGCCAUCAACAUCAUGAACAAGACCGCCGACAAUGCUCUAGCCUGUGUGCGGUCCAAUAAAAUCUCACCCACUCUUGCCUUGAAGGCCAAGGCUUGUACGGAUGAAGUUGAGAUUGAAGAAGAGGAGUGUUGCCCCGAAGACACCAAAUAUGAUUACCAUGAGCACACUGCUCUUGCAUCAAGGCAAUUUCGGGUAAGAGGAACUCAAGACCCAACUUCUCCAAGAACUACUCAAAUGGCUCGAAGAUCAAGCGACGGAUGAGAACGUGUUUCAAUUGUGGAAACAUGAGUCACUUUGUUGUGGAUUGCCUGUAUGAAAAUCGAGAAGAAAAUGGUGGCAAGCUCAUUCGCAAGGACAAGGCCAAGCCUCUUGCAAACAAGAACAACUUUAUUAAGAAGGUGCCUCAAAAGGCAUUGGUGCUACAUGAAGAGUUUCUCUCCGAUGAUGAUGAUGGAGAAUUGAAUGGUGAAGAAAUGGCAACGACAACCUUGGCCAUUGCCACCUCUUCUUCCUCCAAGGUGUCUCUCUUCGGUGCCCCCAACGAGAACUUCAUUGCCAAGUGUCUUAUGGCUAAAGGUAUCAAUAAGGUAACAUCCAACAUGAAAACCACCAUCACUACUACGCCUUCUUUGUUAGAUUGUGUAGAUGAUAGUGAGGUGGUGAUCGGUGGUGAGAACGAGUUUAACAUGUUCUUGAGUAAGCUCAAGGGUGAAGCCAAGAAGCACUUUGUUGCUCUCUUGGAACAACUUGGUGAGGCCGAUGACAUUAUUGAGUCUCAUGAGGAUACUAUCUCCAAGUUGGAGGUCUAAAACUAAUCCCGAAGGUAGAUGUAGAGGUAGCGUGCCGACGGCGAUCACAUCGACCUUGGAACCAUUCCCGACGCACAUCGUCACCUUGUCCUUAGCCAAUCUUCGUUUAAUCCAUAGCUCCUGUUUCGAGUUACAAAUAUGAGCAACUGAACCGGUAUCAAAUACCCAGGUGCUACUACGAGCAUUAGUAAGGUACACAUCAAUAACAUGUAUAUCAAAUAUACCUUUGUUCACUUUGCCAUCCUUCUUAUCCGCCAAAUACUUGGGGCAGUUCCGCUUCCAGUGACCAGUCUCUUUGCAGUAGAAGCACUCAGUUUCAGGCUUGGGUCCAGCUUUGGGCUUAUUCCCGGGAGUGGCAACUUGCUUUCCAUUCUUCUUGAAGUUCCCUUUCUUUCCCUUUUUCUUGAAACUAGUGGUCUUGUUAACCAUCAACACUUGAUGCUCCUUCUUGAUUUCUACCUCUGUGGCCUUAAGCAUUGCGAAGAGCUCGGGAAUUGUUUUGUUCAUCCCUUGCAUAUUAUAGAUCAUCACGAAGCCUUUGUAGCUUGGUGGCAGUGAUUGAAGAACUCUGUCAAUGACACAAUCACUAGAAGAUCAACUCCCAGUUGAGUCAAGUGAUUAUAAUACCCAGACAUUUUGAGUAUGUGUUCACUGACAGAACUUUUCUCCUCCAUCUUGCAGCUAUAGAACUUGUUGGAGACUUCAUACCUCUCAACCCGGGCAUUUUCUUGAAAUAUUACCUUCAACUCUUGAAACAUCUCAUAUGCUCCAUGACGUUCAAAACGUCUUUGAAGUCCCGGUUCUAAGCCGUAAAGCAUGACACACUGAACUAUAGAGUAGUCAUCAGACGGCGUUUGCCAAACAUUCACAUCGUCUAGAUUAGCGGGAGGGGGCUUGUCACCUAGCGGUGCAUCAAGGACAUAAUUCUUCUGUGCUGCAAUGAGGAUAAUCCUCAAGUUAUGGACCCAGUCCGUGUAGUUGCUACCAUCAUCUUUCAACAUAGCUUUCUUUAGGAACGCAUUAAAAUUCAGGGGAACGGUAUUGAUCUACAACAUAGAUAUGCAAAUACUAUCAGGAGUAAGUUCAUGAUGAAUUAAGUUUAAUUAAUCAAAUUACUUAAGAACUCCCACUUAAAUAGACAUCCCUCAAGUCAUCUAAGUGAUACGUGAUCCAAAUCAACUAACCCAUGUCUGAUCAUCACGUGAGAUGGGGCAGUCAUCAAUGGUGAACAUCUCUAUGUUGAUCAUAUCUACUAUAUGAUUCACAUUCGAUCUUUCGAUCUCCAGUGUUUCGAGGCCAUGUCUGUACAUGCUAGGCUCGUCAAGUUUAACCCAAGUAUUCCGCAUGUGCAAAACUGUCUUACAUCCGUUCUACGUGAGCGUAGAGUCUAUCACACCCGAUCAUCACGUGGUGUCUCAACACGACGAACUGUAGCAACAGUGCAUACUCAGGGUGAACACUUUUAUCUUGAAAUUUAGUGAAGGGAUCAUCUAAUAAUGCUACCGCCAUUCUAAGCAAAAUAAGAUGCAUAAAGGAUAAACAUCACAUGCAAUCAAAAUAUGUGACAUGAUAUUGCCAUCAUCAUCUCGUGCUUUUGAUCUCCAUCUCCAAAGCAUCGUCAUGAUCUCCAUCGUCACCGGCUUGACACCUUGAUCUCCAUCGUAGCGUCGUGGUCGUCUCGCCAACUGUUGCUUCUACAAUUAUUGCUAAUGCAUAGUGAUAAAGUAAAGCAAUUACAUGGCGUUUGCAUUUCAUACAAUAAAGGGACAACCACGAGGCUCCUUCCGGUUGCCGAUAAUUUACAAAACAUGAUCAUCUCAUACAAUAACGUAUAUCACAUCAUGUCUUGACCAUAUCACAACGUGCCCUGCAAAAACAAGUUAGACGCCCUCUACUUUGUUGUUGCAAGUUUUACGUGGCUGCUACGGGCUUCUAGCAAGAACCGUUCUUACCUACGACACAAAACCACAACGGUGAUUUAUCAAGUUUGCUGUUUUAACCUUCAACAAGGACUAGCCACAGUCAAAUUCAAUUCAACUAAAGUAGGAGAAACAGACACCCGCCAGCCACCUUUAUGCAAAACUAGUUGCAUGUCUGUCAGUGGAACCGGUCUCAUGUACGUGGACAUGUAAGGUUGGUCCGGGCCGCUUCAUCCCACAAUGCCACUGAAUCGAAAUAAGAUGUUGGUGGUAAGCAGUAUGACGAUCACCGCCCACAACUCUUUGUGUUCUACUCAUGCAUAUCAUCUACGCAUAGACCUGGCUCAUGAUGCCACUGAUGGGAAACGUUGCAUGGAAAACAAAAAAUUUCUAUGCACACGCAAUGAUCUAUCCAUGGAGAUGCAUAGCAAUGAUGGGGAGAGUGUGUGUCUAUGUACCGUCGUAGACCGUAAGCGGAAGCGUUUCACAACGCGGUUGAUGUAGUAGAACUUUUGCGAUCCACCGACCAAGUACCAAACGUAUGGCACCUCCGAGUUCUGCACACGUUCAGCUUGGUGACGUCCCUCGCCUUCUUGAUCCAGCAAGACGUCGAGGUAGUAGAUGAGUUCCGUCAGCACGACGGUGUGGUGACGGUGAUGGUGAAGUGAUCUCCACAGGGCUUCGCGUAAACACUACGAAAAUAUGACCGGGGGAGUAAACGGUGGAGGGGGGCGCCACACAUGGCUAGGCAAUGUAGGAGAUAUGCCCUAGAGGCAGUAAUAUCAGUUAUUUUGUAUCUCCUGGUUUGUAAUGAAGGUUUAUGUUCCAUGCUAUAACUGCAAUGAUUCUCGAGUCUGCAAAUAGAACGAGGCUUGGAGGGAAACUCAUGUGCACGUGUGGGAUAAUAAACGGUAAAAUGUAUUCCUAGUCAAGCCUCUAUGACUGGCUCAAGUAUUGCAUGAUGAUCCUGUUUUCCUGAUCAUGGGCAUGACUAUGCCGACAAUUUUGAGGGCACAAUUAUUAGUAGAACACUUGUGUGGAAUCGACCCAAUUUGAUGUUAUGCUAUGAGAUACAUUCGUCACAAGUUAAUGGUUAAUAACACAGAGAAGUUAAUAUUUGCAUAAUUCCUUAGACCAUGAGAGUAUAGAGUUCCUUCAUACUUGCUUCGUGAACUUUGGGGUUUGUUAAACGUCAUCCGUAAUUGGGUGGCUAUUACGGCGGCUUACGGGUUCACGGAAAAGUAUGGCAAGGGACGAGAUAGCUCAAGAUUGGGAUUUGCUCCUCCGACGAUGGAGAGAUAUACUCGGGCCCUCUCGGUGUAACGAUAUCCAUCAUCGUCUGGCUAGACACAUUGUGAUUUGAUGACUGGGAUGCGGGAACACGGAAACGAGAAAAGAGAACAAAACCGGUAACGAGGUAACUUGCAUGGUGGACAAAUUGUUGAUCCACAGGAAUGCAAUAAAUCUCACCUCGGGUGUUUGUGACAUAUCGCAAAGCAACAGGAAUAGCUAACGGCAACUGGAGGUUCACUCGAAUAUUCAUUCGUGUGGGUAUAGGGGUCAAUAUGGGUGUCCACGGCUCCGAUGUUGAUCAUUGAUCGGAAGAGGUUCCAGAUCAUGUCUAUACUUCACCGAACCUAUAGGGUCACACGCUUAUGGGUCAUCUAUCUGCUGAAUACUAGACAGGGAGUCUGAGAGGAAAUCACCGAAAAAGUUUCGGACACCAGAAAAGUUUCAGACAACGGAAACGUUCCGCAGAGAGAGGUCACCGGAUGAGUUUCGGUGAAACCGAAAAAGUUGUUUCGGAGUAUACCAUUAAGUCAAAAUGUUUUCGGCACAUGCCUGAUAAUUCUUGGAGGGUGCUGGAAUCAUUCUGGAACCCUUUUGGAAUUUUCCGGGAUAAAAGCAGGAAAUGUUCCGGAGCUGCCGGAGCCACUUCAGAUGCGUUUCGCAGAUGAAAAUCACUAAACCAGAAUUGUUUCGGAACGCGUUGAAAAUUAUUUUAGUGGGUACUGGAAAUUUUCUAAGCCCACAUAAAUAUUUUCAGUUCGAACGGACGCUGAAAAAAGUCGUCGUGAAUAGUGAAAAUCACUUUAUGGAUAUUUUUUGGAAAGCCACCUUUUUGGGCUUUUGCAAAAAGGCUUAAGGGCUUGGGGGCCAAGGAAGCCCCUCAUGGGGGGCCCCCAAGGGGGUGGCCGGCCAAGCAUGGUGGAGCUCCAUGGAGCUCCACAUGGCAUCCCAUUUUGCCCAUAAAACCCUCAUAUGUGACCUAAAGCAUGGGUUUUUAGGUAAUUUGUGGAGGCACACCACCCCUUGGUUUUCCUAUAAAUAGAGGGGGUGAGGGCUGCCAUAUCUUGAUCCCUUGCUCUCAUACAUAUGCCAUGCAUUAUCUGGCUUCUUCUCUCCCUCCCACGAAAAGAGUUUCGUAGAGUCGUAAGGCUGUCUGGGUUCCGGCAGGAACUAGUUCUGGACGGCGAAGCCCUGCCGGAUAGCUGACACCGUAUGUGUGCAACCCCGUAGAGAGGUCGUAGUUUCGGUCUUUUGCUCGAGGGGCUGUUUGAGUGUCCUCCCGAAAGGCUGUCCGAGUCUCCGUUCGAGUUUCGAGGGUCCUCCCAAAGGGCUGUCCGCGACAUCGUCCGGGGAACUGUCCGACCGCCUCCCGAAGGGCUGUCCGGCGAGGGAGUACAUCCUCGCGGUUGGGAGGUUGUAAAUCCUAGCUGCAGGGAUCUGCACCAACGAUCUCCACCGACUCUUCUUCCGCUGCGCUUCGAGUUGGUACGGAACAGAUCAAACCUUGUAUGCAGUCUCCAUAGUGGUCCUGGGCGUGCUCGCUAUACCGAAAAUUUUCGUUUUCUGUCGCGUUCCCCAACAGUGGUAUCAUAGCGUGCUAUGCGUAGAUGCAGGUUACGAUCUAGAAUACAUGGAGAUGUAUGGGUAUUGCAUAAUAUAAUUUUGGAGUAGAUGAGAUCUAUUGCUGAAAAUUAUUUAUGUGGGUGACAGAUGAAAUCUGUUACCCGAUGUUCUUGUUGCUUCCCUAGAAUUUGCGUUUGCUCAAUCUCGAGACAGCAUGGUGGAAUUUGACAAAGUUCUGGCAAUCCAUGAUCCUUCAUGGAAGUGCUAUCAGUUCGUGGGUUCUGCCGUAGUCAAAAGAAAGAUGAAAUUUGCAGAUGAAAGGGCAUUGCAAAUAUGAUCUGCACGGGGGUCAUGCGUAUGACAGAGUUUAGUAUGGGGCUCGAGAUUUAAUUAUCUCGUGUUUCAUACACCCCGAGAUGUUAAUUUAGCAACUUGAAUAAUCAUACUUGAUGAUAAAACGUUGGUAGCUGCGGUUUAAGUCAAAACCUUAGAAGCCACGUAAAAUAAAAUUUUGCAUAAAGCGAUUAGAGGCGUCUAACUUGGUUUUGCAGGAUGCGCAUGUGAUGUGGUAUAGCAAUGCUCAUAUUCAAUUUGAUUAUGUAUUAGAUGACUAUAUGAUGUAAUUAACAUGAUCUGCGUGUCAUGAUUCGGCAUGAUGGCUGGAGCCAUAUGAUUGCACUUUAAUGACCUGCGUGUCAACCUUAAGUAAUGCAUUUAUUUUAUCCGCUAUGGAGAUAGCGAUAUUAUCUGGUGCAUCGACAAGGUGGUGGCAAUCUUCGCGAAGGUGAACACCGACGCGAAUGCCGAAGACGAAGAAAUACUUGACUUCUCCGUCAGAAGAGGCCAUACCAUAUCAUGCUAUUAUGAAUUGCCUGAGAUGUUUAUCCCUCUUGAUGCACCCUUCUUGAUUGCGCGGUAGUCGCUUUUAUUAGGGUGAUCUCUCAAAGAAAAAAAUAUAUCAAGUAGUUAGUGUUCUCCCAAGUGUAGCACCGUCAUGGCACCUAACUUUUCGGGGUAUCGCAGGAUCUCCCUGGGUACGAACGAUUAGGGAAGUGUGAGGCGGGUGAGUUGAGACCUGGCAGCAAGAUCACUUGGUUGUCUUGACGUUCUGGAAGGAUCUCCCUGAGCUCGGAACACGCCCAUCGAAAGAUGAAAAAGAGUCACAUAGAGAUGUGAUCAGCAAGUUUGCUUACCGAUUGAAUUUCGCGCCAUCAGUGUUCAUCUCGUUCAAUGGCGUUGAAUGGAUAUGCGGGUCUUGUGUCUCUCAUAAUCAAUUUUGAGAGAUAUUGAUUUGAGUGGGAGCACACUUUAGAAUAAAAAUGUUUAUUCACUAGUGCAAAUUUCAUUAUAAACAAAGUCUAAGUGAAACUUGUGUUUUCCGUUGUAGAUCAAAUGGCUCGCAACACCGCGUUCAACUUAGGCCCGAUGUUAUAGAAAGAGAAGUUAGCUGCGACUGGAAACAACUGCUGACUGGGUCCGUAACCUAAGGAUUGUCCUCAGGGAAGCUAGGAAAGACUAUGUGCUUGAUCAACCUCUAGGUGAUUCCCCUACGCCAGAAAUGGCUCAGGAUAUCAUCCACGUGUUUGACUCACGAAAGGAUGAUUUCAGUGUUGUUAAAGAACUUAUGUUAUCUUGCAUGGAUCCUGUGCUACAGAAACGUUAUGAACGACUUAGUACCUUCGAGAUGAUCGAGGCACUAAAUGUUCUGUAUCACAAACAUGAUUCAGCUGAAGUUCAUGAGAUGACUGAAGCCAUGGAAGAAUGCAAUAUACAUAAGGAAUCUCUAGUAAACGAACAAGGUGUCAAACUAGCAAACUAUUAUGAUAGUAUGGCUGAACAGGGAAUUAAUUUUCCAAAGACACCUGGUAAUGAUUUGAUCCUUACCUCGCUUUAUGAAGCGAUGCUCAAAUCAAAUGAGAUAGGACUGCAGAAUCAGCAAAAGUUGCUGGGGAACAAAACUGCCAGUUUCAAAAGGAAAGGCAAGCCUAAGGGCGGAGCCAAGGCUGAAACUGUGUGUUUUCACUGCAAAGGCACUGGACACUGGAAGAGGAACUGCAAGAUAUACAUGGCAGAUAAGAAGAAAGGUAUAACUGUUAUACGAGUUAAUGUCAUUGACGUUUUGCUUGCUUGAGAAAAUUCUAAGUCUUGGGUAUUUGAUACCGAAUCGGUUGCUCACAUUUGCAACUCGAUACAGGGGCUUCAGAGUGUGCGCAAGCUGGCAAAGAAUGAAGUCGUGAUACGCGUCGGGAACAGUGCUGGGAUCGCCGCUCAAGCCGUCGGCAUUAUGUCUCUACGUCUCCCUUCAGGAUUUAUUUUGGAACUAAGUAACUGUUAUUUUGUUCCAUUGUUGUGUAGAAACAUUAUCUCUGGAUCAUGUUUAGUGCACGAUGGGUAUUCGUACAAGUCUGAGAACAAUGGUUGUUCACUUUAUUGUAAGGAUAUGUUUUAUGGAUUUGCACCCAUUGUUGGGGGCCUUUUCAUACUAAAUCUUGAAUGUGGAAAUGAUGUCUUUAACGUGAAUGCUAAACGCCUUAAGAAGGCUGAUACCACCACCACUUUGUUGUGGCACUGUCGGCUUGGCCACAUCGGAAAGAAAUGCAUGCAAAGACUCCAUAAAAAUGGAGUUUUAUCGUCCUUUGAUUUUGAAUCAUUUGACACAUGUGAAGCUUGCUUGAUGGGGAAAAUGACCAAGACGCCGUUCACGGGUCAUCCUGAACGGGCGGGUGAAUUAUUGGGAAUAAUACAUAGUGAUGUAUGUGGUCCAAUGAACACAGCCGCACGGGGUGGGUAUUUCUACUUCCUGACUUUUACUAAUGAUUUAAGUAUGUAUGGAUAUAUCUACUUAAUGAAGCAUAAGUCAGAAACCUUUGAAAAGUUCAAAGAAUUUUAGAAUGAGGUAGAAAAUCAUCGUGACAAAAAGAUUAAGUUUCUGCGGUCUGAUCGCGGAGGCGGGUAUCUUAGUCAUGAGUUUGGCCAACAUCUGAGUGACCGUGGAAUCAUUUCACAGCUUACGCCUCCCGGAACUCCACAGAGAAACGGAGUAUCGGAACGAUGUAACCGAACCUUGUUGGACAUGGUAAGGUCGAUGAUGUCUCUUACAGAUCUACCGAUAUCUUUUUGGGGUCACGCACUAGAAACUGCCACUUAUACAUUAAACAGAGCACCAUCUAAGUCUGUUGAGACGACGCCAUUUGAAUUAUGGUAUGGGAAGAAACCCAAUGUGUCACAUCUCAAGGUUUGGGGUUGUGAAGCUUAUGUGAAACGUUUACAACCAAGCAAACUCGACCCAGAGCAGACAAAGGUUACUUUGUAGGUUAUCCCAAAAACACCAUUGGGUAUUCCUUCUACAAUCAGUCCGAGGGCAAAAUUUUUGUCGAAAAAGAUGGACGCUUUCUCGAGAAAGAGUUUCUCGCCAAAGAAGUGAGUGGUAGGACAGUACAACUUAAUGAGAUUAGUGAAUCUUCAGCAACCGUUGAUAUGGCUAAAGAACCGGAAGAAAUUCCGUUAAUUAUCCCUACAACUGAGCCGGAAGUUGUCGCAUAUGAUGCGGAGACUUCAUACAAUGUUGUAACUGAACAGCGCAGAUCAGGUAGGGCUAUCCAGCCACCGUAAUGGUUUCAUAACGAAAUCUUCAUUCUUGAAGACGAUGAACCUGCGCACUACAAAGAAGCGAUGGUGGGGCACAGCUCAAAAGAAUGGCACAAAGCCAUGAGAUCCGAAAUGGAAUCCAUGUACGAAAACGAAGUUUGGAACUUGGAAGAACUUCCAGAAGGCGUAAAGCCGAUUGGUUGUAAAUGGAUUUUCAAAAGAAAGACGGACGCGGAUGGUAACAUUACUAUCCACAAAGCUAGACUUGUCGCGAAACGGUUCACGCAAGUUCCAGGAGUGGACUACGACGAGACUUUCUCGCCCGUAGCUAUGCUUAGGUUUGUUCGGAUAUUGCUAGCAAUUGCUGCUUAUUUCGACUAUGAGAUAUGUCAGAUAGAUGUCAAAACGGCUUUCCUAAAUGGAAACCUCAAAGUGGAUGUAUACAUGAUACAUCCAGAAGGUUUUGUCAUUCAUGAGGAUGCUGGAAAGUUAUGCAAACUUCAGAAAGCCAUUUAUGGUCUGAAGCAAGCAUCAAGGAGCUGGAACAUUCGUUUUGAUGAAGUGGUCAAAGAGUUUGGCUUCAUCAGGAAUGGCGAAGAAUCUUGUGUUUACAAGAAGUUUAUUGGGAGCGCAAAAGCAUUUCUAAUCUUGUAUGUGGAUGACACAUUGUUGAUUGGAAAUGACGUGAAUUUUCAUAGCGAAAUAAAAGACUCAUUGAAAAAGAGGUUUUCAAUGAAAGACUUAGGCGAAGCGGCAUACGUAUUGGGCAUCAGAAUCUAUAGAGAUAGAUCAAAACGCCUGAUAGCGCUUAGCCAAAGCAUGUACAUUGACAAGGUGUUGAAAAGGUUCAACAUGGAGAACUCCAAGAAAGGCGUACUCCCCAUGUCACCUGGCACAGUGCUUUGCAAGAAUCAGAGUCCUCGGGCUCUGGAUGAGCGAGUACAAAUGAAUGAUGUUCCAUAUGCCUCGGCAGUUGGUUCUAUUAUGUAUGCCAUGCUAUGUACAAGACCGGAUGUUUCCUAUGCGCUAAGUGUUAGCAGCCGGUACCAAAGUGAUCUAGGUUUGGAACACUGGGCCGCAGUCAAGGGUAUUCUUAAGUACCUCAGAAGGACCAAGGAUUUACUCCUUGUGUACAGAGGUGAUGAAGAGCUCAUUGUAAGUGGUUACACUGAUGCAUGCUUCAUGACUGACCCAGAUGACUUCAAAUCUCAAUCAGGCUAUGUUUUCAUAUUGAACGGUGGCGCAGUUGAUUAGAAAAGUUCCAAACAAAAGACUGUGGCGGAUUCUACGACGUAGGCGGAGUAUGUUGCUGCUUCAGAAGCCUCCAAGGAGGCGGUAUGGAUCAAGAAAUUUCUUGAAGACCUUGGUGUGGUUCCAAGUGCUCUGGACCCGGUGGAGAUCUAUUAUGAUAAUAGUGGCGCCGUGGCUCAGGCAAGGGAGCCAAGUUCGCACCAUAAGACAAGACAUAUUCAACGCAAAUAUAAACUCAUUCGACAUCAUGUCGAAGAGGGUUUAGUGAAAGUACGCAAAGUUCACACGGAUUUGAAUGUGUCAGACCCGAUGACGAAGCCUCUACCACGAGCAAAGCAUGAGCAACACCGGAUAGCCAUUGGUGUUAGGGAGCCAUGUAACAUGACUCUAGUGCAAGUGGGAGUCUGUAGGAGAUAUGCCCUAGAGGCAGUAAUAUCAGUUAUUUUGUAUCUCCUGGUUUGUAAUGAAGGUUUAUGUUCCAUGCUAUAACUACAAUGGUUCUCGAGUCUGCAAAUAAAACGAGGCUUGGAGGGAAACCCAUGUGCACGUGUGGGAUAAUAACGGUAAAAUGUAUUCCUAGUCAAACCUCUAUGACUGGCUCAAGUAUUCCAUGAUGAUCCUAUUUUCCUGAUCAUGGGCAUGACUAUGCCGGCAAUUUUGAGGGCACAAUUAUUAGUAGAACACUUGUGUUGAAUCGACCCAAUUUAAUGCUAUGCUAUGAGAUACGUUCGUCACAAGUUAAUGGUUAAUAACACAGAGAAGUUAAUAUUUGCAUAAUUCCUUAGACCAUGAGAGUAUCGAGUUCCUUCAUACUUGCUUCAUGAACUUUGGGGUUUGUUAAACGUCAUCCGUAACUGGGUGGCUAUUACGGCGGCUUACGGGUUCACGGAAAAGUAUGGCAAGUAACGAGAUAGCUCAAGAUUGGGAUUUGCUCCUCCGACGAUGGAGAGAUAUACUAGGGCCCUCUCGGUGUUACGGUAUCCAUCAUCGUCUGGCCAGACACAUUGUGAUUUGAUCACUUGGAUGCCGGAACACAGAAACGAGAAAAGAGAACAAAACCGGUAACGAGGUAACUUGCAUGGUGGACAAAUUGUUGAUCCACAGGAAUGCAAUAAAUCUCACCUCGGGUGUUUGUGACAUAUCGCGAAGCAACAGGAAUAGUUCACGACAACUGGAGGUUCACUCGAAUAUUCAUUCGUGUGGGUAUAGGGGUCAAUAUGGGUGUCCACGGCUCCGAUGUUGAUCAUUGAUCGGAAGAGGUUCCAGAUCAUGUCUAUACUUCACCGAACCUAUAGGGUCACACGCUUAAGGGUCAUCUAUCUUCUGAAUAAUAGACAGGGAGUCUGAGAGGAAAUCACCGAAAAAGUUUCGGACACCGGAAAAGUUUCGGACAGCGGAAAAGUUCCGCAGAGAGAGGUCACUGGAUGAGUUUCAGUGAAACCAAAAAAGUUGUUUCGGAGUAUACCAUUAAGUCAAAAUGUUUUUGGCACAUGCCUGAUAAUUCUUCGAGGGUGCCAGAAUCAUUCUGGAACCUUUUUGGAAUUUUCCGGGAUAAAAACAGGAAAUGUUCCGGAGCUGCCGGAGCCACUUCAGAUGCGUUCCGCAGAUGAAAAUCACUAAACCGGAAUUAUUUCGGAACACGCUGAAAAUUAUUUUAGUGGGUACUGGAAAUGUUCUAAGCCCACAUAAAUAUUUUCAGUUCGAACGGACGCUGAAAAAAGUCGUCGUGAAUAGUGAAAAUCACUUUAUGGAUAUUUUUUGGAAAGCCACCUUUUUGGGCUUUUGCAAAAAGGCUUCUAGAAGGGCUUGGGGGCCAAGGAAGCCCCUCAUGGGGGGCCCCCAAGGGGGUGGCCGGCCAAGCAUGGUGGAGCUCCAUGGAGCUCCACAUGGCAUCCCAUUUUGCCCAUAAAACCCUCAUAUGUGACCUAAAGCAUGGGUUUUUUUUGGUAAUUUGUGGAGGCACACUACCCCUUGGUUUUCCUAUAAAUAGAGGGGCUGAGGGCUGCCAUAUCUUGAUCCCUUGCUCUCAUACAUAUGCCAUGCAUUAUCUGGCUUCUUCUCUCCCUCCCACGAACAGAGUUUCGUAGAGCCGUAAGCCUGUGUGGGAUCCGGCAGGAACUAGUUCUGGACGGCGAAGCCCUGCCGGAUAGCUGACACCGUAUGUGUACAACCCCGUCGAGAGGUCAUAGUUUUGGUCUUUUGCCCGAGGGGCUGUUCGAGUGUCCUCUCGAAGGGCUGUCCGAGUCUCCGUUCGAGUUUCGAGGGUCCUCCCGAAGGGCUGUCCGCGACAUCGUCUGGGGGACUGUCCGACUGCCUCCCGAAGGGCUGUCCGGCGAGGGAGUACAUCCUCGCGGUUGGGAGGUUGUAAAUCCUUGCUGCGGGGAUCUGCACCAACGAUCUCCACCGACACUUCUUCCGCUGCGCUUCAAGUCGGUACGAAACAGAUCAAACCUUGUAUGCAGUCUCCAUAGUGGUCCUGGGCGUGCUCGCUAUACCGAAAAUUUUCGUUUUCUGUCGCGUUCCCCAACAGGCAAUUCUCUGGGGUGUUCUAGGGCGCCCCUCCCCACAUAUAUAUAGGUGGGAGGGAGAGGGGAGGCAGCCAGGAGGCGCCCAAGUAGGCCGAAUCCUACUUGGGGUGUUCCCAUCGCCGGUGCCCCCCUGCCUUAUUUGCCGGAGGGGGAAGGAAAGAGGAGGAGGGAGAAAGGGAAGGGGGAGGCCGAACCCCCCUUUCCUUUCCCUCUUCCCCUCUUUCCUUCUCCCCCUGGUUCGGACCAUGGGGGCGCACCAGCCCCUGGUGGCUGGUGCAUUUCCCCUCUUGGCCCAUAAGGCCCAUAUCUUUUGCCGGGGGUGUCCGGAACCCGUUCCGGUGACCCGAUAUGUACCCGGUACCCUCCGGAAUACUUCUGGUGUCCGAAUACUAUCAUCCUAUAUAUCAAUCUUUACCUCUCGACCAUUUCGAGACUCCUCGUCAUGUCCGUGAUCUCAUCCGGGACUCCGAACAACAUUCGGUCACCAAAUCACAUAACUCAUAUAAUACAAUAUCAUCAUCGAACGUUAAGCGUGCGGACCCUACGGGUUCGAGUACUAUGUAGACAUGACCGAGACACCUCUCCUGUCAAUAACCAGUAGCGGAACCUGGAUGCUUAUAUUGGCUCCUACAUAUUCUACGAAGAUCUUUAUCGGUCGAACCAUUAUGACAAGAUACGUAAUUCCCUUUGUCCAUUGGUAUGUUACUUGCCGAAGAUUCGGUCGUCGGUAUCUUCAUACCUAGUUCAAUCUCGUUACCGGCAAGUCUCUUUACUCGUUCCGUAAUACAUCACCUCGUGACUAAAUCCUUAGUCACUUUACUUGCAAGCUUAUGAUGUGUAUUACCGAGAGAGCCCAGAGAUACCUCUCCGAUACUCGGAGUGACAAAUCCUAAUCUCGAUCUAUGCCAACUCAACAAACAACUUCGGAGAUACCUGUAGAGCAUCUUUAUAAUCGCCCAGUUACGUUGUGACGUUUGAUAGAACACAAGGAAUUCCUCCAGUACCCGGGAGUUGCAUAAUCUCAUAGUCGAAGGAAUAUGUAUUUGACAUGAAGAAAGCAAUGGCAAUAAAACUGAACGAUCAUUAUGCUAAGCUAACGGGCGGGUCUUGUCCAUCACAUCAUUCUCCUAAUGAUGUGAUCCCGUUAUCAAAUGACAACACAUGUCCAUGGUUAGUAAACCAUAACCAUGUUUGAUCAACGAGCUAGUCAAGUAGAGGCUCACUAGGGACACAGUGUUUGUUUAUGUAUUCACACAUGUAUUUAGGUUUCCGGUCAAUACAAUUCUAGCAUGAAUAAUAAACCUUUAUAACGAAUAAGGAAAUAUAAAAUAAGAACUUUAUUAUUGCCUCUAGGGCAUAUUUCCUUCAAGAUGAUGCUUUCGAGGACCUUCUCCUUGAAGAACUCCUUCCAAAUAGGUACAUUAUUUGCGUACAAUUUCUGAAAUUUUUGGUCCACAAAUUUUUUGUCAAGAAAUCUUCACAAGAUUAAUAGCAACUACUCAUAAGCAUGCUUAGAGGAGGUAUCAAGCAUUCAAACUAUUUAGAACUCUAAGAAUUCAACAUCCAAGCUCAUCUACAGCAGCACCAAGAGUAGAUAAUUAUUCAAAAUAUAAACCACUAAAGCAAAAACUAAAUGGAGCAAUGGAGGAGUCACAUAUCAAGCAACAAUCCCCCAAAACAGUUUCAGAAAUGGAGCUUCGAGCAAAGAGAUCGAAAUCCGCGGGUUUGAGAGCAAGAACACGAGAGAGAGAGAGAGAGAGAGAGAGAGAGAGAGAGAGAGAGAGAGAGAGAGAGAGAGAGCAAUAUUGAUUAUUUUCUGGAGGUAGGUGAUGAAGUGUCCUAAAGAGAUAAGUGAGGGGGCCCAUGUGGGGACCACAACCCACAAGGGCGCCCCUGGGCUGUUGGCGCGCCUAGGUGGGUUGUGCCCACCUGGUGCACCCCCCUUCGAUGUUAUUUGCACAAGAAAUUCAGAAAUAUUCAGAAAAAAUGGUAUCAAAAUUUCAGGACAUUCUGAGCACUUUUAUUUUUGGGUUAUUUUUUUAUUGCACGGGAAAAUAGUAAACAGAUAAAGCAUGACAUUUUAUUUUUAUUAAACUAGGAAAAAUAGAAAAUAAAAGGUAAGUACAGAAGGUACAGCCUACUAAAUUCAUCAACUUCACACCUCUCAAAAAAUGAUCCAUUAAUAAGGUUGAUCAAGUCUUAUUAUCAACCACUUUUGAUUAGUGAUGUCGGUUGAGAUGCGUCGUUGUUUCCCCAAGGAAUAAGGGAGAUGUAGCACAACAACGGUAAGGUAUUUCCCACAGUGAUGAGACCAAGGUUAUCGAACUAGUAGGAGAACCACACAACACCACGUAAACGGUACCUGCACACAAAUAACAACUACUUGCAACCCGACGCGUUAAAGGGGUUGUCAAUCCUUUCGGAUAGCGGUGUCAAAAAGUGACGUAAAGAUAGGAUAAAAUUGUAGUAGAUUGAUAGAUGCAAAUAAAAGCAAAAUAAAACGCAGCAAGGUAUUUUUGGGUUUUUGAUAAUAUAGAUCUGAAAAUAAAAUAUGCAAAUAAAAGAAAAGGCCAUUGGCAAUAUAGAUCGGAAAGUUUAUGAUAGGAAAAUAGACCCAGGGCCCGUAGAUUUCACUAGUGGCUUCUCUCGAGAAAAUAGCAACGGUGGGUAGACAAAUUAUAGUUGGGGAAUUGAUAGAAGAGCAAAUAAUUAUGACGAUAUCCAAGACAAUGAUCAUGAUAUAGGCAUCACGUCCAAGAUUAGUAGACCGACUCCUGCCUGCAUCUACUACUAUUACUCCACACAUCGACCGCUAUCCAGCAUGCAUCUGGUGUAUUAAGUUCAUGGAAAAAACGGAGUAAUGCAAUUAGAACGAUGACAUGGUGUAGACAAGAUCUAUUCAUGUAGGAAUAGACCCCAUCUUUUUAUCCUUAAUAUUAACAAUACAUGCGUGCCUUGCCGCCCCUUCUGUCACUGGGAAAGGACACCGCAAGAUCGAACCAAUUACAAAGCACCUCUUCACAUUGCAAGAUAAAUAAAUCAAGUUGGCCAAACAAAACCCAAAUAUCGGAGAACAAAUACGAGGCUAUAACAAUCAAGAUUGGAUAUUAAAUCAAGGCAAAUCUGAUCAUAAACUCACAAUUCAUCGGUUCCCAGCAAACACACCGCAAAAGUCAUUACAUCAAAUAGAUCUCCAAGAAACCAUUGUAUUGAGAUACAAAAAGAGAGAAGAAGCCAUGUAGCUACUGCCUACGGACACGUAGGUCUGAGUUGAACUACUCACGCAUCAUCGGAGAGGCACCAAUGAGGAUGAUGAACCCCUCUGUGAUCGUGUUCCCCUCCGGCAGAGUGCCGGAAUAGGGCUCUAGAUUGGAUCUCGUGGUUCUGGAACUUGCGAUGGCUGGAAUAAAAUUUCGUCGACUCCCCUAGGGUUUCUUGAAUAUUGGGGUAUUUAUAGAGCGAAGAGGCCGCGGGGGAGGCCAAAAGGUGUCUUCUGGUCCAAAAAAAAUCCACAAAAAUUUCGCUGCAUUUGGACUCUGUUUGAUAUUGAUUUCCUACGAUGUAAAAAACAAGCAGAAAAUAGCAUCUGGCACUUGGCACUAUAUCAAUAGGUUAGUACCAAAAAUGAUAUAAAAUAAUUAUAAAAUGAUUGUAAAACAUCCAAGAAUGAUAAUAUAACAACAUGGAACAAUCAAAAAUUAUAAAUACGUUGGAGACGUAUCAGCAUCCCCAAGCUUAAUUCCUGCUCGUCCUCGAGUAGGUAAAUGAUAAAAACAGAAUUUUUGAUGUGGAAUGCUGCCUAUCAUAUUCAUCACAUAUUCUUUCUUUUAUAGCAUGGACAUUUGGACUUUCAUUUUGUUCAAAGCAAUAGUCUAGUAUUGACAUGAGGACUUUAAUACUCAAGCAUAUCAACAAGCAACCAUGUCUUUCAAAAUAUCAAUACUAAAGCAAGUUAUCCCUAGCCCAUCAUGCUCAAUCAUUGAUCCAUUCAUGCAACACAUCCAAAUAUUAACUACAUCCAAUGCUCAAGUAUAAUAAUAGUGUUCCGUAGUUGGUGCUUUAAAAGAGAAGAUGGAGAAUCAAAAUAAAAAUAAAAUUGCAUAAAGUAAAGGAUAGGCCCUUCGCAGAGGGAAGUAGAUAUUUGUAGAGGUGCCAGAGCUCAAAGCUUAAAUUGAGAGGUAAAAUUAUUUUGGGUGGCAUGCUUUUCUCGUCAAUGAGAACGACUUAGAGUUCCCAAUGCUUUCCAUGCUAGAUACUCCCUCCAUUUCAUAAUGUAGUGCCUAUAUAUUUUUGCAAAAGUCAAACAUUACAAACUUUGACCAUAUAUAUAGAGAAAAGUAGGUAGAUCUAAACCAAAUGCACAUCAUUGGAUACAUCGUGAGUUACGUUUUCAGAAUGUACAUGUUUGGUAUUGUAGAUGUAGAUAGUUUUCUCUAUACACUUGGUCAAAGUUGACAAAGUUUAACUUUCACAAAAAUCUAUAGACACUACAUUGUGGAAUGGAGGGAGUAUAUCAUAGGCGGUUCCCAAACAUAAAAUAAAGUUUAUUCCUUUUUCCACCAAACUUUCACAAGCCAUGGCUAGCCGUAUCCACGGUUGCCCUUCAUACCGACACUUUCCAAGGAAUUUAUUAUUUGACAACAUAAAGUAAAUUUUCUUUUUCAUAUCGGGACUGGGAAUCCCUAUUACCGCCAUACUCUCGUGCAAUGACAAGUGAAUAAACACUCAUCUUGAGAAUAACACAUCUAGCAUGAAAAAUAUUAGCCACCCCUCGCCGCUUCAUGAGCGGUACGGGCACACAAAAGAGAGAUUUAUUUUGAAAAUUAGAGUUGGCACAUACAAAUUUUCUUAGAACGGCUUGGAAAUACCGCAUAUAGGUAGGUAUGGUGGACUCAUUUGGCAUAACUUGGGCUUUAGGAUUUGGAUGCACAAGUAGUAUUUCUACUUAGUACAAAGUGGAGGCUAGCAAGCGAUUGAGAAGUGACCAACCAAGGAACGAAAACCAUCAUAAGUGAACAUUAAACAUAACCAACACCGAAUAAUGCAACACAAGUAUGAUAUAAUUUCAUUGCAUGACUAUUAAAUUUCGUGCUUGCAUAGGGAAUCACGAACCUUAACAUCAAUAUUCUUACUAAAACAUAAUUACUCAUUAACAUGGCUCACAUAUUAGUAUCAUCAUAUCUCAAAACUAUUACAAGGAACCAAGUUUAUUUUGCCCAAUGAUCUUCAUGAAAGUUUUUAUUAUAUCCUCCUUGGAUAUCUAUCACUUUGGGACUAGUUUCAUGUGUUGCUUUUGAUAAGCUCAAACAAAUAUAAGUGAAGCAUCAUAUUUCACUAGUAGAAAAAGGUUCAAAUGUGAGACACAUUAGUGCCGGUUUGCAUUUGUGCCGGCACUAAUGUGUCCAUUAGUGCCGGUUCAAACGGCUAGGCGGGAGGAGGUCUUUAGUACCGGUUCAGUGCGAACCUUUAGUACCGGUUCAUGCCACGAACUGGUACUAAAGAGGCUGGGGCCUGACCAACCCCUUUAGUACCGGUUCGUUGCAUGAACCGGUAGUAAAGAAGUUGUGGCAGGCUGUUUUUAGUCCCACCUCGCCUUAAAUAUGUUACUUCUCAAACUAUCACAAGCACUUGGUCUUCAUUGAACUCUAUGUGUAGAAUUUGUGGUCACAAUAUGAGUCUUCAACGGUUUCUAAACCGUUGAGGACUCAUGUUGACAAUUCCGAUUGUACACAAAAAGAUCAUUGAUAAUCAAUGUAUUUUUGAUGUAUAUUUUUACAUGUUUACGCCCUCACUCUCUCCACUCACUCGGUCUCCCCCUCAAUCCCCCCGCGCCGGUCCUCCCCCGCCGGCUUCCCCUCACUCUCUGCUGACAUGUUUACGCCCUCACUCUCUGCUGACAUGUUUACGCCCUCACUCUCUCCACUCACUCGGCAAAAAAUGGACGCACUUCGUGUACAAACUGGACAAUAUCUUUCGGAGUAUCAGGGUUUCGGACGAGAACUCACUAUUACACGGGCACUUCAUUUUUCUAAACUUACUUGAACUCCAGAAUUUUUUUGCAUUCCGUAUGCACCAUUCAAAGUGACGUCAUCAAUUUUCAACACUUUCUGACGUCAUUUGCUAUUUUUCAGUCAUUUACCAAUUUGUUUAGAGAGCUAAAUGACCGUGAAAUUGAAAAUCACUACAAAAUGAACUCUGAAAAUGUUGAAACUUGGCAUGGUAUCAUCAUUUCACCCACAUAGCAUGUGCAAAAGAGUAGAGAGGGUCACGGAAAAAACUAGACGCACUUCGUGUACAAACUGGACAAUCUCUUUCGAAGUAUCAGGGUUUCGGACGAGAACUCAUCUGUUACACGGUUACUUCAUUUUUUUAAACUUAUUUGAACUCCAGACUUUUUUCGCGUUCAGUAUGCAGCAUUCAAAGCGACGCCAUCAAUUUUCAACCCUUUCUGACAUCAUUUGCUCUUCUUCCGUGAAAUUUAAAAUCACUACAAAAUGGACUCUAAAAAGUUGAAACUUGUCAUGGUAUCAUCAUUUCACCCACAUAGCAUGUGCAAAAGAGUAAAGAGGGUCAUGGCAAAAACUGGACGCACUUCGUGUACAAACUGGACAAUCUUUUUCGAAGUAUCAGGGUUUCGGACGAGAACUCAUCUGUUACACGGUUACUUCAUUUUUUAAACUUAUUUGAACUCCAGACUUUUUUGCGUACAGUAUGCAGCAUUCAAAGCGAUGUCAUCAAUUUUCAACCCUUUCUGACAUCAUUUGCUCUUUUUCAGUCAUUUAUCGAUUUGUUUAGAGAGCUAAAUGACCGUGAAAUUGAAAAUCACUACAAAAUGAACUCUAAAAAUGUUGAAACUUGGCAUGGUGUCAUCAUUUCACCCACAUAGCAUGUGCAAAAAGUAGAGAGGGUCACGGCAAAAACUGGACGCACUUCGUGUACAAACUGGACAAUCUCUUUCGAAGUAUCAGGGUUUCGGACGAGAACUCAUCUGUUACACCGGCAAUUCAAAAUUUUAAUAACUUAUUACAUCUCCGGACUUUUUUUUGCGUUCAGCAGGCGCCAUUCAAAGCCACGUCAUCAACUUUCAACCCUUUUUGACAUAAUUUGCUAUUUUUAAUGUAUUUACUGAUUUGUUUUGAGCUAAAUGGCCCUGAAAUUGAAAAGUAGUAUAAAUGAACUCUUAAAAGCACUACAAAUAGAAGAAAAUAAAUAAAGCAGAAAAGAAAAAACUAUGUAAAAAAGCUACUCAGAAACAAAUACAAGAAAAUAAAUAAAGUAGAAAAGAAAAAAAAACUAUAUAAAAAAACUACUAAGAAAUAAAUAGAAGAAAAUAGAUAAAGCAGAAAAGAAAAAAACUAUAUAAAAAAAUUACACAGAAAUAAAUAGAAGAAAAUAAAUAAUGCAGAAAAGAAAAAACUAUAAAAAAAUUGUUGGGGCGCUGUCCAGUGGGCCUGCCAGACCUCGGGUGUGCAAAUUCAGGUCCAGAAGGCCCAUCAGGCUCACAGGGCAGCGCGCCAUAGUUAGGCCCAGAAGCCUGCUAUACAGAGGAGUUCGAGGGAGCAGCCGUGGCUGGGUUUAUAAACUAGUGCGGCUGCCCUUCGCCCGGCGAGAUGGGACUAAACUUUGCGCCCCUCGCCUGGCAGCGCACCCCCUUUAGUACCGGAUGGUGGCUCCAACCGGUACUAAAGGGGGGGCCUUUAGUACCGAUUGGAGCCACCACCCGGUACUAAAGGGGGUGCGGUUCCCGCCGCUUCGCCGAGCCAAAAUAGACCUUUAGUACAGGUUGGUGGCUCCAACCGGUACUAAAGGUGGAUUCUAUAUAAGAAAACACUUCAAAUAAAUUUGUCAGUUCGUUCUCCCUCUCUGCUUCUUCUCUCCUCUGCCCCGUCGCUGCCGCCCCUUGACGCCGCCCCCGUCGCCGUCGCCGUCGNNNNNNNNNNNNNNNNNNNNNNNNNNNNNNNNNNNNNNNNNNNNNNNNNNNNNNNNNNNNNNNNNNNNNNNNNNNNNNNNNNNNNNNNNNNNNNNNNNNNNNNNNNNNNNNNNNNNNNNNNNNNNNNNNNNNNNNNNNNNNNNNNNNNNNNNNNNNNNNNNNNNNNNNNNNNNNNNNNNNNNNNNNNNNNNNNNNNNNNNNNNNNNNNNNNNNNNNNNNNNNNNNNNNNNNNNNNNNNNNNNNNNNNNNNNNNNNNNNNNNNNNNNNNNNNNNNNNNNNNNNNNNNNNNNNNNNNNNNNNNNNNNNNNNNNNNNNNNNNNNNNNNNNNNNNNNNNNNNNNNNNNNNNNNNNNNNNNNNNNNNNNNNNNNNNNNNNNNNNNNNNNNNNNNNNNNNNNNNNNNNNNNNNNNNNNNNNNNNNNNNNNNNNNNNNNNNNNNNNNNNNNNNNNNNNNNNNNNNNCGUCGCCCGUGCUGUGAGCCCCUCUCCCCGGCCCCUCUCCUCCCUCCAAUCGAAGCCGCCACGCCGCCGGCGCCGUAGGUGCACACGCGCACGCGCGAGCGCACACACACAUGCACGCACACACACACACGCACACACACACACAGACACACGAUUCUGUUUUUAGUUUUUUCUGUUUUUUAUACAAAUGUUUUAGAUGAAUUAAUUAAUUAUAUAUAGAUUAGAUUAAUGUCAAAUAGUAUAUAGAAAUGUUAGAAAUGUUAUAGAAAUGUUAGAAAUUUUAGAAAUGUUAGUUUUAGCUAGAUGAAUUAGAUUAAUUUCAAAUUGUUAUAGAAAUGUUAGAAAUGUUAGUUUUUAGUUUCUUAUAAUUUUAGUUAUAGAAAUUUAGAAUUUGCAUAUAAGUCACAAUCCAAUCAUUUAAAAAAUGUUACUUUUGCGGCGUAUAGUAUUUUUUCUCGACGAUGCCCGGUCCGCAUCCUCGCCGUCGACUCGUUCGCGACGACGUCCUGCUUCAGAGGACCCAUGUCCGGGACUGGGCUCCGCCGGGCUGGCACUGGGAGGUGCUACCUUCAGGGGCGCGCCGCUUGGUGAGGAACCCGGCCCCGGGUCCCGUCGUCGACCCUGAUCUCCUUUGGUGGCGUUCGCGUGGGCCACAUUCGGUGUAGAGGGAGCCGGCCCCGCCGGAGGUGGUGCGUCGCCGUGUCAGGGAGGAGGACGAGCACGUCCGUGGCUACAUGGCUGCUAUGGACGUCAGGUUCUCAAAUAAUUGGCGGGUUGUUUGGGCAGAUGAUCGGAGAUAUGAUCCUGUGAUGGUUCCUUCUCUUUGGGUGUCCACCCCCCGCGCCUUAGGAACCGCGAGUGGCCUAGAUUCUUCUGUAGUAUUCGAUCUUUAUUAGCUACCUAGCCAGUGAUGUAUUCGAUAUAUAAUAUUUGAGACGAUGUAUUCGAGAUUAUAUGUAUUAUUAGAGACGAUGUAUUCGAGAUUAUAUAUUAUUCGAGACGAUGUAUUCGAGAUUAUAUAUUAUUCGAGACGAUGCAUAUUAUAUAUGUACUAUAUGAUUCAGUUUUUCCUUAUUGAUUGCAUCCAUGCAUUGUAAUUUGAAUACUAAAUUGUUUUAUAUUUCUUCUGGAUUAGUUAAAUAAAAGCUAUGGCGGACAAUACCGGCAGAGAGGGAGAAGAGGCCCUGUUCGAGAUCAUACGCAGCCCUCGCAGGCCAGAUGAUCUGAAUGAAGCAGAUGACGGCUCCCAAUAUCUGAACAAUGCCGGGGAGGGUGAUGAUAAGAUAUUCAAUCUCGAUGACCGAGAUGAUGAAGUCAUGAACUAUGAUUAUGAUUAUGAUUAUGAUGACGCAGAAAAUGUUGAUCUUGAAAUAACAAAUACUACCGGCGAGGUAUACAUUUAUAUAAGCAGGCAUCUGGUGAUCAUCACAUGUUUUUUUUUUGAUUUGAAGAUAUAUUAACGAAUCGAUCUUUAUUCUUUCAGCCCUCCGGAUCGAGCAAAUCUGCUUCUACAGACAGCAGGACAAAGCGAGGCCCGAGCAAAAAGUUGAAGGAGGGUGUAAAGUACAACAUCGACUCCAUCAAAGCUAAUGGCGAACCCCUCAUGCCUAAGAACAUUGCAAACAAGCUAUUGUCUGUAAGUGAUUUCUUUCUGUAAUUUAAGUCUCAAGCUAGCUGUAGUGCUCUCAUUGAUCAUUACUUGUAAUUAUCCUCACUAUAUUCUUUUAUGUGGUAUUAUGCAGGAUGAAGAUGUCCGAAAUGAGAUAAGCUGGACGCCAUGGCAUUGGGUUCAUUGAACCAAAUACCAUUAAUGAAGAGACAUGGUCAUAUGAACAUUAUAAACAAGAAGUAGAGAAUAACAUGCUAGAGUUCUUGAAGCGCCUCAAUACCAAUGCAAAUAUACUACUUCCUUACAACUUCCAGUGAGUCCACACUGUCUUGUACUACAAAUUCUGUUUUUGUUACUAGCUAGAUACCACUGGAUCUUGGUAGACAUUAAAGUGCGCAUGCAGGUUCCACUGGAUCUUGGUAGACAUUAAAGUUAAAGAAGGAAAAGUUUAACUACUGGACUCACUGCUUAAAGAAGCUAAAGAGUACUCAAUCCUGAAGGGGAUAGUCAACAGGUAAUUUCAAUCUCAUUAUAUAUAUAUGUCCUGAUAUCAACUAAUUAAUAACUCCUUUAUUCAUUUUCUUUGCCGGCGGGCCGGCAGGGCUUGGCAAAAGUUCAUCGAAGACGUUCCAGGCCCGUUCAGAGAUAAACUGUAUUGGUAUCGACCCACGGUAAUUAAUUAAGUAGUACUAUAGCUAGCAAUAUAGCUAGCUACCAUGCAAUCUCUUUAAUUCUAUAGUUUCCAUAACAUUAAUUAUCAGGCUUGAUUAAUUAUUAUCUAAUUGAACUCUAUUCUCGUACAGGCCAUGAAGCAGGAGCCGGGGAAUGAUUUAUGUGCAUACUACGUUUGCGAGAACAUUCGCACGAUGACGUCCGAAAGGAGCACAUCUGAUAGACAGAUAUGGGUACGUUUGCCAGAACACACUAUACACAAUUUUUACAUCAUUAUCGAUAUCUAGUCACACAACUAAUACAUGCAUACUGAUCUCCUUCUUAACAUUUCAAUGAGGUGCGGCAGAAGCUCCUACCAAUGGAUCGCGUACGAGCAAUUGCAGAGAAAAUAGCGGGAUUUUUGCUCGACCAAGUCAUAGAUCCUGGAGGAGAAUUCCAUUACCCGCUACCGCACUAAUGCCUCCAUGUAGGAGAAAUUGUAUAUAGUAAAUUGUAUAUAUAUACGUACAUGCAUGUGUAUGUGUGAAUAUGGUGGUGUGAGACAUUCGAUGAUAUGUGUAUAUAUAUAUAUAUAUAUAUAUAUAUAUAUAUAUAUAUAUAUAUAUAUAUAUAUAUAUAUGAUCGGUUCUACGAGAAAUUCUAUUUAUAUAUAUAUGUAUAUAUAUAUAUAUAUGCAUAAUGUGUACAAUAUGUAGUAUCGUAAAAUACCAGCAAACGAAAAAGAAUUGAAUGGAAAACACAAAAUUAAAGAAAAAACAAAAAAUAAAACCAAAACCCCACAAACAUUUAGUACCGGUUGGUGUUACCAACCAGUACUAAUGGUCUACCCGCACCCGGGCCUGGCUCGUGCCACGUGGUGGCACUUUAGCGCCGGUUCGUGACGAACCGGUAGUAAAUGGGGGGGGGGGCUUUAGUCCCCACUCUUUAGUGCCGGUUGUAGAACCGGCACUAAAGGCCCUUACGAACCGGCGCUAAAGCCCGGUUCUGCACUAGUGUUUAUUUCUCUCAAAUUAAUCUAAGUGAAGCAUGAGAGAAUUUCUUCAAAGAUAGCAAAUCACACUGUGCUCAAAAAGAUAUAAGUGAAGCACUAGAGCAAUUCCAUUGCUCUAAAAAUUUAUGUGAAGCAUAGGAGCAAGCAUAGCAUAAAUUGGCUCUCCAAAAUAGGUGUUUACAUCAAGGAAACUUACUAAAAAGAAACAAGCAAAGACUCAUAUCAUAAAAGACGCUCCAAGCAAAACACAUAAUAUGUGACGAAUAAAAAUAUAGUCUACCGAUGGUCGUUAGAAGAAGGAGGGGAUGCCACUCGAGGGCAUCCCCAAGCUUAGUUGCUUGAUACUCCUUGAAUAUUAUCUUGUUGGUGCCAUGGGCAUCCCCAAGCUUAGCCUUUUCCUAGUCCUUAUUCCUUCAUCCAUCGUGAUCUCACCCAAAACUUGAAAACUUCAAUCACACAAAACUCAACAAAACCUCGUGAGAUCCGUUAGUAUAAGAAAACAAAUCACUACUUUAGGUACUAUUGCAAACCCAUUCAUAUUUUGUUAUUGUAUUAUACCUACUGUAUUUUAACUUUUCCAUGGCAAAAACACAUCAAAGGGAAACCAUAGAAUCAUCAAAACAAACACAUAACACAACGAAACCAGAAUCUGUCAAAAACAGAACAGUCUGUAGUAAUCAGAACACUCGUAUACUUCUGUAACUGCAACAAUUCUGAAAAAUUAGGACAACACAGGAAAUUUGUAUAUCAGUCUUGUUUAAAAAAUUUAGAAAUUUAUCACGCUCUAGUGAUUUUCAGGAUUUUCUGCAUUGGGCUCAAAAGUUUUUGUUUUCCAACAAGAUCAAAUCAACUAUUGCCCAGAUCACCCCAAAGGCUUUGCUUGGCACAAACACUAAUUUAAACCACAAAAACACAUCUAAUCAGAGGCAUAAUUGGGUAUUUUAUUAAAAACAGCAAGAAACCAAAAAGCAAAAAUAUACAUGUUGGGUUGCCUCCCAACGAGCGCUAUCGUUUUACUCCCUUAGCUAGGCAUAACACCAAGUUCUCAAGUAUUGUCAUCCUUGGUGGAUGAUCCAUAUGUUUCCCUCAUUAUAGAUUCAUAAAGCAAUUUGAUCUUAGUUCUAGGGAAGUGUUCCAUGCCCUUUCUCGAGGGAAAUUGAAAUUUCAUAUUCCCUUCUUUCAUAUCAAUCACUGCACCAAUAGUGCAAAAAAAUGGUCUACCAAGUAUAAUACGGCAAGACGGAUUGCAAUCAAUGUCAAGAACAAUGAAGUCUAUGGCUACAUAGUUCCUAUUUGAAAGAAUAAGAACAUCAUUGAUCCUUCCCAAAGGCUUUUUAAUAGUUGAAUCCGCCAAAUGCAAAUUGAGAGAACAAUCUUCAAUGUUGGUAAGACCAAGAACAUCACAAAGAGAUUUCGGAAUCGUGGAAACACUAGCACCCAAAUCACAUAAAGCAUUGCACUCAUAAUUUUUAAUCUUGAUUUUGAUAGUAGGUUCCCAUUCAUUAUGCAAUUUUCUGGGAAUUUACACUUCCAAUUCCAACUUAUCUUCUAAAGCUUGCAUCAUAGCAUCAAUAAUAUGUUUAGUAAAAGCUUUAUUUUGUUCAUAGGCAUGAGGUGAAUUUAUCAUUGAUUGCAACAAAGAAAUACAAUCAAUCAAAUAGCAAUUGUCAUAAUUAAAGUCUUUGUAAUCCAAGAGAGUGGGCACAUCACUAGUUAAAGUUUUGACCUCUCCAAACCAACUUUUAUCAAUUUUUUCAACAAGAUUUUCACCCUCCGAAUUAUCGGGACGCCUUCUAGCUAAAGUUGAGUGUUCUUCAGUCCGUUUAUCAUCAAGUUGAACUUUACUAAACAAGGAAUCAAUAUAUGAAACACCCAUCAUUUUUAUGAAAGCAAUCACUAGAAAACGCUUUUUUAAAAAAUUCUCUUUUAGCUCUAAGCAUAGCGGUUCUGUUCUUACUUUCAUCCAUGGAAACAUAAAGAGCCUUAAUUGAUUCUUCAACCUUAGGCACAAAAACUUUCAACUUGAGAUUUUCCACAUCAUGAGAAAUUCUAUCAAUACUUCUAGACAUAUCAUCAAUCUUAUUCAAUUUUUCUUCUAUAGAAGCAUUGAAAACCUUUUGAGUAUUGAUAAAUUCUUUAAUAUUGUUUUCUAGAUCAGAGGCAUUCCUAUUAUUAUUCUAAGAAGAAUUACCAUAACUAUCAGAGGAAUUUCCCGAAAAAGGCCUAGGAUUAAAAUUACAUCUAUUAGCAUUGUUAUUGUAAUUAUUUCAUGAGAUAAAGUUCACGUGUAGGGCAUCACUAUUUUGCUCAAUCAAAGUAGACAAAGUAAAAUCAUUAAGAUCAAUAGGAGAAUUCUUACUAGAAACCAUUUUCAUGAGAGCAUCAACUUUUUCACUCAAAGAAUAAUCAAUUUCAACCGAAUUAACCUUUUUGCUAGUAGGCGCCCUUUCGGUAUGCCAUUGCGAAUUGUUUGCCAUAAUAUUAUCAAGCAAUUUGGUGGCUUCACCCAAAGUAAUUUUCAUAAAAGUACCACCCACGGCGGAGUCCAAAAGAUUUCGAGAAACAAAAUUCAACCCCGCAUAAAAAAAUUGUAUGAUCAUCCAAAGAUUUAACCCAUGAGUUGGGCAAUACCUUAGCAUCAAUUUCAUCAUUUGCCAAGAUUGUGCAACAUGCUCAUGUUCAAGUGGCUUGAAAUUCAUGAUCUGGGUUCUAAGGGAAAUAAUUUUUGCGGGCGGAAAAAGUAGUAAUAAAAGCAUCUUUGCACUUAUCCCAAGAAUUGAUACUAUUUUGAGGCAAAGAUGAAAACCAAAUUUUAGCACGGUCGUGCAAAGAGAACGGAAAUAAUUUCAACUUCACAAUAUCAUUGUCCACAUAUUUUUUCUUUUGCAUAUCGCAUAACUCCACGAACGUGUUAAGAUGGGACGCGGCCUCCUCAUUAGGAGUACCGGGAAAUUGAUCUUUCAUGACAAGAAUCAACAAAGCAGCAUUAAAAUCACAAGUUUCCGCACUAGUGGCGGGAGGAGCAAUCGGAGUGCUAAUGAAAUCAUUGUUGUUGGUAUUGGAAAUAUCAGACAACUUAGUGUUCUCUUGCGCCAUCUUGAUCAAUUGUAAACAAGAACACAAGUAGGCGAUAGAUCUGACCGAAAAACGGCGAACGAAAAAGAGGGCGAAUAAAAACAGCAAUUUUUUGUGAAGUGGGGGAGAUGAAAAUGAGAGGCAAAUGGAAAAUAAUAUAAAUUGCAAGGUGAUGAGAUUUGUGAUUAGGCACCUGGUAGAUGUUGAUGAUGUUUCCCCGGCAACGGCGCUAGAAAUUUCCUUUGAUGUUGCUUCAGGUGCGUCACUAUUUCCCCAAGGAAUAAGGGAGAUGCAGCAUAGCAAUGGUAAGGUAUUUCCCUCAGUGAUGAGACCGAGGUUAUCGAACCAGUAGGAGAACCACGCAACACCACGUAAACGGUACCUGCACACAAAUAACAACUACUUGCAACCCGAUGCGUUAAAGGGGUUGUCAAUCCCUUUUGGGUAGCGGUGCCAAAAAGUGACGUAAGGAUAGGAUAAAAUUGUAGUAGAUUGAUAGAUGCAAAUAAAAGCAAAUAAAACACAGCAAGGUAUUUUUGGGUUUUUGAUAAUAUAGAUCUGAAAAUAAAAGAUGCAAAUAAAAGAAAAGGCAAUUGGCAAUAUAGAUCGGAAAGUUUAUGAUAGGAAAAUAGACCCGUGGGCCGUAGAUUUCACUAGUGGCUUAUCUUGAGAAAAUAGCAACGGUGGGUAGACAAAUUACUGUUGGGUAAUUGAUAGAAGAGCAAAUAAUUAUGACGAUAUCCAAGACAAUGAUCAUGAUAUAGGCAUCGCGUCCAAGAUUAGUAGACCGACUCCUGCCUGCAUCUACACUAUUACUCCACACAUCGACCGCUAUCCAGCGUGCAUCUAGUGUAUUAAGUUCAUGGAGAAACGAAGUAAUGCAAUAAGAACAAUGACAUGAUGUAGACAAGAUCUAUUCAUGUAGGAAUAGACCCCAUCUUUUUAUCCUUAAUAGCAAUGAUACAUGUGUGCCUUGCUGCCCCUUCUGUCGCUGGGAAAGGACACCGCAAGAUCGAACCCAUUACAAAGCACCUCUUGACAUUGCAAGAUAAAUAGAUCAAGUUGGCCAAACAAAAUCCAAAAAUCGGAGAAGAAAUACGAGGCUAUAACAAUCAAGAUUUGAUAUUAAAUCAAGGAAAAUCUGAUCAUAAACUCACAAUUCAUUGGAUCCCAACAAACACACGACAAAAUUCAUUACAUCAAAUAGAUCUCCAAGAGUCCAUUGUAUUGAGAUACAUAAAGAGAGAAGAAGCCAUCUAGCUACUGCCUACGGACCUGUAGGUCUGAGUUGAACUACUCACGCAUCAUCGAAGAGGCACCAAUGAGGAGAUGAACCCCUUCGUGAUCGUGUUCCCCAACGGCAGAGUGCCGGAAUAGGGGUCUAGAUUCGAUCUCGUGGUUCUGCAAAUUGCGACGGCUGGAAUAAAAUUCUGUCGACUCCCCUAGGGUUUCUGGAAUAUUGGGGUAUUUAUAGAGCGAAGAGGUGGUGCGGGAGGCCACCGAGGUGGGCGCAACCCACCCGGGCACGCCUGGGGGCUAAGGCGCGCCCUAGUGGGUUAUGCCACCCUCGGGGCACCCCCCUGGUGCUUCUCGGGCCCAACAUGUGUCUUCUGGUCCAAAAAAAAUCCACAAAAAGUUUCGCUGCAUUUGGACUCCGUUUGAUAUUGAUUUCCUGCGAUGUAAAAAACAAGCAGAAAACAACAACUGGCACUUGGCACUAUGUCAAUAGGUUAGUACCAAAAAUGAUAUAAAAUGAUUGUAAAACAUCCAAGAAUGAUAAUAUAACAACAUGGAACACUAAAAAAUUAUUGAUACGUUGGAGACAUAUCAAUUAGUAUGAAACCAAAGAACUUUCGUAAAACACUAAGUUACCUCAACGGGGAUAUGUAUGUCCCCAACAAUUAGUAUAUCAUAUUUCUUUUUGGCAGUAGGUAGAGGUAGUUGAAAACUUCCAAUAGUGAGUGUCGAAGAUUUUUCAAUAACAUUAAUACCAUCCACUUUGAAUUGUUUCUUCGGAAAGAGCAGCGUAUGCUCAUUACCAUUGAUAUGAAAAGCGACCUUGCUUUUAUAGCAAUCAAUAACAGCCCCUGCAGUAUUCAGAAAGGGUCUACUAAGGAUAAUCGACAUGUUGUCGUCCUCGGGCAUCGCAAGUAUAACAAAUUCAGUUAAGAUGGUAACAUUUGCAACAACAACGGGCACAUCCUCACAAAUAACGAUAGGUAUGGCAGUUGAUUUGUCAGCCAUUUGCAAAGAUAUUUCAGUAGGUGUGAGUUUAUUCAAGUCAAGUCUCUUAUAUAAGGAGAAAGGCAUAACACUAACACCAGAUCCUAAAUCACAUAAAGCAGUUUUCACAUAGUUCUUUUUGAUGGAGCAAGGUAUAGUUGGUAUUCCCGGAUCUCCAAGUUUUUUAGGUACCCCACCCUUAAAAGAGUAAUUAGCAAGCAUAGUGGAGAUUUCAGCAUCAGGUAUUUUAGUUUUAUUUGUGACAAUGUCUUUCAUAUACUUUGCAUAAGGGGCCAUUUUCAGCAAAUUAGUCAAGCGAGUACGCAAAAAGACUGGCCUCAGCAUUUCAGCAAAGCGUUCAAAUUCUUCAUCAUCUUUUUUCUUGGUUGACUUAGGAGGAAAAGGCAUGGGCUUUUGCACCCAUGGUUCUCUUUCAUUACCAUGUUUCCUAUCAACAAAGUCCCUUUUACCACAUCUUUUAUUUUUAGGUUGUGGGUUAUCAAGAUCAACAACUGGUUCUAUUUCAACAUCAUUAUCUGGUUCUUUUUUCAUUGUCUGGUUGAGUAUCUUCAUGAACAUUAUCAUUAUCACUAGGUGAAUGUUCAUUACCAGAUUGAGUUUUAGCCUCGGAAAUAGAAACAUCAUUAUCAUUAUCAGGUGGUUUCUCUAUUUUAGGUUCAUUAGAGGCAUGCAAAGUCCUAUCAUUUUUCUUUUUCCUUUUCUUUUUAGAAGGACUAGGUGCAUCAAUGUUAAGUCUGUGUGAAUCUUGUUCAAUUCUCUUAAGGUGUCCCUCAGGAUAAAGUGGUUUCUGAGUCAAUUUACCUCCUCUGGUUGCUACUCUAACAGCAAAGUCAUGUAUGUUGUAGUUCAUUUCAUCAAGCAAUUCUCUUUGAGAUUUAGCAACUUGUUCUAGUUGAGUUUGAACCAUAGAGGCAUGCUUUCCUACACCUCUAACAUCAUUGGUAAUUCUAAAUAACAAGUCACUCAAGCGAGCAAUCAUAUCAGAGUUGUAUUUCAAUUGUUUCAUGACAUUUGCAUUGAAGUGAUCUUGUUUUCUAAUAUAAUUAUCAAACUCAUAAAGGCAUUGACUAGGAUGUUUACUGUAAGGGAUGUCACCUUCAUGAAAUUUCAUUAAAGAAUUUACCUCUACGACCUUGGGUGGUGAUGUGUCAAGUCCAUGAAUUUCUUCAAUAGGUGGCAAAUUUUUAAGAUCCUCUACGUUAAUACCUUUUUCCUUCAUACUUUUCUUUUCCUCUUGCAUAUCUUCGGGACUGAGAUAUAAGGUACCCCUCUUCUUUGGAGUUGGUUUAGGUUGUGGUUCAGGAAGAGUCCAAUCAUCAUAAUUUUUCAAUAUAUUAUUCAGUAAUUCCUCAGCUUGUUCAACAGUUCGCUCCCUGAAAACACAACCAGCACAACUAUCUAGGAAAUCCCUAGAAGCAUCGGUUAGUCCAUUAUAGAAGAAAUCAAGUAUUUCAUUUUUCUUAAGCGGAUGAUCAAGCAAAGCAUUAAGCAAUUGGAGAGGACUCAGCCAAGCUUCUGGGAGACUCUCUUCAUCAAUUUGCACAAAGUUAAAUAUUUCCUGUAAGGCAGCUUGUUUCUUAUGAGCAGGAAAAUAUUUUUCAGAGAAGUAAUAAAUCAUAUCCUGGGGACUACGCACACUACCAGGAGUAAGAGUAUUGUACCAAGCUUUAGCAUCACCGUUUAAUGAGAACGGAAAUAACUUGAGAAUAUAAUAGUAGCAAAUCUUCUCAUCAUGAGCAAAUAGGGUGGCUAUAUCAUUCAGUAUAGUAAGAUGUGCGGUUUCAGUUUCAUAGCCAUGGAAAGGAUUAGAUUCUUCCAAAGUAAUUAACUCUGGGUCGACAGAGAACUCAUAAUCCUUAUCAUCAACAAAGAUAGGUGACGUAGCAAACUUAGGAUCACAUUUCAUUCUAGCAUUCAAAGAUUUCUCUUUCAGUUUGCAUAAUAAUUUCUUAAGAUCAUCUUUAUCAUUGCAAGCAAGACACUCUCUAGUUGUCUCUUCAUCCAUAACAUAACCUUCAGGCACUUUAGGCAAUUCAUAUCUAGGAUGGCUAGAUCUAAUAGGUGUUUCAAGAUUUUCAGUUUCAAGUACUUCAUCAGUUUCAAUAGUUUCAUCAGUUUCAGCAUUCUCAAUAUCUUUAAUUCUAGCAAGUUGUUCAUCAAGCAAUUCACCAAAUGGCACAGUCUUAUCAAGCAAGGUACUAGCAUCAUCAUAAGUGUCAUUCAUAGUAGAAGUAGCAUCAUCAAUAACUUUUGACAUAUCAGGAUUAAUAGCAGAUUGUGGUGUUGCAAGCUUAUUUGUAACUGAAGGAGAAUCAAGUGCAGAGCUAGAUGGCAAUUCCUUACCUCCCCUCAUCUUCGAGGGAAAGAUCUUAGUACUUUCAUCCUUCAGAUUCUUCAUAGUGAUAGAUAGAUAAUAAUCCCAAGUGACUCAACAAAUAUAGUCGUGGUCCCCGGCAACGGCACCACAAAAAGGUCUUGAUAACCCACAAGUAUAGGGGAUUGCAAUAGAUUUCGAGGGUAGAGUAUUCAACCCAAAUUUAUAGAUUUGACACAAGGGGAGCCAAAGAAUAUUUGCAAGUAUUAGCAACUGAGUUGUCAAUUCAGCCACACCUGGAGAUUAAUUAUCUGUAGCAAAGUGAUUAGUAGCACAGUAAUAUGAUAGUUUUGAUAGUAGCGGUAGUAGCAAUAGUAACAGUAGCAGUGAUAGCAAUGAUUUGAUAGCAGUAGCAAUAGUAACAGCAGCAGUAGUAACUUAGCAAGAUCAAUAUGUAGGAAAUUCGUAGGCAUUGGAUCGACAAUUUGUUUGAUGAUAUCCAUCAUAUAACAGUCAUAACCUAGGGCGAUAUGGAACUAGCUCCAGUUCAUAAAUAUAAUGUAGGCAUGUAUUCCGUAAAUAGUCAUACGUGCUUAUGGAAAGAACUUGCAUGAUAUCUUUUGUCCUACCCUCCCAUGGCAGCGGGGUCCAAUUGGAAACUAAGGGAUAUUAAGGCCUCCUUUUAAUAGAGAACCAGAACAAAGCAUUAACACAUAGUGAAUACAUGAACUCCUCAAACUACGGUCAUCACCGGAAAGUAUCCCGACAUCUGUCACUCUGGUGUUUGCGGAUCAUAACACAUAGUAGGUGACUAUAACUUGCAAUAUCGGAUCUAGAACAUAGAUAUAAUGGCGAUAACAUAAACGGUUCAGAUCUGAAAUCAUGGCACCCGGGCCCAAAGUGACAAUCAUUAUGCAUGGCAAAGUCAUAGCAACAUCAAUCUCAGAACAAAGUGGAUACUAAGAAUCAAGCCCUAACAAAGCUAACUCAAUUACAUGAUGAAUCUCAUCCAACUCCUCACCGACCAGCGAGCCUACGAAGCAAUUACUCACUCCCGGUGGGGAGCAUCAUGGAAUUGGCGAUGGAGAAGGGUUGGUGAUGACGAAGAUCGAAGAUCCCCCUCUCCGGAGCCCCAAAUGGACUCCAGAUCUGGCCUCCCGAUGAAGAACAGGAGGCGGCGGCGGCUCCGUCUCAUGAAACGCAAUAAUUCUUCCUCCCUGAUUUUUUUCUUCGAAAAUGUGAUUUUAUAGUAUCAGGGUUGAGGCCUGCGGGGCCACCAGGUGGGGACAACACACCUGGGUGCGCCAGGAGGGGGGCGCGCCCUGGUGGGUUGUCCCCACCCAGGUGCCCCCCUCCGGUGGUUCUUGGCUCUAGAAAUUCUCUUUUAUUGUAUAAAAAGUUCUCGCAAAAUUUCGUUCCAAUCCGAGAACUUUUAUUUUUGCACAAAAACAACACCAUGGUAGUUCUGCUGAAAACAACAUUAGUCCGAGUUAGUUUCAUUCAAAUCAUGCAAAUUAGAGUCCAAAACAAGAGGAAAAGCAUUAGGGAAAGUAGAUACGACGAAGAUGUAUCAUUGUCACUUGUCCAUCUUUUUGCAUACGUUCUUUUUAAGUAAACUACAUUGCUAACUAUGUUACUAAGGAUGUUGUGCCUGAUCUGAUGUAUACCGAAAGAGAGAUGUGUAUGAUUAGCUUACGGCCAAGUCCGCCGGUGGCUUUCCAAAGUGCAUACUCGAUUCCUCUAACAGAUGGAAGCCUCAAAAUCUAAGGAUGGAGAAAAGUAAUGAAUGCGCGCAGGCAAACAACCGGAGACAACAUGAUUGUGCAAAGGACACAAAUUGGAGAAAGGUGGAUCUCUAUUCUCCAUUUCGGAUAUGAGGGGUUUACAUGUUUUAUUCUAUUUGACCUAAUAGAGAGGAGUAGUUCCUAACUAGUGCUUGUCAUGUGCAAGAAUGAUGAUGAGUUAUUUACCUAGGAUGAUAACAGUUAGCUAGUGUUGGUUAACUUGUCAUGUGCUAUAUUGAUAAUGAGUUAUUAUAUGACUACAGAUGAUGAGUUGUUAUAUGACUACGAUGAUGAUGAUGAGGAGGCUGUACUACUUGUCAUAUAUUAGAAUAAUGAUAAGUUAUCAUAUAUAUGACUAUGGAUGAUUACUUUUUAUAUGACUAAGAUGAUGAUGAGUUAUUAUAUCAUUAUGAUAAUGAUGAGGGGUGGAAGAAACACGGAUUGGAUUAAAGUAGAUGGAUCCAAGUGACCAAGUUGAAGUAGUAGGACAAUAUGAUGUUGGGACGACACACAAGUGUCGAACGAAGGCAACGCCUAUCAAGUCCAAUUUGCAUUGGAGGCAUAUAUAAGGAGGUUGUUGCAUCCUCAGAAGUCAAAUCACUCGAAGUGUUUGCAACAAAUAAGGUGGUCAAGGUUCUUCUCUUUCAUGUUGCGAGGAGCCUUGACCACCUUAGUUGCCAUGUUGAGGUUAUCAAGUUCGAGUGCAAGGACAUGAUCCUUGACUGUCAGACGCGCUUGACACCCACAUGCAUGGAGCGUAGCGCCGCCCACAAAUCAGACACGGACUAUGUAAAACGUAGGUUUUGGGGGAACUGGCUCAACCCUCUAUGGGGUGCCCUAUCACAUAUAUAUAAUGAUGACAUACAAGUCCUAUACCAAUACGGUAUGGAUUACAUAGUAGGGCCACAAUACGAAAUCUAACACCCUCCCUCAAUCUCAACUCACUCCGAAAGUAUCUAGGAGGUUGAGAUUGCGCCUACAGACCUCAAACAUGGGAGAAGGUAGAGGCUUGGUGAAGAUGUCUGCAAGUUGAUCUUUUGAAGAGAUAAACCUUACUUGUAGUAGCUUAUGUGCAACACGUUCCCUCACAAAAUGAUAGUCAAUUUCAAUGUGUUUAGUCCGUGCAUGGAACACCGGGUUUGAUGAAAGAAACGUAGCACCGAUGUUGUCACACCAAAGGACCGAAGGAUGUGGCUGAGCAACUCCUAGCUCUCGAAGUAAGGACUCAAUCCAUAUAAGUUCAGCAGUCGCAUUGACAACCGACUUGUACUCAGCUUCCGUGCUGCUGCGGGAAACAGUGGCUUGCUUGCGUGCACUCCAGGCGAUCAGAUUAGGACCCAAGAACACAACAUGUCCCCCCAUAGAUCGCCUGUCAUCUGGACACCCAGCCCAAUCAGCAUCAGAGAAAGCAGAAAGAACUCCGGAGGAACUGGGCCGCAGGUGAAGACCAAAGGAGACAGUGAGACGCACGUAACGCAGUAUGCGCUUCACAGCAGACUAGUGUACAUCAGUAGGUGCAUGAAGAUACUGGCACACCUUGUUAACCGCAAAAGAGAGAUCAGGACGCGUGAUCGUCAGAUACUGCAAGCCACCAACAAUACUCCUGUACUCAGUAGCAUCCUCAGGAGAUAGAAGAGCACCAUCAGCAACAGAAAGUUUGUCAGUGGAGGACAUGGGCGUAGGCGAUGUCUUGCACUUGAGCAUACCAGCACGGCGCAAGAGAUCAAGAGAGUACUUCUUCUGGGUGAGAGCCAAACUGCCACGAGACUGAUGAGCGACAUCAAUACCCAGGAAGAAAUGAAGCUGGCCCAAAUCCUUAACUGCAAAAUCAUGACCAAGUGUAGCCACAAGAGCAUCAGCAGCUGUCGGAGAGGAGCUCACCAGGACAAUAUCAUCCACAUACACUAGGAGGUACAUGGUCACACUCGGUUGCUGGAACAAGAACAGUGAAGUAUCAACCGUCGAAGGAAUGAAUCCAUGAGUGUGUAGUGCUGAAGCCAGGCGAGCAUGCCAGGCACGAGGAGCCUGCUUCAGUCCAUAUAUAGCCUUCAUCAGACGAAAGAGAUGAUACGGCUAAGUGUGAUCAACAAAUCCAGGUGGCUGCCUCAUGUAAACCUCUUCUUCAAGCAAUCCGUGAAGAAAAGCGUUCUGCACGUCAUGCUGACGGAGAGACCAUCCGCGAGAAACUGCCAGAGACAGAAGAAGUCGAAUAGUGGUGGGCUUGACAACUGGGCUGAAUGUAUCCUUAUAGUCCAAUCCCUGACGCUGUUUAAAUCCCUUAGCCACGAGACGCGCUUUCUAGCGCUCAAUGGAACCAUCUGCAUGUUUCUUCACCUUGAACACCCACUUCGAGUCAAUGAUGUUGACGCGAGACGGAGGGGGAACAAGUGUCCAGGUCUUAUUNNNNNNNNNNNNNNNNNNNNNNNNNNNNNNNNNNNNNNNNNNNNNNNNNNNNNNNNNNNNNNNNNNNNNNNNNNNNNNNNNNNNNNNNNNNNNNNNNNNNAACAUCAAUCUCAGAACAAAGUGGAUACUAAGAAUCAAGCCCUAACAAAGCUAACUCAAUUACAUGAUGAAUCUCAUCCAACUCCUCACCGACCAGCGAGCCUACGAAGCAAUUACUCACUCCCGGUGGGGAGCAUCAUGGAAUUGGCGAUGGAGAAGGGUUGGUGAUGACGAAGAUCGAAGAUCCCCCUCUCCGGAGCCCCAAAUGGACUCCAGAUCUGGCCUCCCGAUGAAGAACAGGAGGCGGCGGCGGCUCCGUCUCAUGAAACGCAAUAAUUCUUCCUCCCUGAUUUUUUUCUUCGAAAAUGUGAUUUUAUAGUAUCAGGGUUGAGGCCUGCGGGGCCACCAGGUGGGGACAACACACCUGGGUGCGCCAGGAGGGGGGCGCGCCCUGGUGGGUUGUCCCCACCCAGGUGCCCCCCUCCGGUGGUUCUUGGCUCUAGAAAUUCUCUUUUAUUGUAUAAAAAGUUCUCGCAAAAUUUCGUUCCAAUCCGAGAACUUUUAUUUUUGCACAAAAACAACACCAUGGUAGUUCUGCUGAAAACAACAUUAGUCCGAGUUAGUUUCAUUCAAAUCAUGCAAAUUAGAGUCCAAAACAAGAGGAAAAGCAUUAGGGAAAGUAGAUACGACGAAGAUGUAUCAUUGUCACUUGUCCAUCUUUUUGCAUACGUUCUUUUUAAGUAAACUACAUUGCUAACUAUGUUACUAAGGAUGUUGUGCCUGAUCUGAUGUAUACCGAAAGAGAGAUGUGUAUGAUUAGCUUACGGCCAAGUCCGCCGGUGGCUUUCCAAAGUGCAUACUCGAUUCCUCUAACAGAUGGAAGCCUCAAAAUCUAAGGAUGGAGAAAAGUAAUGAAUGCGCGCAGGCAAACAACCGGAGACAACAUGAUUGUGCAAAGGACACAAAUUGGAGAAAGGUGGAUCUCUAUUCUCCAUUUCGGAUAUGAGGGGUUUACAUGUUUUAUUCUAUUUGACCUAAUAGAGAGGAGUAGUUCCUAACUAGUGCUUGUCAUGUGCAAGAAUGAUGAUGAGUUAUUUACCUAGGAUGAUAACAGUUAGCUAGUGUUGGUUAACUUGUCAUGUGCUAUAUUGAUAAUGAGUUAUUAUAUGACUACAGAUGAUGAGUUGUUAUAUGACUACGAUGAUGAUGAUGAGGAGGCUGUACUACUUGUCAUAUAUUAGAAUAAUGAUAAGUUAUCAUAUAUAUGACUAUGGAUGAUUACUUUUUAUAUGACUAAGAUGAUGAUGAGUUAUUAUAUCAUUAUGAUAAUGAUGAGGGGUGGAAGAAACACGGAUUGGAUUAAAGUAGAUGGAUCCAAGUGACCAAGUUGAAGUAGUAGGACAAUAUGAUGUUGGGACGACACACAAGUGUCGAACGAAGGCAACGCCUAUCAAGUCCAAUUUGCAUUGGAGGCAUAUAUAAGGAGGUUGUUGCAUCCUCAGAAGUCAAAUCACUCGAAGUGUUUGCAACAAAUAAGGUGGUCAAGGUUCUUCUCUUUCAUGUUGCGAGGAGCCUUGACCACCUUAGUUGCCAUGUUGAGGUUAUCAAGUUCGAGUGCAAGGACAUGAUCCUUGACUGUCAGACGCGCUUGACACCCACAUGCAUGGAGCGUAGCGCCGCCCACAAAUCAGACACGGACUAUGUAAAACGUAGGUUUUGGGGGAACUGGCUCAACCCUCUAUGGGGUGCCCUAUCACAUAUAUAUAAUGAUGACAUACAAGUCCUAUACCAAUACGGUAUGGAUUACAUAGUAGGGCCACAAUACGAAAUCUAACACCCUCCCUCAAUCUCAACUCACUCCGAAAGUAUCUAGGAGGUUGAGAUUGCGCCUACAGACCUCAAACAUGGGAGAAGGUAGAGGCUUGGUGAAGAUGUCUGCAAGUUGAUCUUUUGAAGAGAUAAACCUUACUUGUAGUAGCUUAUGUGCAACACGUUCCCUCACAAAAUGAUAGUCAAUUUCAAUGUGUUUAGUCCGUGCAUGGAACACCGGGUUUGAUGAAAGAAACGUAGCACCGAUGUUGUCACACCAAAGGACCGAAGGAUGUGGCUGAGCAACUCCUAGCUCUCGAAGUAAGGACUCAAUCCAUAUAAGUUCAGCAGUCGCAUUGACAACCGACUUGUACUCAGCUUCCGUGCUGCUGCGGGAAACAGUGGCUUGCUUGCGUGCACUCCAGGCGAUCAGAUUAGGACCCAAGAACACAACAUGUCCCCCCAUAGAUCGCCUGUCAUCUGGACACCCAGCCCAAUCAGCAUCAGAGAAAGCAGAAAGAACUCCGGAGGAACUGGGCCGCAGGUGAAGACCAAAGGAGACAGUGAGACGCACGUAACGCAGUAUGCGCUUCACAGCAGACUAGUGUACAUCAGUAGGUGCAUGAAGAUACUGGCACACCUUGUUAACCGCAAAAGAGAGAUCAGGACGCGUGAUCGUCAGAUACUGCAAGCCACCAACAAUACUCCUGUACUCAGUAGCAUCCUCAGGAGAUAGAAGAGCACCAUCAGCAACAGAAAGUUUGUCAGUGGAGGACAUGGGCGUAGGCGAUGUCUUGCACUUGAGCAUACCAGCACGGCGCAAGAGAUCAAGAGAGUACUUCUUCUGGGUGAGAGCCAAACUGCCACGAGACUGAUGAGCGACAUCAAUACCCAGGAAGAAAUGAAGCUGGCCCAAAUCCUUAACUGCAAAAUCAUGACCAAGUGUAGCCACAAGAGCAUCAGCAGCUGUCGGAGAGGAGCUCACCAGGACAAUAUCAUCCACAUACACUAGGAGGUACAUGGUCACACUCGGUUGCUGGAACAAGAACAGUGAAGUAUCAACCGUCGAAGGAAUGAAUCCAUGAGUGUGUAGUGCUGAAGCCAGGCGAGCAUGCCAGGCACGAGGAGCCUGCUUCAGUCCAUAUAUAGCCUUCAUCAGACGAAAGAGAUGAUACGGCUAAGUGUGAUCAACAAAUCCAGGUGGCUGCCUCAUGUAAACCUCUUCUUCAAGCAAUCCGUGAAGAAAAGCGUUCUGCACGUCAUGCUGACGGAGAGACCAUCCGCGAGAAACUGCCAGAGACAGAAGAAGUCGAAUAGUGGUGGGCUUGACAACUGGGCUGAAUGUAUCCUUAUAGUCCAAUCCCUGACGCUGUUUAAAUCCCUUAGCCACGAGACGCGCUUUCUAGCGCUCAAUGGAACCAUCUGCAUGUUUCUUCACCUUGAACACCCACUUCGAGUCAAUGAUGUUGACGCGAGACGGAGGGGGAACAAGUGUCCAGGUCUUAUUCUUCAUAAGAGCGUGAUAUUCUUGUUCCAUAGCAGCCCUCCAGUGUGGAAUACUCAUAGCGGCUUGAUAACUGCGUGGUUCAGCGGUUGGAUCAUCCACUGCAUGAGCCAGGCAAGCAGCAAGAUAUGUGACCGUGCCAUCGGUGCGCUCCUUGGGACAAACAAUGCCACUGCGGCUACGUGUGUGUGGAUGCCGCGGAGUAGCGAACACCGGGGCCGGCAGGACGUCCAGAGCAGGCGAGGCCGGUCCAGGGGACUCCGACGAAGAAGGACCGGGUGACGGCGGACCGGGCGACAGCGGGCCAGGCGACGUAGGCCCCAGCGGCGUGAGAGCCGCUGUGGACCCGGGCGAAGUAGGCGGCAGGGAUGCCCGCGCGGAUGGCGGUGGCGACAACGGAGGGGAGUCCAGGCGAGGAGGCGGCGACGUAGGAUGCUCAGAGGAGGCCGUCACGGGCUCCGGCCCAGUCGCAGUAGCCAAUACAAUAUGGGCUCCGGCCCAGUCGCAGUUGGAGACGGGGCUCCCGGGGCGGGGUCGAGGGCGGGAGGCGGUGCAUGCACAUGCACCGGCCGAGAAUUCAUGCUCCCCUCACGUCUAGGCUAUUUUAGUCCUUAGACGUGGGAUCGAUAGGCCGCAGAAUCGUUUUUUAUUUAAUACUGCGUUGGCAGGGCCUUGAACUCAAGACUUCUUGGCUCAGAUACCAUAUUGAAUUCAUGCUCCAGCCAACUCAUCCAAAAGUCCGAACUGAUGGAAGGAGGUGGACAAUAUAUUUCAACAGACUCCUUCUCUGCAACUCAUAGCAGUGUCACGUCGUCGAUCUGCUGGGAGAUUAUUGUCAUGGCCAGAUCCUCCUUGCUUUCAUCUACCUCCUUGGACGAUCCCAUCACGAUCAACGACACCCCAGGCACCAUGUGCUCAGGUGGUACUUCAUCCUCAUUGCCCAUGCUACGUAGUUUGUUUUUGUCAGCUGCAGAAUCGGAAUCUUCCCGCUGCCGCUGCUGCAAUCGCCGGGUUGCUUGAUCCACUGGGCCCCAUGGUUGUAGUGUCACGCGGCAUCAUCUUUGUCAUAACCUAGCUCUGGUACCAAUCAUUAGCAAAACAACAGAGUGGCUAGCUCUCCAGGAUCAAACAAAGAGUAGCAGAGAGCAGCUGUGCGUGGUCGUUGCAAUCUACACGCGUGCUUACACACACACACACACUUGCACUUGCACUGGAGAUGCUCACGUACACUGCUAGCUUGGAAGCUUGAUUGCUUGAGUGCUUCUCACGGUUACAAAGAGAGAGUACAAGCCCUUUUAUAGGCUCCAGACCGGCCAUUGUGCAUGCACCAACAUUUCUUACAUGCACAACUCAUGCAUGUACUACUCUACGAGUGACAUGUUUCACCUGACAAGCUAAGCAAACCACUUUUGAGUUGCAUGUAUAUAGCCACAACACACAUCCUAGAAGCUCCUACUAAUGCAGCUCAACCUUAUUUACUACAGGUAGCUAGCUUAACUAGUAAGCGAGUACGUCAGUCUGCUCAUCGCUAGAUACUCUAUUUGCUAGCUGUGCCUCCUUGCCGACAUCUUAUAUUUUUGGUACACUGCCAAUCGACGUGCGUGAACAUUAGCUAGGCAAGCAAGCAAGAUUAGUUCCAACAUUCCACCCACGCGCGGUAUCCUCUCUACAAGUCUUGUGUUCCCACUUCACUUGCAUUGGACAUACUUUUCCUCCAUGUAUGCAUGUGGUGUGGAACGUAUAUACGUAGGCCGCGUAUACUUUUCCUUCUACUAGUAACAACUAGAGCCGCGUCCUCUGCUCGCGUGGUCGGUAGGUAAAUCCAUCCUUCCUGCUGGCUUCCUCAGUACGUUAAAUAGGGACGAAAAUAGAGUGAAAUUUUUUCAUUUCUUCAGAGGAAAAAUAAAAACAAAGAGAAAAUAUGAAAACGGAAAUUUGUAAAAUAAAAGUGGAAAUGGAAUUUUUAUGCGGAAACAGAAACAAAAUUGGAACGGUGUUUUUCAAUGAAACAAUGUGGAGUACCAACUAAAUCCAGCCGUUAAUAUUGGAGGGCAUUAGAGACAUUUUACAGUUCACGUGGUGGUUUGAUUACCCUGAUCCUACUUGUGUCUACGGCGCCGGCGGAGCGACCGAAUCAGCCGCCGCCAUCUCAGUUUCUGAGAUCCGUCGCCUUUGUUAUAUACGAAUCUGCCGGCGUUGCUGAAAUCAAAACGAUCUCCUUUGUUAUAAACGAGUUAUACUCAGAGAUUUCACAACCGAUGCUGCAUUGCACAGUAUGCUGUUAUGUAUUACAGAUUCAUGAACCCACUCCUUGGGCUAUUUGCUAGUUGGAUCGAGUCUGGUUCUUACCUUUAAAAAUGGAGUCAAAACCCGAGGAAGCAUCGAAAGUCUCGAGUCCAACCUUUUUUUUGGGUGGCCCUUAUCCCAUCGAUGCUAGUUUUUUUGUUUUGUUUUUGCGAGACUCGGCAUCUCCAGCGGCAGCCCGUAAAAAUCGUCCCGCAUCUCUCCGCGGACAGGAGGAACCAGACCGCGGACACGAUUGCGAGAGGCAACCAUCUAACUUUAGCUGCAUAUAUUUUACCGAAAAAAGGUUUCCCCCCGCUUUAUAUUCCAAAGCAACCAACACCGAGUACAGAUAACGCUGUGGCGAGCAGCACAACACACCAAAAGAAAAAGAAGAAGAAACAAAUGCCAACCACGGCAGCUUGGCAAAGCGCGGAUGACCCGCCACCGCGGCGCCCACCGGAAACAAAACACCACCAACCGAGGCUCCGAUCCGCCGCGUACCAAGCAGCACCUCCAAGAAGGGAUGCGACACCGACGACGCUGCUGCCCGGACGAGUCCUCAGGUUUCCCCGGGCACGCGGAGGGAGGUGGGGGGUGGAUACCACCGACACCCUCCAGGGAGGAAUGGUGGCACCCGCAGGUGUCACCGCGUCGGGGCCAAAGCCGGCAGGGAUUUCUCCCGCAUUCCAACCCCAACCGCCCAACCGAACGGAACCGACCCGCCAAAACCGUCGCCCAUCACCAUGCGCCAACGCAGUAACGCCGCCACCCACGCCGCCUCGCUACGAACACCACCACGAGGCCAAGAGGACCGGAGAGAAGCUCACCACGACGGGAGCAGCAACAUCGACGCCGAGCGGGAGGGAACCACCUCCACCGCCGUCGUGCGGGAGGCCCGUGCCUCCGGCACCGUCGCGGUAGCCGUCCAGACGCAGCAGCGGGGCAUGCCGGGCCACCCCUGGCCCAGCCAGGCCCGAAGCGGGCCCGUUAAGCCCCGCCGGCCGCAAUGCAGCAGGCCGGCGUCGUCGCCGCCGUCACCCAGCCACGCGUUGCAUCUCCCCCGCCUCCCAGAAGCCACACAGGAGCCAUCCCCGCCGCCGGCCCGCCCAGGCCCAGAUGGGACUCGAAGGGCCCAGAUCUGGGCCGAGCGGACGACGACAGAUCCCGCCACCGCGCCGCCCCGCCGCCAACGGCGGCGCCGCCGCCCAGUUGCUCGCCUGCAUGCGCCACGGAGCCCCGCCGCCGCCUAGAUGCACCCCCCGGAGCCGCUCCACCCGUGCCGGAGACCGACCGGGAGGGGAAGGGCCAGGAGGCCGCCGCCACCAGCAGCCCCAGGGCCAAGCCGGCCGCGGGCGCCGGCGACGGCGGCGAGGAGGAAGAAGGGAGGGGGGAGCCUGGAGGGAGGAGGCCCGACGCGCGGCCGGUCGCCCGCGGGGGGGGGCUCUUUUGCUGCAUAUAUUUUCACAACAACUUGAACCAAUCGAACAAAAUUCGUUCAAACAAGUUCAGAAUUCAUAUAAACGCGGCCGGAUUUCAUAUAAACAUACCGGAUUUUAUAUAAACAUGACCGAUUUCAUUACAAAUACAUCAAAGCGGUCAUAGGUGGGCAUUUGAGUAUAAUUAAUACCUAAUCUAAAUGAUGGCCGGCACCCGGUCCCCGUCUGCGGCCAUCAGCCUCUAGAACUGAAGCUUCGCCGCCUACAGAUCCGUCUCGGUGUUCUCCAGCUCCGACUAUGUGACCUCCCCCUCCGGAGCCUCAAACACUGAAGUUGCCCGCCUCGACGACUCCUCGCCAUCGUUGUUGUCGCAAUCCUUGCCGGCGGCCGUCACCUCCGCCACCCACUGCCGGUACCGCCAGCGGGCGGAGCGGUAGGACUCGAGCAACGCCUCCUGCUCCGUCAGGUCCACGUCUGGCGCGACUGCCCUGCCGUCGGCGACCUGGUCCUCCGCUUGUAGAUGCUCCUGAAGGAGGUUGUGGAUGUAUUUGGCGUCGGCAUGUGCCUCCCGGAACUACUCCUCCCUCACCGUGUCAAGCUACAGUAACCCUCUCUGAUUGAGCUAAACCAUUUUACAAAAAGUGCUUGACUAUCUUGAUCAAUCAUUUCACAUUCCACUUUAAAUUCAAAUUCAAAUCAUAAGUGAAAUAAAGAAAUUCACAAAAAUGAAAAAAAGUUCAAACUGUUGCAGAUAAUCACUGGAUAAAUGUCUUGGUGAAACCAACAUUUUAUAAAGUAUUUAAAUGCCCUAAAAUAUUUAAAACAUGACCUAAAACAAUAAUUGAAAUGUUUUAAAAAUUGCAAACUAUUUUAAUUAAGUGCCAAACUUUUUGUGACAGUGUCUUAAUUCAUAACACUAGUUUAGGUGCAAGUUUGAUAUUUCAUAAAACAUGGCCUAAAACAAAGAAGGUGCUUUAUUACAUAUCCAGCGUCUCAGGAGUCAGGACGGAUCAUCUACUUAAGAACAGGAACAUAUUACAGACCAGAUCGGGUAACAUGGGGUAUGAUGGCGAUGGAUGUUUCAAGUCAUCUGCGGCGACACCAGAGCAAUCGGUGAUCUGAUGAACUCCAGAGCUGAAGUUGGGCUCAUCGUGGUCCUCUCGUCGCGCUUGUGCAAGUGUGGGCGUCUAUAUAUCUUCAGCAGCAUCCCAAGUUGUCACCCCCACUCCAGUUGUCCUGUCCUCCCAGUAGGCAUCAAGCACCAUUUAAACUCUUCCAUAAAUAUUUCUGUAUGAAAACGAUCUGGUAUAAGAGUGAUCCGAAUCCAAGUGGUAAGCUUAGAACGAUUAACAUUGCAAAGAGAAAGCAGACAUUUAUGAAAUACUACAUGACAUAGUACAAAAUGCUCAUAUUUCAAAAUUCAAGUGUAUUUGAGUUACACGGGAGAGACAUAUAUAGCAGAUACGACCAAUUACCUGCAUGCUACCAAACUACCAUGCUACACACAUGCAUGGUAGUGAACUCGUGAUACACGAUCCCACACAUACAUCAUUUAUUCAAUCCCAAAUUACCGGGCGCUACAAGGUCACAAAAGAUCCAAAGAAAUGGAUAGUAGUGAAGGCGGUGGUUGUGACCUCCGCCGACACUAGGUUGUUUGCCCCGUCCAAAAUCGGUCAAGCCCCGAGCUAUGGUGUGUGUCUUCAUGAUAUGGCCAAGCCUGCUUCAUGAAAAUUGGCAUUCGCUCCUCAGUGAAGCACAUGUCUUUCAAUCAAUGUUCGAUGCGGUCAUCAGAAUGUCGUUCUGACAUGAUAUUUCUGUCUUAUUUUGUUAGGCUUAUCCUUGCGAGUUCAGAUCAAUGAGCCUCAAUAUGCCAGUUGUCUGGUUGCAGACUCAUCGUGCAUUGUUAAUAGUAUGUGUUUGAGAGCUGAUCCAUUGCAAAAUAUUUUUCCCUCUCCCGUUGCAACGCACAGGCAUGUGUGCUAGCAAAAAGGCCCGUGCGUUGCAAUGGGAGAAAAAAAUAUCAAAAAGGCCCGUGCGUUGCAAUGAUUGUCAUGCAUGCAUGUCCAAUGCUGAUUUUGCCAAGGUGUUCAUCCACAAUCUGAAUUAGUGCCGGUAUAUCAAUCCUGAUUUUGCCGAGGUGUUCAUCCCCAAUCUGAAUCAGUACCGUUAUGAAAAAAGACGAAAAAUGCAUUGUUGAUUAACAGUGCAGCCUAGGUACAAUAAUAUCAUAUUCAGAUGCUACAUAAUUUUCUAAUGAAAUUUCAUAUAUAGCAUGUUAAAUUUGGAGUUACGGCUUAGAAGAUACGAGUAUUUUAAAAUACAUUUGAUAUGCAAUGCGGGUUUAAUGCCAGAAAUAUUAGCGGGUUUUCAAUAAAAUAGCAAAACGGAUUAAGAAUACCUAUUUUUUUAUUAGUAGGUAUAGACAACGCCGCCCUUAUCCACGUCCCCGGACAGACAUGAGCCAUGUAUGCAACGCGGGCCAUGCAACACCAGCCAUGCAAUGCUUUUGACCAACGGGCUUGCGGUGGGGGAUCCGAUGCGGACCGAGGUGGAUGUGGCUACAGGACAAGACAGCAGGAGGGUGCGGGGUUCAAAACUGUGGCGGGCCACGCAUAUGCUCGCCCCGAGACAGCCAGUGAUCAUGUGCUGGAUCCGGACCACGACAGAAUGGAACGAGAGGAGGAUUGGGUGGACACGGUUUUCGAGGACGCGCUCCCAUGCAGUGGAUGCACAGGAGUUACCACAGACGCGGAAUCCCAACGCUGCGGGCCGGUGGGGAGCAUGUUCUGUGUCUCCCUAUCCACCGAACGGGAUGCCCCCACCUGUCUGCCCAGGAUGGUGGAUCGCCAUGCAGAUCAUGUAGCCCAUGCACGUUACCGCCCCGUGCGAACCCGGUGGAUGAACUUUGUGCCCAACUGAGAAAAACCUUGUCCCCAAUACUAACGACCCCACCAGCUAAGGCACAUGCCGCGACACAAAGGCGUACAAGGCAGAGGAGGGCACCGGUCUCCAACCCAUGGAGGAGCGCCAGAAGAGCUAGGGGAAUUGGACGUGGCUAGGCAGCAACAAAGCAACAAGGGGUGCUCAUCCGGAAGCUAUGCCUAGCGAAUGAAGCGGAAAUCAACACUGACGAGGCGCUUCGCACGUAUGCACAGCUCUGCGACCAGCCACUCUCGGAUAGCCACAUCAAGGCAAUCCUCGCCUUGUUUGGAUGGGAUGCCUCUGCGUUGCCGCUCGGAGACACGGAGGAAGUCGUGGAGGACCGGCUUUAAGGUCGGUUAUGGUGGUUUCCCUAGAUAGGCUAUCAAAAUGAGUGCACCAUAUUUCAAGACUCUAGUGUGGAACGUGAGGGGCCUUAAUACCCCGGCACGCCGGAGUGCAAUCUCUCAGGUGGUUAGCUCGGUUGCACCGAGCAUUGCGUGUCUCCAAGAGACAAAAAUGGAACUUGUAACGGCGGAUGUAGUUGCCCACUGCCUUGGGAAUAAACUUGAGAGUUUUUACUACCUGCCCGCGAUAGGCACGAGGGGAGGCAUCCUUCUAGCCUGGGAUGCUACAGUGGUAAAGCUAUCCAACCCGCACUAUACGAUGAACGCACUCACCUCGCUAGUCACGCACAUUGGAGGGUCGCAAUGGUGGAUGACAGGGGUCUAUGGCCCACAGCAAGACCAUGAGAAAGUGGAAUUCAUACAAGAAUUGGUGGACAUCCGCGAACUGAUAGCUGGACCGUGGACUGUCAUGGGUGAUUUCUACUUAUUAGUCAACCCGGAGGACAAGAACAACACACUAGUGAACAGACGGAUGAUGGCGCGGUUCCAUGCAAAACUUAAUAACCUCGAGCUCAAGGAGGUUUACUUGAAUGGGCGGAGGUACACUUGGUCCAACGAACGGGCGCAAACGACCAUGGAGAAGAUUGACCGCGUCUUCACCACGGCAUCUUGGGAGGAGCUAUACCCGACUUGUCAGCUUACAGCCCUGGGUUCCUCAAUCUCAGAUCACUGUCCACUUUUGCUGGACUUAGAGGCAGAACUACACAUGGGUAAACGAUUCAAGUUCGAGGCAUUCUGGACAAGAGCUGAAGGCUUCAUGCAAACAGUGGAGGAGUUGUGGAACUCCGUGCCCAGGGAAGAAAGUCCCUACGUCAUUCUUGAUCUCAAGUUGCGAGCCACGGCGAAAGGUUUGAAGAAGUGGAGCGACCGUUGGAUAGGCAACGUUAAACUGCAAAUAGGCAUUGCCAUGGAGAUAAUCGCUCGCCUGGACAAGACAAUGGAUACAAGAGCACUCUCCCCACAGGAACGAGACCUACGGCGCAUACUGAAACUAAAGUUACUCGGCCUAUGCUCCCUGGAACGAACAAUUGCGCGGCAAAGAUCAAGAAUCCUCUCCCUCCGGGAGGGAGAUGCAAACACCAGCUUCUUCCACCAACAUGCUUGCCACCGGCAAAGGCGAAACAUGAUCACGACGGUCAGAAAUGGGGACACCACCGCGAGCGGGCCUGAUGAGAUCGCACAAGAAGUGGAUGACUACUACACACAUGUGUUUGCCUGCACACCUGGCAGGACACACACCAUCGAUCUCAGUCUCCUGAACCUACCGACCAUGGACCUGACACACCUUGAUCAGCCUUUCACCAUGGAGGAAGUGGAGAAGAUUGUGAAGAACAUGCCCAUGGACAAGGCACCGGGUCCAGACGGCUUUACGGGUCGGUUCUUUGCAUCCUGCUGGUCUAUAAUCAAAGACGACCUAAUGAGGGCACUCCAAGCUUUCCACCAGGGCGACAUGAGGGGCCUACAUGCCAUUAACAAGGCGAUCGUAGCCCUCCUUCCCAAGAAGGAUGGAGCAGUGGACAUUCGUGAUUUCAGGCCAGUGAGCCUGGUUCAUAGUGCGAUAAAGAUCUUUGACAAAACACUAGCUACACGGCUUGCAAUGGAUCUUCCUUCCAUAGUAGGAAAUCACCAGAGCACCUUCGUGCGAGGGCGAUCCAUCCACGACAAUUUCAUGCUCGUGCAAUGCACGGCAUGAAGGCUCCACGCCCUACGAGACCCAGCCAUUAUGCUCAAGCUUGACAUAUCAAAGGCGUUUGACUCGGUGCAAUGGCCCUUCCUACUAGAAGUCCUACGCCAAGCUGGGUUUGGGGAACGGUGGAUCAUGUGGAUUUGUGGGAUCCUGGCAAGCACAUCAACAAGGAUCAUGGUCAAUUCCGGGACGGCCAAUUUACAACACCGUGGGCUUGAGGCAAGGUGCCCCACUAUCCCCAAUGCUAUUCAUUCUCAUCAUGGAACCCUUGCACCGCAUGUUUGAGCUCGCGACCGCUAGAGGACUGCUUGCUCCGCUUGCAAGAACAGGGCUGCAUCACCGCCUCUUGAUGUUUGCUGACGACGUAAUGAUCUUCCUCAAGACAAACGAGCGGGAUUUGAACACAUGUGCAUCAGUUCUUACUCUGUUUGAAGAGGCAUCGGGCCUUCGCGUCAACCUUGCCAAGAGCGCCGCCUAUCCUAUACGAUGCUCUGCCGAGACCAUGGAAGCAGUGGAGCGAACACUUGGCUGCCCGAGAGGUACCUUCCCGUGCAAAUACCUUGGGCUGCCACUCACUCUGAGAAAGCAGUCCCAUGUGCACCUAUCAGGCCUUGUGGAUCAACUCGCGACGGCGCUGCCGAAGUGGAAAGCAGCGAAGAUGCCAAAGAGUGGAAGAAUGCUUCUUGUUCAAUCUGUGCUAUGUGCGAUUCCGCUACAUGCGAUGAUGGCGCUCGACCUCCCACAGAAGACAAUUACAGCAAUGAACAGGAUUUGUCGCAGCUUCCUAUGGUGCGCUGAGGCAAGCUCGUCCGGCGGCAGUUGUGCAGUCGCCUGGGAAACUGUGUGCGCCCCCAAGUGGGCAGGUGGACUAGGCAUCCCCAACCUAGGAUGGAUGAACAAAGCUGUGCAGGCAAGGGGGCCUUGGUUGCAACGAUCAGACACAGCGCAACCAUGGGCGGAAUUUGACAUCGUUGUGCCAAAAGCUUCAAGGAAAAUCUUCAACGUGGCUGCUCGCUGGACCCUAGGAGAUGGAAAUGCAACACUCUUUUGGGAGGAUAGAUGGCUUGAAGGAUACCGGAUCGCGGAGAUUGCACCCUUGACCUAUGGGCGAGUCAGGAGGAGGAUAAGAGGCACAUGCAUCAUAUCCCAAGCGCUACAGAACGACCAUUGGGUCGCUCAAGUGAGCCCGGUGGUAUCAGCCGACUCGCUACGUGAAUACCUACAGCUGUGGAGCAUGAUCCAAAGGGUCGAACUUGACCCAACGCAGCGCGAUAACAUCACUUGGUCAUGGGAAGCAAAUGGAUGCUAUUCAGCGAGGACUGCCUAUGCAACCAAGUUCUGGGGCAGACAGGUCGUCCCCACGGCCGAAUUCACUUGGAAAUCUAAGGCACCGGCGCCCUGUCGCUUCUUCACAUGGCUCGCAAUCCAGGACAGGUGCUGGACGUCCGAUCGGUUGGCAAGACGAGGACUCGAUCAUCAAGACUGUUGCCCAAUGUGCAACCAAGCAGAAGAGAACAUAAACCACAUUCUACUUCAGUGUGUCAUUGCACGGGAAGUGUGGACCGCAAUCUGCCAUCACUUACGCAAACCGGAGUGGGUACCUACUGCGACCAAAAACCUCGGUGCAUGGUGUCAAGACAAGAAAGGAAGAGGACAAGCCGGGAGAGAUGCAAAUGCAAUCAUCAUCCUAGGGCUAUGGAAACUAUGGAAGCACCGCAACUCUAUCGUCUUCGACGGAGCGGCACCUUCAAAGAACCGGAUUAUCCACGCAGUCAUCCGAGAGGGCCGUGUAUGGAAACAAGCGGGCAUACUAGGAGGAGACAUGGACGUAUUCUUUGCAGAAAUGGAGGAGUGGGCAGCGGAGAGUAGAUAGUCAUAGGAGAGCAAGGUGGAGGGUGGGGUUAGUGUGCAGUGUAUAUAUAUGUAAUCUGUAACGCUAACGUGGACGGGCUCUUUACCCCGAUUCCUUUUUAUAAUAUAGUACGCACACUCGUGCGUAUUUGAGAAAAAAAAGCCAUGUAUGCAUACAUAGUUCACACUUACAUUACAAACGUACGUAUAUUAGCUCUUUUUUUAGAGAGAAAGCAAAAUCCAACGUUUUAGGGUCCGUCGACGAAUGGAAGGUGAAGCUUUUCAAGCAUAAACUGGCGUUGGAACGCGAGGCUUCCGACAGUAGGGAUACUGGCAGCUGCAACCAGCGACGACGAAGCAAAAACCAGUAUAGCAUGUUUCGUCAGCGCAUCUGGCGUCUCCCCGAGGUGCUUUCAGGACGAGGCGCUCGAUCGCUAUCUUUUUUGACUGCGCCGCCACCUUUUCCAUCUCCUCUGGUGGUGAGCGAGCCAUGGCCCGCGGAGCUGCCGCCACGAGCAGCUGCAGAACCACCAGUAGCGUCACCAUGCCGAGUGCCUUCUUAUGAACGCUCUCCAUACCUCUCUCUCACAGGAUUUUAUGCUUCUCCCUGAGAUUUUAGGCUGCCUCACACAACUCUCACAAGAACAAAGGAGACGCCGGGGUUUGGCUCAGCUGCCUCAUGCAACCUGCACUGUUGUCUUCUUCUAUUUCUCUUGGCUCAAAGUAAGCAUGAUUACAAUGCUUAAGUAGGAUCAGGCACACACUAACACACUAACUCAGGCCACUAACGCAUGACUCAGCCAACAUGCAAAACACACCCACAAAGCUAACUAACAAACUAACGGACUGGCCGAUUCUCUCGGCUUCAACUGAUUGUCGCUUCACACGAUCAUGCCGCAUCGUCCAGUACAGCAACUUCACGCCACCACCGGCAUAUUGCCGUGCUCGCCGCAUCUCGCCUUCGUCAUGCACACAACUGAAGCUUCAUUGGCCUACGCACACUACCCUAGACAAUCUAAACUAGUACAUGCCAAACUCAAAAGUAAACAUAGUGAUAGAUCAUGAAAAGAUUAGGGCUAACGUAUCUCUCUCUGUUUUUGUGUAUUUGUAGCUUGCACCCGGCGUACACGUUGGUUGAUCCCAGCCAGCCCUAUUUACAUGCGUUAGGAAUUGGCAGUAGCUACAUAAAGGAUUGACAGUGCUGGAUUUCUGCUAGCAGACAUAAACGUUGGUGCUAGGUUUUUUUUUCCAAAUACAUACAUAUAGAGUACAUGUCGGCGGUGACCUGCCAUGGAAUGGUCCGCCUUAGUUUUAAGAAACAUAAAAGGCCAGAAAUGUGAAUCAGGGCCAGACACCAAACAAGCAAGAUAUUGGUAAAAGAAAAUAAAUGGUAGUUUUGGUAAAUGCACGGGUGAUGUCUAAACAUGGAAUGCAUGUUCACUUUGGUGUCUGAAGUUGAAAAACACCAAUUUUCAGGAUCAACUGUUAAAGUUGAAUACAAAUUUAUAGGGGGGGAGGGGGGGCAGAGCCAAUGGCCGCCGCCCUGACUGCUGCACACGACUGUCGCACAAGUACCGCCCCAGACACAUCUCGGGGACCCCGCCAUGAUCCACCAGCCUAGGCACCUUCAUCGGCAGGCCCGCCGCCACGGCGGCAGAGGAGCUGCCGAAAUCGGGGCUGGCGGCGCUAGGGUUGGGGUCCCUGGCGUCGCCAUGGGAAGCGUCGCGAGGGGUUACAUGGGCAAUGUCAAACCCUGACCAGGGAUAGGACCGGGUAUCCUUGUCCCCACUGUUUAGAGGCAGCUCAUUAUCCAACAUAGGCAACAUUGACUAUAAUUUUUUUAUUAUGAGGGACAUUGACAGUAAUCGACUAAGGGCUUGCUUUUCUUGUGGCGAUCCAUAUGCCCAUCUCUAUUGUCUAGCUGAGAAAUAACAUCAUGGUGGACUCCAAGUUGUGAUUCGACGCACAGUAGAUACUGUAACUAAACCUGCCCCCCGUAGACAUUGUCGUAAGCUUGGCGAUGGAAAUUGUGAAACUUCUAGUAAGCACGGGGCGGAGCCAUGUUAGCGCUAGGCUCGGGCAUGCUCCGAUGCUACUACAGUGGUAUACAGUACAUGCUACAAUGCGAAAUAUAGCCCCUGGGAGUGCGUGACGCCCCGGGCCGUUAUAAUCACGUUCGGUGUGGUAAGCAGACCGUUAUAAUCACGUUCAUAUUUCAAAUGUAUUUGAGUUACAUAAGACAUUCUCGGAUAAGAGAAAAUCCCAGAAAUGUAACACAGAUAUGCACCGUCAAUUUGAGUAUAUGAGAUGUAAUAUCCAAGACAACUACUACCUCUGUAAAGAAAUAUAAGAGCAGAGGGAGUACUAUAGUAUUCGUUCAUCAAUCUAUGCUUCGUCUCCAGGAACCAUACAUGGUCUUGCUCUAUGUGUCACUUUGUAAGAAUAGCUUCUAGCAGCCGGGCAGUAGAUCUCAAGGUAGGUGAUACCGGAGAGCUACCAAAGAAGCCUUCCUAUAGAGCAUAAUUCACAAUAUCUGAUUUGAUCUCGGCGUCGACUUGGCAUGCACCUUGGUAUGUCGAAAUCGAGACCUACAGAAGCAGAAGUUACAGGAUGGAAGACAUUUAGCACCCCCAGGAACCAGUUUCAACUAGUCUUCGAGCUUCAUUUCUUUUUUCCCUCAAAGUUGAAUCAAUGAUUUUGUUUAUUCUUCACACGAAUAUUGGUCACUUCAGUUUAUUUGCAUCUUAAUAUGUGCUCGACAAUUUCGUUCUGGGAAAAGUGAGCACUACCGAAUACUAUAUUUCUUUCUUAAGUAAACGACGGACCAAGUUGUGGCCUAUAGAUGGCCACAAUGCUAUUAUCCUAUCACCACAUAUAUCAUGUUAUUACGGGAUAUUAACAUUACAUCUUUAGUAUUUUGCAUUGGAAACAUAAACCUUGGCAACUCGUGGGCCUGUUCUUUGCUGUUGACUUUGCAGUUUAACUGCCGGAGUCUCAAACAGGAUAAGUUCUGCAACAGGGCUAACAGCGAUGGUUUUUGUAGAGGCUGUUAGAGACACUGAAACCACUGGUUCCAUUACAAAAACCUUGGCAUUUCCAUAUAUGCAACUUCAUAACUGGUUUAUUUUGGUUUUCUUUUUUGCUCCGAAAGAGGGAUCAAUAACACCCCCGGGCUCUGAGGUACGCAGCCUUCAUACUACUGAAUAAUUUUAAAUACAGCUUCAGGAAACUAAUACAUGAAUCAGCAUUAAUACAUGUUACCCAGGACAUAGCAAACAAUCUGAUUUCGAAACCUGGAACUUCAGAGCAGAGACACGGCUUGGUAAGACCGGCCAUUCAGAGCCAGGACUAUUUGCAAAGUAGAUACUGUAAAUCUUGACUGUAGUGAGACUAAUUGUUAACAAACUCACCAGCAUUCUUUCGGGUUCCAACCGAGUUAAAUAGAUGCUUGUUCCCUGUUUGAGAUUGCUCCCUAGACAGUUAUUCCGGAAGGUCAAGAACGAAGAUUCUUCCUCAGCGGUCGGUUUCUGGAUCCGGCGAGCAAUAACGUCAUCCAAAGCCUUCACGAAGGUCUUGCCGUUAACAUCUCUAACAAGAGUCAUGCUCGGAGAUUGAUGCCGAGACUGGUAUUACGGAAGAUCGAGGCGGAAUUCGAAAGCUGGAGAGUUGCAAGAGAUAGAGACAUGUAAUUUGUAUUGAUGGUUGAGUCUGGCGUUGAUCGUUCAAACGGUCAACAACAGGCUAUCUUUGUACUAUUUUCACCCUAUCUCAAUGUAAAAGACCUGCUAGCAGGCAAAAAUGACGGUGCUAGAUUUCUGCUACCAGACAUAAACGUCGCUGCAGUGGCCUGUUUCACGUAUGUGCUUGGUCAUGGGUUGAUGAAAUGUGCCCAUGUUUUCCAGAAACAUAAAAUGCUAGAAACAUGUAUCACGACCAGAUCUGGACACCAACAAACAAGAUAUACUAACUGGUAAAAACAUGCAUCACCGAGAGAUAAUUCAGUUAAUCGAUAAUAGUAAAUAUUAUAAUUAAAACUGCCCUUAUAUAGAUAAACAUUGCGGUAAGUCAAACAACGAAAACCGCAAAUAAUUAAGGUGAGUGACCGGCCGCCGCAUGUAUGUCCGAUACAACCUUUUGUAACCGUACGAUAAAGAAUUGGCUUCAUCCCAGAAAAUCAAACACGAGAUAGAAACACGUGGAAAAGGUAGUUGCGCACAUGCCGGACUGCACGUGCCCUCACCGGCCGCCCGCACUGGUCCUCGGCUUUCCGUGCUUGCCGGCCACAUUUGCCACCGCGCCCGCCACCUGUGCUUGCCGGCUGCUCACGCCACUAUGCUCGCCAUGGCUGCAGCUCCAAUACAGUCAGGUUCCAACGUCCGGUCACCAUGGUUGCAACUUCCCUUGCUUUCCCUGUCUCCGACUCGCCUCCAUCGACUUCACCGCCAUGUCCAGCAAAGAAAAAAAUCUAAAGCAACAAAAACCGCCGGUACUUGGUUGAAGCAAAAGGAUUUGCUAGUUCCAGCAAAAAUCUAAAGCAAGAAAACCUCCGGUACUUAGUUGAAGCAAAAUGAUUUGGCAGUUCCAGCAGAAAUGGUUGGCGUUCGGUGCAUGUGCGGCGUGGUCGGCCUUUGGUGCAAGUACGGCACAAACAAACGGCUGCUACUUACGCACUCCUGGCGAGGAAUCGGACUACUAACGGGUCAUGGACCAAGCUGCAAUGUCCUCUUGACUAGGACAGCAGGUGCGCCGCGCCUCUCGCUCUGCAACGCUCCAUCGGUCUUGCUGUGCGCGCACCGCAGCCUCUCCAUGCGGACGCGACUAUCUUGAUCCGCGACGCUGUCGUGCCCUGCACCGAGGGUCCUCUCAACCCAGGCGAUGACACGCAGCACGCAUUGUCCGGUGCGUUGCGGGGGACGCCCUCGGCCUCGACGAACCAUGGUGCCUGCCCCGGCUCGUUUCCUCGUCGAGGAUGUUGAUGGCAGAGGCGCCACUUCGGCGGGUUGGCAUGCUUGAAAAUGGCAGAGCGGCUAUAUGUUGCGCUUGUCGUGCCUCCGUGUGUCGAGCGCCGCCUAGGCUUAUGCCCUAACACUGGUGGCGGAAAACUGAUGUGAAAGUGACGGGAAACGAUGACGUGUUCGGAUAACUCCAUCAACGAAAAACUUAUCAAAGAAGGAAGCACGAGCUAGAGUUGACUGUACGAACCGUGUGUGUAACUUUCAAAUCAUCACACACGAGUAUUCAUGUCACGCAUCGUGUGUGAUUCUCCAAGCCAUCGCAAACAUUUUGUGCUUGUAAACCGUUUAGGGUGACGCACAGACCGUAUGUGUUAUGGACAUGUUCGCAUACGCAGAAUUAUAGUUAGCAGUGUGCCAACUAUUAUACACGGUCUUCAUCACCUAAUCGUGCCCAAUGGAUGGGCCAAUGCACACAUUUCAUUUUCUGGCACACAAGUAUAUUUUGUUGCCGCUUGUGAUUUUUUGUAUUCUACACAAUUUGGUCGAUUGGUGUGUGAUAGAUGUGUCGCCUUAUGACCUUCCAGCAGUAGCUAGGGUUCCUGCGACACGGCCGUUGGCCGCGGGGCGGCGUGGCGGUGCUGGUGGCCGGCGGCGCCCGCACGGCCUAGAUCUGGGCCCUUUCGGGCUCCAUCUGGGCUAGGGUGGGCCGGCGACUCCGUGUGCGGCGAUGCUGCUCCCUGGUUGGUGGCGAGGAGGUGGUGUUCUGCGGGCGGUGGCUGCUUCGUCGGCCGGCGAGCUGCAGCGUGACGACAGGGGCUGUCCAGACCCUUUUGGGUCCGGCCGGGCCUCGGCGCCUGGCAGGCCCCUUGUCCGUGCAUCUGGUCGGCUCCGCGGUGGCGGUGGUGGUUGUCCCCUCACAUCGGCGAUGUUGCGGAUGGCCCCGAGCCCACUAUCUCUUCUCCCAUCCUCCAGGUCUCGUGUCGGUGACCUCAGGGAGACGGCGAAGUUGAUUUGGUGAUCGUGGUGGCACAUGUUGGUGGGCGGCGUGAUGGGCGGUGCACUAUGGUUCGUCCGAGGUGGUGGUGGGGGUUUGGGUCGGGAGAAAUCUCUGGCGGCUCGUCCGGCCCCGACGCGGCGACGCCUAUGGGUGCCGUCGGACCUUCCUGAAGGGCGUCGGGUACACCCUCUCCCCACUGCCCCCCGCGUACUGGGGAAACCCUAGGACUAGUCCGGGCAACAGCGACGUCGUCGUCGCCUUCUUCUUGAAGGUGUUGCUUGGUACGCGGCGCUUCGGAGUGCUGGGAGCAUGGUGGUACUUCUACGGAGGGUGCAGCGGUUGCCGGUCAUCUUCGUUUCGUUGAUCUGCCGUUGUGGCAUUUGUUUCUCUUUCUUUCUUCUUUGUUUUUCUUUGGACUUGUUUGUGCUGCGGCCCCAGCACCUAUAGUUGGAUGUAUCGGUGGUUGCUUUGUAAUACAAAGCGGGGCGAAACCCUUUUUCGUAGUUAGGGUUCCAAACAUAUGGUCUCUGCUGCUGUGAGCCUUCAUUAAUUUGACUUACUAUCAUCACCUAGCUCGUGUCACAAGUACACGUGCUGGGAAUGGCUUAAGUGCAUGGUGAAAACCGAUAGUUUGAUAAACUAGGGACCAUGGAUAAUCAACGUCAAAACCAAUUUGAAGUUUGACAAAAUAAAUGAAAUAAGGGACAGUCGUUGACCAAUAAGUAACAUACUAUAUUUUAUUUACUGAAUCCAAAUGGGAAUACAGUUCUUUUUGUCAACCAACACAACCACUUGGUCCACCAUAGUUGAACAUAUAACCCCUCUUAUAAUCAAGAACAAAAUCAUUUGCUCUAUAACAAUCUAGCCUAUCAACUAACUUGACCAUUGGCACGCCAAACGGGUUAUAAGAAUGACCAUUUGGAUUGUAAUACCGAAUGUGCUUGAAGUACGCAGAUUUCUUAUUGUCAUGAUCGUAAUGAUCAGGGAAGUGGCCACUACCCAUUGGAGGACCAUGUGCAUUCUUCAAGUAAUUCACGAAUCCAGUCAAGGCUUGUAUACGUGGUGUUCCAGGGCAAAGCUUCUUUGGAAAAUGUCCCAAUAAUGAUGGUUUUUCUAAAUCAUGACGGUACACCACCCAAUCUUCGGAAUUUGGAUCCUG
This 172906-nucleotide long non-coding RNA is filed under the name Triticum aestivum (bread wheat). RNAcentral describes it as "long non-coding RNA (TAES_LNC012390)". Lineage: Eukaryota; Viridiplantae; Streptophyta; Magnoliopsida; Poales; Poaceae. The record is from RNAcentral.